UCGGUUCCGCUCUAGUCCGUUGCACAUCAGGUUGAGGUUGCACAGGGCUGUGAACAUCUUUGCAUGUAUGUCCUCCGACCUGGGUGGGGUUGUCCUCACAGAUUGUCACGUGACUUCCGACCUGGACCGAGGUCGGUUGUCUCUCGUCAGUUGUCAUGUCUUCGAGGUCGAUUACCGAAUCGGCCCCACGGUGGGCGCCAAUUGUUGAUUGUGUUUCUCAACUAUUUAGGGUUGGUUCGGUAAUUCUAGUUCAGAAGAUUGAUUUUAUUUAAUUAAGUUUCAAUUUAUAGUUCGUUCAGUUCGGAGGUCUCUCGACGAACUGGAUACAAUAAUACUGAGGUCUCUAUGUCUCCGGGUCCAAAAAGGGAUCCCUUCUACAGUAACGAGCCCUCUAUUUAUAGUACAUUAACAAGGAGAAGAUUUAAGGCUUUCCCGUCGACUUUCACUGCUUCUUGUCGCUGGGCCUGUCUCUCUGUGGGCUGUGCUGUCAGGCCAGGCCCAUUUCGGCUAAAACUGUUGUAAAACGGGAUCAAUUGGGCCAGUCUCGGUCUUUAACCGGUCCAAACCGGAUAGCGGAGCGUACCACCAACAAUGAGCAUCAUAGUGAUCAAGAAGAAGAUGAUGGUGAUAUCAAAUAUGUUCCAUACGUGCCGACUGGUGAUACAGUGAUGGAAGCUCUACGUGAUUCUAUUACGAAGGAGAUAGCAAGAGGAAGUCCACUCCCAUAUUAGUAUUUGUAUUAUUCUAUGUUAUUUGCUUUUAUUGGAUUUUAUAUGUUAUUAAAUGUCUUUAUAUCUAGUUAACUACUUUAUUAUAUAUUAUGAAUGAAAUGAGUAUUGUUUACGUUUAUGACUUGCACUGCACGUGAUUUCAAUUGUAUUUGCUUACAUGGUAUAAUUAAGAUUAGCUUAUAAUUUUUCUGUUUUUUCCAUGUAUAUAAAAGUUAUUAGUGUAUUUUAAGAUUUAUUAAAAACUAUUUAUCAAAACAAAAAAGUUCAUUAAAAUAGAAUUUCAUUUAAAUUGUUUUCUAAAUUUCUAAAAUUGAAAUUUUAAAAUUGAUUUGAAUGUGAGAAUUGUUUAAUCGUAAAUAUAAUUGUUUUCAUUUAAAAAGUUUACUAACCUAAAAAUAUUGUCUUUUUAAAUUAAUUGCAUCUGAAUGCUAUUCCAAAAUCAAAAACAUACAAACCAGCAUCUAGAUGCUGCAUUUAGAUGUAAAUGCCAAAUUUAAAAUCAAAAUCUGGAUGUAGCAUCUAAAUGCAACAUUUGGAUACAUCCAGAUGCAGCAUCCAGAACAGGGCCUAAUAGUUUUUAUGAAUCUAGGUCCAUUGUUUGGGAGUAAUCUUGAAUAUUUGGAUGUGACAUAUGUACCUUUGUCGCUUUCGUAAUUGAGUAGCGUUUUCAUCUUUCUUGCCGUUUCACCUUCUAAAGCGAUUUAUCAUUUUGCUAGGUUCUUUAAAACUUCUAUUGCGAUUUAUUAUUUUUUACUGAUGGACUUAGUUUUGUAGGCUUACUUGGCUAUAUGGUUUUGUUUUCAUAUGUCUCUCUAUUAUAUGGUUUUUGUUUCCGAAAUUUUUUUGUUUUCUGCCGGCUUAUGACUCAGGAUGCCAAUUUUGUCUCAGAAGAACUUAUGUUCUGCUGACUUUGUAGUUUCAACAUUCUAAUUAUAAAAUAAAGAUGCCAGCCUUAUUUUGAAUCUUACUAACAUGAAUUAUGGAUACAUCAAUAUAAGGUGGAUUACUCAAGUAUCUUGCAAACCAAUGUUUAUUAAUAGUUUGACACAUUUUUAUUGUUUAUGCUAAAUUAACCUCGUAUACCGAUCUUACCCUUUUGGGCUUUGUUGAAAAAAAUAUUAUUACGAAAAUACCAUUAUUUUUUAUAUGCCACGUAAGCAAAAAGUAUCGCGACAUUAUGCAUAAGUCUACCACUAUUUAUAGUAGACUUGUUUGAAUUUAGUCAACGCAAUUUUUUAAUGGUAGAUUUAUUUGAGAGUUGAUAGAUUUGUUGAACCUUAGUAGACUUGUUUUGGUAGACAUAUUUUUAUAGCAUAGUAGACUUAUUUUGUGUUGGUAGACAUAUUUAUUGUUGGUAGAUUUAUUAUCUUUAAUAAUAGACUUAUGAAAAUAUCGUUGACUUAUCGUAAGUGUUUGACUUUUUGGUAGAUUUAAAUAAUAAUGGCGACAGAUUUAUUUGUAAUGGUGACAGAUUUAUUUAGUUUGAUGUACAGUAGACUUAUUUUGCUUGGUAGACUUAUUGCUAUUAAUAGUAGCUUUAUCAGGAGUUAGUAGACUUAUUCGUAUAUAUGGUAGACUUAAAACAGUCGUAUUUUAGAAAAUAAUGUAGUAGAUUUAAUUAUAAGUAUGGUAGGUUUAUUAAAUUUUGGUAGAUUUAAUAUUUGUAAUUUACAAUACUGGUAGACUUAUGUUUGUAUUUUGUUCUUACUCAAUUAACCUGCACUUUAAAAAAUAAUCUUCAGUUUAGUAGACUUAUAAUUAUUUGGGUGAUGGUAGACUUAUGAAGCUGGUUUAUAGUAGACAUUUGACUUUUUAAAAUUUGAAAAGAAUUUUUGCCCAAAUUUGUUCGUAAAUAUUACAAAAAAACUGAUUGUGUCAUCUUCUUCGAUUAGGGUUGCAGCCGUCGAAGUGUGAUACUUGAAAAUAUAUAUUUUAUGGUAGACAUGUUAUUUGAAUAACCACUUGUAGUAUACUUAUUUAUAUUUUAUAGUGAACAUAUUAUUUGAAGUAGCAUUUGUAGUAGACUUAUUCACAUGUUUUAUAAGCAGAUCAGGGUUGAAGAUGCCAAAUUUUUGGCUGUGCAAGUUAUUGAUGCAGAUCAGUCAGAGGUUAUUGGCACAACUUCUGCCCAUGUUGUCAAUUUGAAAGAAAAAACAUGUACCUGCCGUCGGUUUGAUAUUGAUAAAAUCCCUUGUGUACAUGCCAUAGCCGCUGAGGAAGCAAGAAAAACUUCACGAAUCUCCCUAUACCAUCCCUACUAUCAAACAAAUUACUUGCAACAUGCUUACGUAGGAAGUGUAAUGCCAAGAGAUAUAGCACUACCAGUGCCAGAAGAAAUGGCUAACAAAAUUUUUCAUACUGUUUUCGUUCGCAAUCCUCCAGGCAGACCAAAGAAGACACGCAUUAAGAGUGCAUUCGAGAUCGCGACAGCGAACAAACGUCCAAGACAGAUGCCUAAAUGCUCUACUUGUGGUAAAAGUGGACAUAAUCGCAUCACAUGUAAAGCCUAAAUUUUCUACUUUCUUGUAAUAAUCGGUUUGUUAGACUUGUAACACUUGCUUCAUUUUUGUACUCUCUUCUAGUACUUGUAUUGUCGUACUUUUUUAAAAAAAUUAUUGUCGACCUAAUUGAUGCAAAAUAUUCCAAUAAUUAACCGUUUUAACAUUAAAUAUACCAAAUUUUCAAAGAACCAACAUCAUGCCAAAAAACAUCAUGGUCCUUUUUAAGUCUAGUUCAUCAAUAUGUCCUAAAAGAAUCUGCCAUAGAAGUCUUCCGUCGUUAGGGUUCGACAUACAAAACAAUAAAAGUCUACCUUCGUCAGGGUUAGACAUAACAAGUCUACCGUCAUAACUGUUUGACAUACAAAAUAAGUUUAUCACUCUCAAUCAUUUAUGAAAACUCUUCUUCUGCAGAGGUGAUCUCCCAGGCGAAAAUAGUGUGGAUGGGUACUCCUUUGUCUUGCUAGAAGAGGUCAUCUCUGCAUAUAUGUAAUAAGAAUUAGUCUACCAUUCUUAAUCAGUUACAAACAAGUCUACCACUCUCUAUACAAAUAUGUUUACCACUCCUCAAUCAUUUACGAACAAGUCUACCACUCACUAUACGAAUAUGUCUACCACUCUCAAUCAUUUAUGAACAAGUCUACUAAACUAAACUCUAUCUUUACUGAACAUGUCUACCACUCUCAAUCAUUUAUGAACAAGUCUACUAAACUAAACUCUAUCUUUACUGAACAAGUCUACUACUCUUUCUGCUUUUCCGACAAGUCUACUACUCUUUCUCAUUUAUGAACAAGUAUACUAGUCUUUAUGGAAACAAGUCUACUACUCAUUUUAUAUACCAAUAACAAAAACUCAGCUUACUUAACAAUAAAUCGACCAUAAUAUCACCCUAACUCACCGCAGAUCUUCACCCUCACCGGAUUUCCUCUAACCCACCGGGAAUUUCUCUAACACCUGCAAACAAAAAAUUAGGGUUAGAUUUUACCCAACAAAAACGGCGCCGCAAGGUAAUUUUCGCUGUCUAAUCCUUGCUGUCGAAAACUAAAACGGCACCGCAAGGUUUUCGCAAAAAAUUCCGGCAACUCCUCGAAAAUCUGCGGCGACUCAAACCCUAAAAAUCGUCGAACAACUCUGCAGAUGCUUUGAACGGUGCAGAAACUUCUGUAAACAAAGAGGAAAGAAUUUAGAAGUGUCAGGAAGAAGAUCUUACCGGAAAACCUUCUAUCUCCGCCGGAAUCUGGUCGACAAAGUUCGUUCGUUCCUUUUCGCCUUCGCCGUCGCCGCUAUCGUUCUUUUUUUGUCAGAAACCAACAACUCCUCAAUCUUAACUUUAACCUAUUUCUAUUUUUAUUAAUAUCUAUUUAAAACUAAAAUAAUAUAAUUGAAAAUGGCAAUUCUGUAAUACUGUGUAUCCUCGGGGUAAAAUGGACAUUGACAAACUUAUUAAGGAUAGUCUAGCAAGGUAGACUUAUCCAAGGAUACACUGGCAAUAAACCAUGCUUAGGAGGAUAGUUUCAUGCAUUAACUCCAUCAAUAUAUCACACCAACGUUAUUGCCAUAUAACAUACAAAAACUCACUAAUAUAUUUUUCCCACAAUAUAACAUCCCUAUUGAUCAGUUAAGAGAGAAGAGAGAUCAACUGGGAUGGAGUUUGGACAUUCAUGACUAUAAAUGAAUUUCUAUUAGCAUACUAGAUUUAGCAGGUGUGGCCCAUAACAUAAGCGAGAAAAGUUAUGCAGGAUAUUUUAUAGUUACUAGGAGAGAACUCGUACUAGACACAUGUCUUGUUUUAUUAUGUUUUAGACUUUUAGUUAAAUUAUCAAUUUGUUUUUGUAUAAUUUGUAUUUUUUUCAUAAAUCUAGUAAUAUCUUCUAUUUCUUAUUUUUUUUUCUAUUUUGUUCACACAAAUUUCGAGUUCUUUGAUCUAAAUUUUGAUCUAGAGAUAAUUUUUUAACUUUCUCAGCAUACAUAUUUUUUAAACAAAUUUACUAACCUCUUUAUAUGUUUUUUUUUGUUUUUCAUCAAAAUCCUGACUAACAACAAUUUUAACUUUCUCAAAUUUAUCAUUUUUAUAUUUUCUUAUUACACAUUUACAUUCAAUCCAUAUUUCCAUAUGAUAUCUUGAAAAUUGCUGCCAUAUAUAUUCUUUUCUUUUCUUCUUUUUUUUUUAUUUUUCUCUAUGUUUGAUAUCUUGAUAUUUUUUUUGAUUCUUUAUGGAUUUUUUGGUGUAAAAAAAUUAUUACUCUUUUUUUGUUAUUCUUUAGUUGCUUGUUUUUUUAAAACAUAUUUUUUAUUGUUUUAGCCUUAUACCUUGCUUUUUACCAUUUUGCGUUUUUAUGAUCUUAAUCAUUUCUUUCAUCCUAUUUUUUUUAAAAAAAUUAUUUAAAUUCUCACAUAACAAUUAUUUUGUUAUUACAUAUGGUUUAUUGAAUCCAUCUUUCCAAAUAUAUUUAUUUGUUACCAUAUUCUUUUUUCCAAUCAUUUAUCUCUCUACUUUUGAUAUUCUUUUAUCUUCUCGAUUAUUUAUUAAAUUUUUGUUUUGUGUGUUGUAGUUUUAUAGUUCUUGUUUUUGUUCUUCAGUUGCUUAAUUUGUUUUUGACUUUUGUUAUUAUUUCUUUGUCUUAAAAUUUGUUGUUUGUUGAUUUAGUUAUUUUAUAGGUCAAAGAUAAUAACUAAAUUAGAUGUAAAUAAAAUAAAAUGACAAUCACUAUACUUUAACAAAGUUGAAUUUUAUUUAUUAUAAGUUUAUGCUUUAAUAUUUUUAAUAAAACAUAUUUAAAUAUAAAUUAGAUAGUUUAUAUCUACUUAUGUUAUUUAAUGGAUUUUUUAGUUUAUUAUUUUUAUUAAACAUAUUGGUUUCAUUUUUAACCUCAUAACUUGUUUUUUACUAUUUUACAUUUUUCAUAAUCUUAGGAACCUCUUUCAUAUAUUUUUCUGAAUGUUUUUUAUUUAAACCUCACAUAACACUUAAACUUUUACAGUUUAUUAUUUUUAUAUUUUGUUAUUACGUAUUUUCAUUAAAUCUAUUUUCUAGUCAGUACUUUUAAAAUUUUGUAUAUUUAUUUGCAACUAUAUUUUUAUUAUUUUUUCUCUAAUUUUAAUAUUUUCUUAUUUUUUCGAUUAGUUAUUAUUGUGUCUUGUAGUUUUUUUAGUUGCUUGAAAAAAUUUGAAUGAUUUUUUUUAGUUUUAAUCUCAAAACAUGUUUUUUUUACUGAUUGACGUAUUUUUGUUAGUUUCAAGAUAAUUGAAUCAUAAACAAAAAAAAAUAAAAAAAACAAUCACUAUAUUUUAAUAAAUUUGAAUUUUAUUUAUUUUAAAUUUAUGCUUGAAUUUUAAUUUAAUAUAGAUAAAUAUAUUAAAUAAUUUAUAUAUAUGUAUGUUGUUUAAUGGAUUAUUUUUAGAUUUCAUAAUUUUUAUAUUAAAUGCUGAUGUUGAAAACAAACUUAAAUGAACCAAUCAAGGGGGCUCAUGUGUUGACGUUGGAGAGCCCCCUUCUCAUUUUAUAUAUUAGAUAUUUGUCUUAAAACCUCUUGUUAGUGUUUAUAUAUAAACAAAGUUUGUAGACUUUUUCUAAUAAGAUAGUAUUAUUUUUAGGGUUUUUUUAACAAUGUUUAUAGGUUUUUACUAACAAAUUUAUUGAUUUAGUGCACUAUCAAAUAAUUAUUAUCUUUAUUAGUUAAAUUAUCUUUUAAAAAAAAAAUUAAAACCCACAACACAAAAUGAUGGUGAUUUGUUAAUGGAAUUAAAAAUACUCCAUUAGUACCAAAUGAACUUUGAAUUCUUAUUAAAAUGCUUGAUUUUUUGAAAAACAAAUAAGAGAUUGUUAUCAAACAUAUAAAAAGUGUCUUCACAUAUUGUUGGCCUUUAAAUUUUUUAAGUUGAAACUAAUAAAAAAUUAUUUGUGGUUACUAUAUUACAAAAACGAUUGAAUAUAUAAUGGUUUUAUUAACAAUUAAGAGAACUAUGAUUGUAAUAUUCAACCAUAUAAAUUUAACGAAUGAUUUUGCAUGUAAAAAUUACAAGUUAAGCCAUAUUUCAACAAGAAUUUUAUUUUCUUAUUAUUUUCUUUUCUUAGAAACCGUUUGUGGAGUUAAAUUAUAGAGUUGAAUAAUUUAUAAAGUUCUGUAUGACUUUUAUACUUAUUUAAAGCAUUCAAAAAUAUUGAAUCAACACUGAAAGUUGAUCAAGAUUAUUGAAGUUCGCAAGGUAUUGGCAAUUCAUUAUUGCUAUAAUCUUUUUACUCAGCAAAGUCUCAACCAAUAAAAACAAUAUAUUGCAAAAAUACAAAUGGACAAAAAUAUUAAAUGUGUAUAAAUUGUGCAUACAAAUUACAAAAAAAAAACAAAAAAAAAAUAUUUAAACACAUCAUGAAACACAUGGAUCAUAUAAAUCCUAGUUUCUCUAUAUGAUAAUUGUAAAAAAAAUGUUAUUGUGGAACAUGAGAAAUUAGUGAUUGUGAUCCAUAUGAUGAUUGUCAUCUACAUCCAAUGUUGAAAACACUAGUGAAAGCAUUGAAUGUUGUUUACCAACCAUUGAUUCCUCAAUUUUUAGAAGAUUUAGACGAUUAGUGUAGAUUUCUUUUUUUUUGAAUUAUAUGCUUUGUGUAUGAUCAUUGUUUUUUUUUUGCGUUACUUAAUCUCUCUAUGUCAACUUCUAUAUUUAUCUUAUACAAAAAGAAAGAAACUCAUUCUAUAAAACAUAACAAAAAAAAUCUAAGAAAGUGGUGUUUGAUACCAAUAUGUUAGAGAUACAUAUUUUCUUAUGCAGUCUAUUUAACAUACAAAUUAUAUUAGUAUAAAAAGAUUCAUAUUGACUACAAAUUUAAUUAUGAAAAACAAGCACAAGUAUUCAAAAAAUUGGGUUGUAUUAUUAGUUAAAAAUAGGAUAUUAUUCAUACUGAACAAAUAUCCCAUCUAUAUUAGGACUGUUCUCAUUUACAUCUGCUGGGAUGUGGAAAACUUGCUAGUUUUUCGCGACCAUAAUUCUCUGCGGGUCUUUGAAGCUGUGAAAAAAGCAUUAUUUGACAUGUAUCCAUAAACAAAGCUAAACCAGAUAUUUAUUAUGAUUACAUGGAAUCCAAAACUCAAAAGACAAAAGAAACACUAGUUAACUGCAUUGCUUGUGGGCUAAAAUCCAAAAAUAAGCUCAUUCAUAAGUUCAGUUGUUCAACGAUGCAUUCAUUAACGACAUCACAAGUGUUGUGGCGUCUUGGUGUUGCAAGGACUUCUUUGAAGAUGAUGCUUCUCAUAAAAGCACUUCACACCCUAAAAAUCAAUUUCUUCGGUGUUGUUGAAUUCUUCAGGAAGUAUCUUGCUAGCUGCAUUUCUAUUUCAUAUUGAAAGUACAUAUUUUCUAUAGAAUCUAAGAACACAAAUAAGAAUGAAUAAAGAAUAACUCUCUUUGUAUUAUUGCUUAGGAAAAUCACUCUUAAAACCUAAACAACUCAAGUAACUCUUAUGUUAUGUCAUAGCUCGACACACAUAUAUAUAGUAAAACAAUUUCCUUUUCCUAAUAGUAUUAGAUACCUCCUAAUCUUAUCAGAAACUAUCAGAAACCGACUUAAGCCCUACUUUAUCCUAAUCCUACUUGAUAUAAGAUGUCUUGGGCCUUAAGCAAUGUUGAAGCUUAUUCAACAUUCUCCCUCUUAAGCUUCAACUUGUCUUGAGACAUGUCUUCUAAACCGAUCAAGCUUCUCAUUUCGACGAACUUCACUCUCGCCAAAGCCUUGGUUAGAAUUAGGCCUGAAUUUUUCGGGAAGGGUAACCCGUCCCGUCUCGUACCCGUCCCGAAAUUCCCGAAUUUUUCGGGAAAGGGAAAUUAUAAUUUCCCAUUCGGGAUUGAAAAUAAUAUUUGAAUGGGUAAGAGAAAGGGUAGGGACGAGAAUGGGAUUACCCGAACUUCCCGUUGGGUAAUUAUAUAAAGUAAAAUUUUAGACAUUUCGGUUAUUUGAAAUUUUUUUAUAAUAAAUAAUGAUUUUUCCAAUUUAUUAACAAAUAAUAAUUUUUAAAAAAAAACAAAAAUUGAUUUCAAUCUAAUUAUCUGAAUUAUCCGAAAUUUUUUCCGUCUCUUUCCCAUUCUUUUUCCGAUUAUAUUUUAUUUUGGGAUUGUAUGGGAGGUAUGUUUUGAUUCCCGAAUUUCCCGUUCCCGUCCCAUACCCGUAAAUUCCCCUCCCGUUAUUUUGUGGGAAUAAUUUGGAUAGUAUAUUUAGAUUCCCAAAAUUCCCAUUCCCCUCCCCUACCCGUCAAUUCCCGUCCCAAUUCCCGAAAAAUUCAGGCCUAAUUAGAAUAUCAGCCUUUUGCUCUGUUCCUGGUACAUGUUCAACAUUCACAAGCUCCCUCUCAAUGCAUUCACGCACAAAGUGAUACCUCUUGUGAAUGUGUUUGCUUUUGCCGUGAAAUACUGGAUUUUUUGUGAGUUCUAUAGCCGACUUGUUAUCGAUUCUGAUCACGACUUGCUCUGGUUCCCAACCUGUGACUUCGCUAAGAACAUCUUGAAGCCAUAUAGCCUGCCUCGCUGUUUCAGUUGGCGCCAUAAACUCUGCUUCGCAUGAUGACAAAGCAACUGUAUCUUGUUUCUGAGAGCACCACGUUAUAGGUGAGGCUCCAAGAUAGAAAAUAUGUCCUGUGGUAGUUCUCCCGUCGUCUUGAUCAAUAUUAUGACUGCUGUCGCUGUAUCCGACGAUUUUCAUUGUUGUGUCACGUAUGAACUUUAAACCGAAUGCCAUAGUCCCUUUGAGAUAUCGUAGGAUCUGCUUCAUUAUCUCUCCAUGGGAUUUUCGUGGGCUUUGCAUGUACCUGCUUGCAAUGCCAACUGCGAAUGCUAAAUCUGGACGAGUAUGAAGUAUAUACCUUAAGCAGCCGACAUUUCUCCUAUAGCCUGUGGCAUCGAUCUCUGGUUCUUUCUCAGCCUUUGAAACCUUAAGUCCGAAAUCCAUGGGAAUCAUAGUAGAGUUGCAGCUCUCUAAACCGGCUUCUCUUAAUAUUCUGCGUGCAUAAGCUUCUUGCUUAAUUUCUAUUCUAUCAUCACUUUGAUGAACCUCUAUGCCGAGAUAGUAUGUGAGUUUGCAAAGAUCGGACAUCUCGAAUUUUGAUGACAUUGCAAUUUUAAAAUCCCUUAGUGUCUUAAGAUGAUUGCUUGUAACAAACAAGUCAUAUACUUAGAUUGCAAUUAUCAGCAAAUUCCCUCCUUCUUCCUUUCGAUAUACUGAUAUCUCUUUCAUGCACCUCACAAACUUCAUACCCUUUAAAAUUUGAUCCAGUUUGGUAUUCCAUGCUCGCGGAGCUUGUCGAAGGCCAUACAAGGCUUUGGAUAGUUUGUAGACUUUCUGUUCUUCACCUUUUAUUUCGAACCCUUCUGGUUGCUCGACGAACACAUCUUCCUUUAAUUCACCGUGUAAAAAUGCUGUUUUAACGUCCAAGUGGUGAAUUUCCCAUCCGUGCAAUGCAGCUAGAGCCAUUAACAGUCUGAUGGUCUCAAUUCUUGCAACCGGUGCAAACACCUCGUCGAAGUCCACUCCUAACUCUUGUAUGUAGCCUUUAGCGACAAGUCUCGCUUUAUACUUGUUAAUGGUGCCGUCUGCGUUCUUCUUUAUCUUAAAGAUCCACUUGAGACCAAUAACCUUCAUGUUACUUGGUCGAUUAACAAGAUCCCAUGUUCUGUUUUUGUUAAUUGAGUGGAUUUCUUCUUCACAUGCUUUUCUCCAUUCUUUUAUAUCCUUUGCCUAUCUGUAGCAUCUUGGCUCGCUGUCUAUGGAAAGGAGAAGUCUUUCGCAUUCAACUGCAGCUUGCAUCACGAAAUCGUCGAAGUAACUUGGCUUUCUAACUUGACGUGAUGAUUUUCUCAGCACCGGUUCUCCUUGUACUGUGCUGUUUUCAUUGUGCUCAUGAUUUUGAUGGUUUGACCCACUAUCGUUGUUAUGCUCACCGUUCUCGAAGGUAUUUGUGUCUUCAUUAUCAACGUCACUUUGAUCUUGUGUAUUAGUUGCUACAGGGCCUUCCCCUGUAUCUACAAUUUCGCCCCAUCUCAUUUGGAACAUUCCUGGAUCCCUGCUUGGUCCACUCGUUGUUGCUUUCCAACUCCAGCCCAUCUUUUCGUCGAACACGACAUCACGGCUGACUACUAUACGUUGAUUCGAUGGAUCAUAUAAUCUGUACGCUUUUGAUCCUUGUUCAAUCCCCAAGUGAACAAGCGUUUGUGACCUGUCGUCCAGUUUUCUGAGUUUUGAUGAAUCGACUUUUGCGAAUGCCAAACAUCCGAAGAUCCUUAAGUGCUCGAUGUUGGGUUUCUUCUCCCGUAAGCUUUCGUACGGAGUCAUACCAUUCAAGGCUCUUGUGGGAACUCGAUUUAUGACAUAUGUGGCACGUCUUACAGCCUCUCCCCACAAGUAGUUUGGUACACUUUUGUCUUUAAGCAUACUCCUCGUCAUCUCCAUUAGAGUUCUAUUUCUCCUUUCGACAACUCCGUUUUGUUGAGGCGUAUAGGGUGCCGUUAAUUGCCUCCUGAUUCCAUUUGUUUCACAGAACUCAUGAAACUCAUUGGAUGUGAAUUCUCCCCCUCGGUCAGUUCGAAGUGCACUGAUUUCUUCGCCAAGUUCUUUCUCGAUCAAGUGCUUAAACGUUUUAAAUUUGUCGAAGGCAUCUCCCUUCUCCUUUAAAAGAAUGGUCCACAUGUAUCUUGAGAAAUCGUCUAUAAUGACAAAGACGUAUCUGUUAUGUGCAAUGGUAGCUGGUGUUAUUGGCCCACACAGAUCUGCAUGAAGGAGUUUUAGAGGUUUUUCUGCUCGAUACAUGGUUGCUUUUGGAAAACUUUUACGAGUUUGUUUUCCAACAAGACAUGAUUCGCAUAUCCUCUUCUCUUCUCUCACCGUUGGUAAUCCAUGCACUAUCUUCUUUUGGGACAUAUCUUGAAUCGUUUUGAAGCUUAUGUGCCCAAGUCUCGCGUGCCACUUCCAUGUACUAUCUUCUAUUUGUGAUUGCAGGCAUGUGGGUUUGCCGAUCUGAAGUUUGAUCUUGUAGAGCCGAUUUGGUGAUCUGACAACCUUUACUAGAAGUCUGUUGUUAGAAUUAUGCACGGUUAGAUAGUUCUGCCUCAUGCGAACAUCACAUCCAACCUCGGUAGCUUGUCCCAAGCUGAGAAUGUUGCUCUUAAGAUCAGGGAUAUAGUAAAUAUCUUUCACAAGUAUUUGCUCAUCCGAUUUGCUUUGGAAGAGUAUGGACCCCUUUCCUUCUAUCUCUACACAUGAGCCGUCUCCAAAUUUAACCUUGCCUUUAAUGCUUCUGUUGAGUUCCGAGAAGUAAGAUUCAUUGCCAGACAUGUGAUUGCUUGCACCAUGAUCCAAGUACCAUAUACCUUCUUCUUCCUUGUAGUUCUUUGGUAUGAUCUUAUCUUCAUUUAAAAAUAUAAUCUCGUGCAUAUACAAAGCUUCCCCUUCCUCGGUUUCCUCUGUUUCUACUACAUUAGACUCUUGAAACCUCCGAGUUCUGUCAGGGCAUUUAGACGCAAAGUGUCCUGGCUUGUCGCAGCGGUAACAGAUUACUUUCGAGAGAUCUCGUUUUUCUUUUGUUUGAUCGUUUUGAUCAGUUGUUAUGUCUUGAGAGUUAAACCGUCCUCCUCUGCCUCGACCCCUGUAUCCACGUCCUCUUCCUCUUCCGUAAGAGUUUUGUUGGUCUGAAUUUGCGUACAACAACUUGCCUUGCGUAUCAUCUUGAUUUUCGUCAUCCAAGAUACGCUCUUCAUAGGCCUUAAGUCGCCCGAUGAUGUCUUCAAAUCCAGUUUUCUUUAGGUCUAACACUUGUUCCAGAGAUGCAAUGAUGUGAAUAUACUUUUUCCUCGGUAAGCUAUUAAGAAACUUCUUAACUAGCUUAGUUUCAUCGAUCGUUUCUCCAAGUGCAGCUGACUUUGUUGCGAUUUCUGAUAACUUUCCCGCAAAGUUAUCGAUUGUCUAUGUGUCUGUCAUCUUCAUUCUUUCAAAUUCUGACAUUAGAGUUUGAAGCCCUGCUUCUUUGACACGCUCUGCUCCGAGGUUGCGAUCUUUAAUCGCUUCUCAUAUCUGUUUUGGAGAUUUUUGUUCACUGACUUGUAAAAUCGAAUUCUCCGGUAUGGAUUGGAAGAUUAGACCCGUUGCGAUAUCGUUUUUGGUGGAAUCAUCUGAUCCUGGCUCGAUCGUUUCCCACGCUUUGUGAAUACGCGGCAUCACUCUCAUCCUCAUCGCCCAAACUGUGUAAUUAGUAGAGGUUAACAUCGGACACUGUAUAGACGACGGAAUCGUCUCCUUCGUUUGGUUCGCCGGAAUUACGUCUCCCAUCUUCAAAGUACUGUAUGAUCUUAGAAUCUGAUGUUUAGAACCAGCGCUCUGAUACCAAAUAUAGAAUCUAAGAACACAAAUUAGAAUGAAUAAAGAAUAACUCUCUUUGUAUUAUUGCUUAGGAAAAUCACUCUCAAAACCUAAACAACUCAAGUAACUCUUAUGUUAUGUCAUUAGAGGUGUCAAUCGGGCCUUUUGUCUGUGGGCCAGGCCCGUUAAGGCCCUAAUGGAUGCGGGUUUGGACAACAUAUAUUUUGCCCAAUAAGAAGUGGGCUUUAUGGGUUGAUCCGCUGUGGAUCGCGGAUUAAACGGGUCAACCCGUUGCGGACAUGCGGGUAUGUGGGUUGACCCGUAAAUAUAUAUAUGUCAAAGAAAAAAAAAACGUUUCAGAAAAAAUUAAGACCUUUUGUUACUACUAGAGUCUCUUAUAACUUAAUUAAAACCCCUAAAUAUAGCAGCCAAGCAGGAAACUCAAAAGUUAAAAAACUAGAAUAUUAAAAUUAAAACAAAGCUUCUCAGUUCUCCCGUCAAAAACAACAUCUGCUUCUAGUCAAUUAUUUGCAGAAAACUAAAUUCAACAGUUCAGUCACCUUUGUAAUGGUAAGGUGUUUAUUUUUUUAAUAUUGUUUAUGCUUUAUCAAUUUUAUAGAUUCUGCCAUGCUUAUAUAAGUUUUUGCAGUAACUAAAAUUGAAUUCUCGAUGUAUAAUUCUUUUUAAUGUAUCUUGCAUACUCUGUAUAUAUUCAUAAGUUUCUCAUUCAAUAAAAUUAUAGAAUUCCAUAAACUUCAUAUGGUAAACCCUAAACCUUAUAAAUCUUCAAUAAAAUUAAAGAUUUAUUUUCAGCCCACGGGCUAGUCCGUUUACCCAUUGGGCUUGGCGGGAGCUUGGACAUAAUUUUGUUGUCCGUAAUUUUAGCGGGCCAGCCCAUCAAAGACCGCAAAAAUAAAAAUCCGCAGCGGAUGUGGUCCGUUGGGCGCAGGCUGGCCCGUUUGACACCCCUAUAUGUCAUAGCUCGACACACAUAUAUAUAGUAAAACAAUUUCCUUUUCCUAAUAGUAUUAGAUACCUCCUAAUCUUAUCAGAAACUAUCAAAAACCAACUUAAGCCCUACUUUAUCCUAGUCCUACUUGAUAUAAGAUGUCUUGAGCCUUAAGCGAUGUUGAAGCUUAUUCAACAUUUUCCAGUUCAACAAACUUAAGCGAAGAUACCAGACACGGAGGCACCAACAUGGAGGCACGCAUGGAAACAUUAUUUUCGUUCCAAUUCCAGCACAUCAAAUUUGAGGUGGCAGUUGUUGUCAAAGAGAUGAACUAGACCACUGAUGCCUUCACCCAGAAAAAAAAACCGCUGACAUAUUUUUGAGUUUUGAGAUUAGAGGCUUCUCAAUUAGGACUCAGUGAUCAAUCAUUUCUUGAAUGGAUAAUAUAUGGUUUUGGACUUUGGUUCCAACAUAAAAAAAUAUGUUUGUUAUGACUGAAUUUUUUUUUAUGGAUUUCAUGAUAUUUCAUAAUCCUUUAUUCAAUGAUGUUUAAAUAUUUAUUUUGUUUCACUUUAUUUUUUAUUUAUUUAUAUGCAUAAUUUAUAUAUAUUUAAUAUUUUUGAUCAUUUAUAUUUUAUAAUAUUUGUUUAUUGGUUGAAUAGAUGUCAAUUAAAUUAAUAUCUUGUUUAGUAGAAAGGAAUACUUAUAAUUUACUAAGAUUUUUUUAGUUUUUCGCUUUACGUAGACAUUCUUUUUUAUAAGAGAGGGAGUGUUUUCUAUCUUUUUUUUUUACUUCUAGGAGUAUUUUCUAUCUUGAAGCACAUAAUUUUUAUUUUUUUAUUAAUAAAAUCAUAAUGGUUGUGGAAGUCUCCAAAGCCUAAUGGUUGAUCAAAGAUUAUUGAUGUUUCAGGAGAUUUGGAUUUUAAAUCCUAGAAAGUGUAAUUUAUUAUUAAUUUGCAGAUUGAAAGAAUAUAGGAUAUUCUCUAAAUAUUUUGUAAAUGUUGUUCAGAUAUUUUAGGCUGAGAUCUCUUUUGGAAUCUCGUUUUGUAAUCCCUGAUAUUUGGGAACAGUUUUGGCUUUAUAUAGCCUUGUGAAUACAACAUGAAACCGGACGGGGAAUUCACCAUCUUUCAUGGUAUCAGAGCCUAUAAGCUCCUAACCUCUUCUCUAAGUUCUUUCUUCUUCUUUCCCUCGUUCUCUCCUUCCUUUUCUUUUUCUCUCGUGUUAUCUUUCAAUGGCUGCUCCCCCAGCUGCAGUAGAACGCGCCUUCGGCGUAACAAAUAUCAAAUCUCAUAUCCCCAUCAUACUUGACUUUGAUGAUCACAACUAUGAUGCGUGGAGGGAGCUUUUCCUCACACACUGCUUAGCUUUCGACGUCGCCGGACAUCUUGACGAAACCCUCCUUCCCACUGGCGCUGAUGAUGCUGCUUGGCACAAACGUAAGUGGGGAUUUUUCGGUGAGUAGAGAAAUGAUUGUUUUUGGUUUGUGGAUACCAGACUUGGUUCGAGUCGUCAUUGCGUGACGAGGAGCGGGAAGAAUUUGUGUUGGUGGGUUAGUUUGUAUGGGUGGUGGUGUUGGACCACGGUAAGAUUGAGCAUAUGGGUUCCAGUUUUGAAACUGGUUCGGCCAUGAAUUGUAAGGUGGUGUCCACAUGCCCGAUGGAUUCCAUGUAGGGAAGUUUGGAUUGAACUGGUUGUUGAAUCUGCCACGACGGUUUCUCUUGUUGCCUCUGUAGUUGUUGUAACGCUGGGUUUGAUUCUGCCUGUUUUGUUGUUGAUUAGGAACCGGCGACGGUUGCGGAUUGGAGACGACAAGCGCUGACGGUGAUGAGGAAUGGUCGGCGUGAGUAGCUGUAGCUCUGUGUUGGCGUUUGAGUCGAGUUUCUUCACCCUCCAGCAUGUUUUUCGCAUCAUCGAAACUUGGAAAAGGGUCCUUGUGUUUGAUAACAUUAAUGAUGUUAUCGUAUUUGUCGUUGAGACCGUUGAUGAGGUACAUGACGAGAGUUCUGUCGGUGACUGGAGCGUCGACAUUGGCGAGGAGGUCAGCAAUGGAUUUGAGUUUCUGGGAAUAGUCUCGGGACUCGAGUGCCCGGAAUGUCUCGGGAAUUAAUGCCCGGAAAUUGGUACCAAUAUGGAAUCGAACCCUGGUGGGAGCUGCAACGUUAGCGAGACUCGACCACUUUGUGCGGGUUCGAAUUGGUGUUUGAAGAAUGGUUUGAAAAAUGGGAGCUGGUUCAUCGUGGUCCAGAAAUUUGUAAGGAGUAUGUGGAUUUUGGUGCUUUUGAGCAGCUGGAAAUUUCUCUUCAUCGAAAUGGACGUGGCGAGAUAUGAUGAUCUUAUUGGUUCUUAAGUCAAGGCAUCUGUACCCUCGGUGCUGUAAAGGAUAACCUAGAAAGAGACAGGGUGUGGAUCUUGGUGAUAAUUUGUGGAGAGAAGAGUUAUUGAGAUUGGGAAAGCAUAGACAGCCAAAGACUCGCAAAUGAUCGUAUUUUGGAUAUUUCUUGAAAAGCAAAGUGUAUGGGAUCUGAUUUUGAAUUGCAGAGGAUGGUAAAAUGUUCAAGAGAUGAACGGCGACAUGGAGAGCUUCAACCCAAUAACAUGGCGAGAGCUGAGCUUGAAAAAGCAGAGAUCGCACAGAAUUGAAAAAGCAGCUGCUCAAAAGCACCAAAAUCCACAUACUCCUUACAAAUUUCUGGACCACGAUGAACCAGCUCCCAUUUUUCAAACCAUUCUUCAAACACCAAUUUCGAGCCCCACACCAACACCACCACCCAUACAAACUAACCCACCAACACAAAUUCUUCCCGCUCCUCGUCACGCAAUGACGACUCGAGCCAAGUCUGGUAUCCACAAACCAAAAACAAUCAUUUCUCUACUCACCAAAAAAUCCCCACUUCCAAAAAGCUAUAAACAAGCCCUUUCUGAUCCAAAUUGGACACCAGCGAUGACUGAUGAACAUGGUGCCAUGAUUGAAACUAGAACUUGGGAUCUUGUACCUCGACCUCCAGGGGUCAAUAUUGUUAACUCUAUGUGGUUGUUCAAACAUAAGUAUGAUGCAGAUGGAGCUCUAACACGCCACAAGGCCCGAUUAGUUGCAAAUGGCAAAUCGCAGGAAGCAGGCAUCGACUUUACCGAGACGUUCAGCCCAGUAGUCAAGCCUGCGACUAUUCGCACUGUUCUAAACAUUAGGGUAGCUCUCAAUUGGCCGAUCCAUCAGCUUGAUGUGAAAAAUGCCUUUUUGCAGGGAGAUCUUGAAGAAACUGUUUAUAUGCAUCAGGCACCUGGCUUUGUGGAUCCACAAUUUCCCAAUCAUGUCUGCAAAUUACGCAAAGCCAUCUAUGGCCUUAAACAAGCACCAAGGGCUUGGGAUUCACGGUUUGCUAAAUUUCUAAGUCAAAUUGGAUUUCUGCGCAGCAGAGCUGAUGCCUCUCUUUUUGUUUUCAAAAGAAAUCGUGAUCUGGCUUACAUACUCCUUUAUGUCGACGAUAUAAUCUUAACAGCUUCUUCAAUGAGUCUUCUUCAUCAGAUCAUCGCUAAGCUCAAAGAAGAAUUCCCAAUGACAGACAUGGGGAAGCUCCAUCACUUCCUUGGAAUAAAAGUUGAGUACAAUGCUCAAGGUAUGUUCCUCAGCCAGGCUUCGUACGCAAAGGAAAUACUUGAUCGCGCGGGAAUGGCUAACUGCAAUCCAUGUUCGACACCGGUGGAUUUAAAAUCCAAGCAAUCGGCGGAUGCAGGGAAGCCUGUUGACGAUCCCAAGGCUUAUCGACAGCUUGCUGGAGCUCUGCAAUAUUUGACCUUCACUAGACCAGACAUCUCGUAUGCUGUUCAUCAGAUAUGUCUGUAUAUGCAUGAUCCUCGACAACCUCACCUUCAAGCCCUCAAGCGGAUCAUCAGAUACAUUAAAGGAACAGCAUUGCAUGGUUUACAGUUGACUAAAGGUCCAAUCGAUCAGCUAACAGCAUAUUCGGACGCCGACUGGGCUGGAUGUCCGGACACGCGACGUUCAACAUCUGGUUAUUGUGUUUAUCUGGGUAAUAAUCUAAUUUCCUGGUCUGCAAAGCGUCAGCAAACAGUUUCUCGUUCGAGCUCGGAGGCAGAGUACAAGGGCGUGGCAAACACAGUUGCAGAACUCUGUUGGUUACGUAAUCUGAUGCUAGAACUACACUUCAACAUCCACAAAGCUUCUUUGGUCUACUGCGACAACAUAAGUUCAGUUUACCUCGCCACCAAUCCAGUUAAACAUCAACGCACAAAGCAUAUUGAACUGGAUAUACAUUUUGUUCGUGAAAAAGUCGCUAUUGGGGAAGUUAAGGUUUUACAUGUUCCAUCUAGCCUGCAAUAUGCAGACAUUUUUACGAAGGGAUUACCAACGUCUUUAUUCGAAUAAUCGUAACUAAUAAUAAAUAAAUAGAUAAAGGAGCCCUCCUUUAUAUGAUCAAUGUUGAUACUACUUUUUUUAUUUUGUAAAUGUUGUUCAGAUAUUUUAGGCUGAGAUCUCUUUUGGAAUCUCGUUUUGUAAUCCCUGAUAUUUAGGAACAGUUUUGGCUUUAUAUAGCCUUGUGAAUACAACAUGAAACCGGACGGGGAAUUCACCAUCUUUCACAGAUUAAUGGAGAUAAACUUAUAGAAAGUUUUUAACAUGAUGUAUAGAAAUCCGUUGGCGUGUAUACAAGCAGGAGAAUUAUCCGUUGUAAAAUUAUUGCUAUAAUAGUUUUCAUAAUUUAUAAUAAAAUAAUAAAAUAGUGUUUGAAAAAACACAAAUGUUUGUUUUUCUAGUAGAGAUUGGCUAACAAUAAAUCAUCUACAAAUGGAUGUGUCAUCUAAAAUUUCCAUCAUCAAGAUUCACAACCAUAAUCGAUCUUACAGUCCAUAAAAGAGGACUAGAGAAUUACUAUCUCAUGAUAGGAAUCGAGCAAUCAAUGGCAACCGUAACAUGGUUUGAUGAUAACAAACAAUUAUUUUUAAUUAUUUAUAAACUAUAUCCGAAUAUUUCUGAACUAAACAUCUGAAUAACUUCAGGAAAAAAAAAAGAUAAUCAGAAACUAAUCAAAAACCAAAAUGAUGAAUUUUUUUUAGAGCGAGAUGUUUUUCUAAAUUACAUAAUAGAUGCAUACAUUUUUUGUCAAUAUUUGAAAUGAUUAAUAUUUGGGAAAAAAAGUUAUACAAAUUUAAUUAACACCAAUUAAACAAAAUAUUAUCGAUUAAAAUUUUAUAAUCAACUUACUAAAAUAUGAAGUUGUAAAAAGGUUCCGUGUGCCAUGUUACCAGACUCGAACUCGAGUCGCCGGUGUAUCCCGCUUCUAUCAGUUUUCUGCUUUUCCAUUAGAAAUUAGGGUUUUGGAAGAGGAAGAAGAGCAAGAGUCUCUCCGUCUCGAUUUUCCCUCAUCUUGGUAAUUUCUGUUUCGCUCUUGUUCGUUUCCUCUUGUUUCGUUCCCCCAAAUCCAAAUUUAAACCCUAAUUUAUGGGCUUUAUCCUCUUUCGUUAUCGCAGAUUCACUCCUUUCUUAUCGAAAGGCGAUGGCUUCUUUGUUCAAGGUACACAAGUUUAGAUUUUAUCUUGUUUGGUGAAUUCCGGUGAACGCAUUUCUGGGUUUUGCUUAUGAUAGCUUGGAAACUCGAGAUUGGUCACGGCAGUUAAUUUUUCAGUGAAUUGAGUGUAUGAGUUGAAGCGAUUGUUAACAUAAUGAUGAGUGAUGAAACCCUAAAUCGACUAAAUUGAUUUGGAGAAAUUGAAUGUUUUCUCGCAUUUGAAGAAGGAUAUUUGACUUGCUUUUAGCUGAACUUGCAUAUUUAGGGAUUGAGUUUUGUCAAUUUCAUAUUUGUUGAUACCAGGAGCAAGCAAAGCUCUCGGCUUAUCGAGAUAGAAGAUUCUCAGGAACACAAGAGGAGUUCGACGAGGCGCUAAGGACUUCUUCGACGGUUUACAUUGGAAAUGUGUCUUUCUACACAACCGAGGAACAGAUUUACGAGCUUUUCUCCAGAGCAGGAGAGAUCAAAAAGAUCAUCAUGGGGUUGGAUAAGAACACAAAAACACCCUGUGGUUUCUGUUUCGUCCUGUAAGUUUCCAUUUUCAAAGGGUCUUUUUAACCAGUUUCACCUGUAAGUUUUCAUGAUGAUAGGUUGGUGAUUUUGCUUGUGUGUGUGUCUUGUUAUCAGGUUCUACUCGAGAGAGGACACAGAGGAUGCAGUGAAAUAUAUAAGUGGGACUAUUCUUGAUGACCGGCCUAUUCGUGUUGAUUUUGAUUGGGGAUUCCAAGAAGGAAGACAAUGGGGACGUGGUAGAAGCGGUGGCCAGGUAUUCAUCAAAUGCAUCUUCUUCUGUAAUUUUCUGACCCUUUGUGUAUACAUUAUUUGUUGUAACUAUGUUUUUCUAAUUUCAUACAGGUUCGAGAUGAAUAUCGUACUGAUUACGAUCCUGAUAUCCUUUCAAUCCGCUUUUGUUGUGCUUAAUAGUUCUUGUUUAUUAUGCAUGCUUAUUAUAGACACAAACCAGUUGGGAUCUGGCUUUGAGGUUUGAUUGCUCGGUUUAUCUAUCCUUUUUUUUUUCUUUAACUCAUUGAUACCUAGAGGUGGUUAUGGAAAAUUAGUUCAGAAGGAGCUCGAAGCACAAAGGCAGCUCGUAGAUUACGGUACUGGCUCAUUGGGAGCAUAUCCUGCUGCUGCGCAAUCGAAUUGUAAGUUCUUUCAACUUUCUAUCUGAUCUACAUGAUUUGUUCCUGGUUACAUGUUUUUGCACUGAACUGUGUAUGGUCAACAUGUGGGAGUACCACCAUGAAACGCUAGUUCUAAGAUUAGCAUUGUAUUGCCCAGAAGAAGACAUCUUCUUGUCCUUUUACGGGUUACCUUUGUCAUAGAUAGUUAUAAUCAUAAAUCCUAACCUAAGGAGCUAAUGGAAGUUCAUCGUGUGAGAACUUGAUAGUAGAGUCUGCAUAUAAUUUAUUACUUUGGAGAUACUUCCAUCUUCCUAAAUGGUUAAAUCAAUCAUGCAGAUGGAAGGCGUGGUGGUGGAGGAGGCUAUGGCCAAGGAGGAAAUCGCCAUGGAAGAGGAGGAGGAGGUAUAUAUGUUACUAAAUUAACAUAAUGGAUAGUAAAAUUGCAAAUCAUCAGCCACAAGCAUAACUUAAAACCCAUUUGAAGUUUUUAAUGUUUUUUUGCAGAUUACCAUCGGAAACGGCAAAGAGACGAUGAUCGUUAUGGACGUGAGAACUCGAGAAGAAACUCAGAUCAGGAGUCUAGGAGAGAGACUGAUCAUGACAUGAGACCGGUAUUAAUUAAAAGAGAUUAUUCAUUCUCGCAAAUAAACUUUUUGAGUGAAUUUUGGUAUGUUACUGAUGUGAUGCUUGGGACAUUGCCUGCUUUGUGUGAAUUUAACAGGAGAAGAACCCACGAUUCCGUGAGAGCGGUGACUCAGACGAUGACGGUGAAGAUGAUCGGAAGAGAAGAUCUUGAUUUUGAAGUUGCAAAUGUUGUUGAAGGAUCAAUGUAAUCUUUAGUUUUAUGAGUCUGAACUUAAUUUGGGGUUUGCUAGAUUUUUCAUUACAACACUUUGAGUUGGUUUCAUCAAAUGUCAUAUCCUCGUGUAACUAACUUUUUCUCAUUGAUCAACUGAAAUAUCAUUUCGAGACUUUUGGGCCAAAAGAGCCUAUUUGAAGGCCCACCAUAACACUAGCCAAAUAAAAUGUAUCAAUCUGGCUCUCCGUUUAGGAUGUUGAGGAUUGUAUAAUCUUGAAUGCCUUCUUGAAUAUGUAGACAAAUUGUUAUAUUCUGAAGUAUAUAAUUUCGUUAUAGAUAGGUGCAAAAGGUGAAAAUAAAAUUUUCCACACUUAUCCAUAUUGUCUAAAAAAAUCUUUAAACUAUUUUAUCGAACAAGUAAUUAAUCUUUCACUUUGCAUUGAUUUGACAAAUUAGAUCUAACUAGGAAUAUAUACAAAUGGGUUUCUGUCCGAAACUUCAUGUUUAAAACUUGUUAAAAACAAUAAAAAACUCAAUGUUUAAAAGAAAAAAAAAAAGAGAUAAUACUUUUUUUUUUUAAAAAAGAGACUAAUACGACCAACUUGCUUAACUUCGAUACAUGUACUUCAUAUAUACUCCUUGGAGUAAGAAAUACAUAUGAUCAAUCAACAAGGAUUUAUCAUCUUCCUUGCAAAAAUACUUAUAAAUUAAAGAGACCAAAAAAAGAAAGAUGUUAACAAAUGCAAUUUCGACGAAUUUUGUCUCUCUCAAGGACGAGGAGGAACAUUAGGAACGCCUUGACGUUGUAACUCCGUCAUGACGCCGUCAACUGAUGGCGGUUUGAGUCCCAGAGGAAGCGGUAGCCACGGCUUUGUUAUCACGUCUCCAAUAGCGGCGUCUAUGCUCUCGUUAGACUGCACCGUCAAAGUCAAACACAAUUAAUAGGAUAAGGUUAUCAAAAUUAAACAAACUUUUUUGGAUUAUCUCAUAAUCAAAGAUAAAACAAAAGAAAAUUCAAACAAACUAAAGGUACACUCACGGGAUGAAUGUCGAGAGGAGGAUUAGUAGGGCCUAAUGGUCUUGUAGGAACACCAAUGCUUGUUUCUGAUUUAAUAUUAUACAUCGAAUGAUUCGAUGAUGAUGCCAUACCAUAUCCCUACACAUAUAUAUAUACACGUUAAACCCUAAUUAAACAAUACAACAUCAGUUUUAAUUAUACAGUCCGUGUUGCAUGCAUAGUAACUUAUAGCUCUUAAUCUGAUUAGUAAUCCUCUUAAAAAUUAGUUUAACUUGUAUAUCAAAGGAAUAGUGAAAUAUCCAAUGACUUGCUAUAAAGAAAUCAUUUCUCAAAUUUGUGCAUGUUUAGAAUGGUAAAAUAUGGUUAUGUUUUUCAUUUAAUAAUUUUGUCGUUUCGUUAUAAAUUUUGUAAUCAUUGUUUUUCAAUUAUCAUAAUUUUAACCGUGUAACCAAUCAAAAUCAAUAAAACAUUUUAGAAAUGAAUUUUACCUGUGGAUAGAGUGGCUGUUGGUGCCAAUAUGGUGGAUGAGCUGGCCAAGACGACGGAGCCACCGCCGCAACGGCCGGAAUCGGAAACGUCCGAUGAGUAGUCGGUGGAAUGUUAGGCUUGUGUUUAGGCCACGUAGGAUGACCCCACACGUGCAAAGGCCUGAAGUGGCCGUGAUGCAAUGGUGUCACGUGCGGUGGAUAGCCUAAAGCAGGAGCCAUCCACGGCUUCUUCCCUCCUCCUCCUCCGGCAACUGCCACGGUGGCAUGUCGUCGGAGAUUCCAGCUGGCAGCUUCUGCUUCACGCGCUAGUAAAUGCUUCCGGUGUGACCUAUAUUUCUACCAUUACAAGAGAAACCCACAAAAUUAAUCUCAUGAAACGGAUCUGAGUUCGUGUGUAUUUUAAAUUGUUUUUUUUAAUAACUAAUAAUACCAUAAAUUCUGAUUGGUUAAGAAUAUAGUUAUUACAGGUUAGUAGAUGUAAAAUUUAGUCAAUAGAUUUUUAGAUGGUGAAAUACCUGGAGAUGGCUAGCGACAUUGUGACGAGUGAGAGAUUUAACAUUCAUAAUUUCCAAAAUCCGAGAUGGCACAGCCUUGUCUACCCCUAAUUGCUCCACCGCUUGUACGAAUUUCCGGUGUAAAUCCGGCGUCCAGUCCACCUGAUUUACCGGUAGCAAGAAACACAAAUUGUUUAGAUUGAUUAUUAUAUAAAAAACAAAAUUAUUUAUUUACUUACAACAAAUUAGAUGAUUAAUCUGCCAUGUGCCGAAAACAUAAAAAUUAAUCUUAAAAAUUAAAGUUUUUGCUGUUAGGAUAUUAAAUUGUUUAAUAUAGAAUAAUUUUUUUAUCUAAAAUCGACAAACUAGAUGAUCGAUCUGUCUUAUGCGAAAAACAUAAAAUUUUAUCUUAAAAUCAGAUAGUUUUAAGAUUAAGAUUUUGCUGCUAUAAAAUUAAACUGUUUCAUAAAUAUAUGUUUUUUUUAUAAAAAAAAAAAUCUAGAGGAAUUCAAAACAUACAUUUACGAUGUAUUGUGAAAAAAAUGUUGAACAAACCCAUAUUAUAAAAUCCUCUAAAAUACCCAAAAGUUUAUGGCAUUAAAUCAAAUCAAUGGAAUACUAUUAAGAAAAAGGUAAAAAUUUAGUAUUUUUUCAAAAGGAAAAAGGUGAUUUAAUAUGGUUAAUUAGGAAAAAUAUAUAGAUAGAAACAAACCUUGGUUUUCUUCUUAAUCUCGUUAUUAGCUGAUAAACAAUCUUUAUUUUUCUUCCCUUUACGUUUGCCUCUACGCACCGUUUUGUCCGUAUCACCACCAGCACCACCUUGAGGCUUAAACUCCCCACCGUCUCUCUCCGAUGUCUCCGACGCCGUCGAAGUGUUUCCCUCCAUUUCUUGUUCUUCAUCUCUUCCGCUGCCGCCGGAAUGUUCCCCGAGAAUCUCCAAAUCCGGCAAAACAUCGUCUCCAUCGAAUCCAAUGAAAAGGUCGUCGUAGUAAUCGAUCCCUUCAAGAAAAUCGAGACUACCGUCGUCGGAGAAAUCUCCGACCGUCUUGAAGUCCGGCAAGUCUUCCGUCGUAAAAUCUGCAAAAUCAGCCGCCAUGUGAUCGUCCUUUGAGGUGGUGUUGUUUACGACGAGGGGAGACACAGUUAACAUCGAAUGGUGAAAAUGGAAAAAAAAAUCAAGAUUCGAAAAUUUAGAGAAAACAAGAAUGACACACAGUGAAGUAGUAUUAUGUGUCUAUAUAUAUAUAUAUAUAUAGAUAUACAUAGACGUGUGUGUGAGUGUCUGUAUAGAUAUAGAUAGUUCCAAGGUUUAUUAAAAUCUUUAUAUGCCAUGUAUAUGUGUUGGUGGGACUGACAUGAGCAAAGCUGUGGUUGAGAGAUAUGACUGACAUAAAAAGAAAAUAUAAAUUCAAAGUAUAAUAGUUUUUUUCCAUUAAAAGAUUAGGAAAUUACGUUAUGUCCAUUUUUAUAAAUAUUUCUUUAAAAAUAUUAUGAAAUUUCUUUAAUUUAUAUUUAUAAAUUUCUUUAUAAAUAUAAGUUACAAUGAUACUGUAGAUGAAAAAAAUAUUAUAGAUGAAAACACUACUCAAAUAUUAAAAAAUUUAUCGCAAACAUUCAGAUUACUCGUUAAACAGAAAUCAUAAAAGUUUUCCGAAAUCCAAACUCGGUCCAAGUUCGAUCCAAUAUUAUUUAAAAAUGAAAAUCGAGUUGGGCCUUACGUAUAAUUAAAAUUAGGCUUUUUAUUAACGUAAAAAUACAUGUUUAUCUUAAAAUUUACGUUUAAAUUUUUGGGCCUCAAACAACCGUUUAUCUUGUUUAUCUUUUGGACCGAACUUGUCGAAACCAUAAACAAUUUUAACAAAAAAAAACAUUUCCAUAUGCCGAGAAUUUGUUUAAAAUAUUAAAUUUAAGAUUUGAUUUAAGAAGAUUAUUGUGCUAACUACUCUAAAUUUAUGACAAUCAUAUAAUUCACCAUAUUAACGGAUUAAACAUUUAGCUGUCAUGUUUCAUAUAUAGUGUAUAUGGUGCUAAUGUAGAAGCAGCAAUGCAUUAAUCAAAUUUGAUGGUAACAAUAUUGAUAACUAUUGUAGAUGUCUUAAAUUAGUAAAUAACUAAAUAUCUUAGGAUAUGAAAUUAUUUUAAAUGUUAUGUUUUUUUUUUAAAUAAACUAAAAUCACUGGGAUUAAGAAGUCAUAAAUAAUUUUUGACAUUUUCAUGAAAAUGUAUUGUUUUAAUACUUGACUAAAAAAAUCGAGCCAAUAAAAUAAAAGACAAAGUAGAAUGUAAAUUUUCAUAAUAGAAAUAAAAUUUAAGUUUUGCCUAUAAAUUUUCAAAAAAUAAGAUAAAAAGAAAUUUAAAAAUAUCAGGGAGUAAAAAUUAUUAUAGUUAGUAACGACAAUGGCAAGUAUUGGCAACGUACAAAGUUUUUUUGUUUAAGGACAUACACACAAAUAUUUGUCAUAUUAGUAACCAUAAUAUUUGUCGUAGUAGUAGUAACCAUAACAAUAAAUUUCAAUAACUCAUUAAAAGCCUAAAAGGGCAUCUCGCCAAACAUGUGUGUGUGUGUGUAAAUGCAAUAAGUUAACUUUUAUGGCUUAAACAGUUCUUAAAUAAAUAAUGAUGCGACGCGGCGUUACUGACUUAGUAACGUUAUUUUUCAUUAAUGAUGUUUUGUGUAACGUAAAAAAAAAUGAUGUUUUUGUGUACUUUUAUGUUUAAUGCGUGAAUGUGUAUUUCGUGGCAUUAAACUCAUUAACUCACUUGGCUACAUUCAAAGACUAAAUGACCAAUAUUUAGUAGAUGCCAAGAAUAAAGAGAAAAAUUACUACUCCUAGUCUCCUUUGUACACUUAUUACGUGGCUAUUUACCAUUGUCUUUUCUAAAUAAAAGUUCUUAAUUAUAACGCUCAAGUCUAUUUAUUUCUGCAUAUGGAUACAACAAAAUAAAUAAAUAUAAAAAUAAAGGAUAGGUUGGUUUUUACAUAAGCAACUCACUUAUCCGAAUGAAAAUAAAGGUAACUUUAAGUAUAUAGUUUUGUUAUUUACAUAAGCAACUCAUGAAUAUAAUAUAUUAAAUUUGUGGUGGGAUCUCAACCACAUCUUUUCUUUUUGGGUUAUAAAAGCUAAUUUCCAUUUUACAUCUGUGCGUGUGCCUAUAUAUAUUUGAAAUGAAUAAUGCAGUGCAACGGGGUUGGCUACAAUUUGAUUUUGGUCAUAUUUUUCUCCAUUUCUUUUAUUAAUUAUUAUUUUAUUCUAUGUGGACUCCAAUUAUUUUGAUAAUUUUAUUAUGUGAAAAAGUCAUGUCAUUCUCACUCUUCACCAGACGACAUCUGCUUCGUUUUCGUUUGUGAAAUGUUAAUAUACAUAUAUACCGGGGGGGGGGGGGAAACGAAUUAUUCAGCAAUAUGAAAAUAAAUUAAUAAUGCAACUAAAAAGAGAGGUCACAUUAUUUAUUAAAAUAAAAUAAGAAAAUGAAAUGAUAUGUACAGAUUUAUACAAAACAAAGAGACAAAAGAUGAUGGAGACGAGACGUUGAAACAAGUGGGGGCGUAGAAAUUGACCUUCUCGUGAGCCACAUUUGGAUAAUGUUCCUUUAAUCUCCUUUUUCUUCCCAUUUCAUUCAAUCUACAUGUCUUAUUAAAUAACUGUUGGGAUAGGGAAUUGAAUUCUAUCAAAAAGGUUGACUUGAAUAAGAAGAUUUUAAUUGUAUAGUAUUACCACUAUUUCGAAUUAUACAUAAAAGUGUUACCUUAAUACCAUUACGAUCAAUGAUAUACAAAAUUAUAUCUAAAUCAUAUAUUAGUUUGGUCAAUAUAUAGUCGUUGGGAUCGGUCUACUUAUGAGGGAGUUCACAAACGGACUCAAUAAGUUUUUUUUUUAUUUGCCACGAACCAGAAUAUAUGCUUGCGAAAUAGUAAGAGGUUAUAUCCAUAUUUUCGUUGCUGUCGCCGGAAAUUCAUAAGAGCCUAGAACUUCAAGAAUAAUAAGAAUAGUAUUUUUCGAAAAUUUAAAAACAAACACGAUGAUAUAUAUAUUUUUAAAAAUAGACUAUACUUGGUUGUAGGUAACAUAACAUAUAAAAGAAAAACCAUUGACUUCCAUUACUUAUUAAUAGUUCAAAACAUUCUUUUGCACCCAAAAAAAUACCAUUCCUAGCAAAUAUGAAUUAUUAUUAUAUUGCUAGUAGUCUAGUACUAAUUAAAUUGGUUGAUAGACAUAUUCAGAAAAGGAAGGCAAGAGUCAGAAGAGGGAAAAAGAGAGGAGAACAAAGCAACCAAAAUUUGACAACUUCACACCAAAAAGAAAAUGUUUCACAAAAGGGCAGACACCAAAAACAAAUCAUAUGUAGAGCGUUGUAAUAAUUGAAGCCUUUUUUUUGUUGUUCAAAUAAUAAUUGAAGCCUUUUCUUUACUCAGGAACAUUUAUAAACGUGUUAAUACCAAUAGGUUAAUUAAUAAGAGAUAAUACAUGAUUUGAAGGGAGAAUAGUCUUAUAACUGGACUUCAAACUUUGGAGCAAAUAUAAUACUUGAGUUAAUCGAAGAUCGUAGAAAAAAGAUCUACAAAUUGUAGAAAUUCUUUAUCGAUUAUAAAUGAUUUUACAGUUACCAUUGAAAGUUUUUCGUUGACAACAUGCAGCAUCAAAAUUUCAAAAUUCUUCUACAUGCAUGUAACAUCUUUAAAUGUAUGAAGAUGUUCAAGAAAAAAAUAUCUUUAAAUGCGUAUUUAGUUCGCAUUUAGUUUGAAUAAUGUCAUAUAUCUACUGCUUUAUCUUCGAAAACAAAAAUCUACUGCUUUAUCUAAAAUAAAACAAGCCUAUCAAGACUUUUUAAGAAGUAGAGCAAUUUUUGUUUUACCCGAAAACAUAACAGAUAAUGAUAGAAAAGUAAACAUGAAAUUUUCUUCUUACGACACAUUGAUGUAAUAAUGAUGAGGAUUAUGGAGGUACAAAAAUUUAAUGUCCGUCAAAUCAAAUUACACUGAUGCAUAAUUAGUGAGCGACAUGAGUUGUACCAUUUUUUGGCAUUUAGUUUUACUUCUAUCAAUAAAGAUUGAAUAUCAUUUUCAUGAAUGAAAUGACAUUUUCACAGAAAUGUAUAAAUCGUCGUACAUGUGUUUUUGGAAAUUCGAAAGAUAACUAUAAUGGCAACCUUACAGAUAUUUUAAUUCUUAUAGUAUCCUUAUUUCUUAAAGUUAUUUAAAAUCUAAGAGGGGUAUCAUAGUUGGUGUUUUUUUCCUUUUCUUUUUUGCUUUUUGUCUCACAUAUAAAACAUCUUUAAUUAUUUAGAUUUUUGUUUUUGUGGAUGGUGAACGGACGUAAGCGGGUGUAUAAUGGAGUGAAUGGGUAACUUUAAAUGUAACUAACAUUCUUUUUAUAAGUUGCACAUCACUAAGUACAAUAUUUUAUCCGCUAAAAGUUAUUCAAGUUCACUUUAUAUAAGCUAUAUUUGAUUUGAUCGGAGUUACACAACUCCAAAACAUACUAGAAAUUAUCCUCGACCAAUUUCUAGUCUGUGACUCGAGUUACUCAAUUCUGAAAUAGACUUUAAAUGGACACCGACCAUUUUGUUCAUAUUUAUAAUCUUAGAAUCUCACUUACAUAAUUUUUUUGGAAUCAGCGAACAUUUUGUCUCAGCUUUAAGACUAAAACGCUUCAAAACCUAAAUCUUACUCUCUUUCUAAAAAAAAACCUAAAUCUUUCUCGAUUUGGCUCUGACUUCUAAGUGUGUCCAGUGACUCCUCCUUAACCUUUAGAACAUAUUUAUAUCCACAGGCAUAAACUCUGGACUUAGAAUUUUUACACAAUUUCGUAUAUAUUGAGGUUCCUCUUUAAGUUUAUCAUUUCUUCAAAACAUUUAAGGGAAUAUUUAAAACUAUCGAGCUCGCAUUACAGCCAUGUCACACUUUUGUUUAUAAUAACGUCUAGCUACUACAUCGUCUAAUUGAACACAACUCUUAGCUUUUUUUACGCUCUAAUGCUUGACCGCAUCAUUAUGUUUAUAGACAAAUAAGACUGAUUUUAUUAUUGGAGGCAGAAAAUAGGACUUCAAUAUACAAUAGAGAGAAUGGAGAACGAAAAAGAAUAUAUGUUAACCCUAAACUGACUUUGAGCGUAACACUAGACCCAAUAAAAUUAAUUAUUAAAGUGUCCAAUAUAAGAACACCCACAUACCAUUGAUCCCAUGUUACCGUAAGCAAUUCACGAUACUAUUCAUGACAUAUCAACAGUUUUCGUCUUAGUCUUAGAGGAAGUGUUUGCAUUUCUUUUGUGCCCUGGUUCAAACUCUUUUUGGGACGGAGGGUUAUUCUUUAAAUAGAAAUAUCUAUAGGUUAAAUCUGAAUAUUGAAAGAGAUUAUGGACCAAAAGUAUUUGCAUUUUCUUCCGUUUUCUCGGUUGUUCAAGAAUGCAUAUUAUUGGCAUUCUUUGAUAUUAUUUAUGUUUUACCUCAUUGUUCUUAAACGACAGAUUAAAAUCGUUGUAAUAGUGGUAACUCUGCGAUUGGUCGAAUUUGGCAUCCUCCACGUUAUUUUUUUAAAUGUCAGACUCAUUGACUGUGACUUGUUUGGAACAUUUAAAUCGAAAUGAAGUAAAGAGCACUUAAACCAUCUCUAAUUCUACUCCAUUUCCAUCUCUAAUUCUACUCCAUUUCCACCUCUAAUUCUACUCCAUUUCCACCUCCAAACUCUAUUUUGGAGUAAAAUCCUCUCCAACCCUAUUCUAUUUCCAUUUCUAAAAUAGAGAUAUGAACAGUGCGCCUCUAUAUAUGGAGUGACACUAUUCAUCACCUCCAUUUUUAAGUGGACAUUUUUUUAUUUAUAAUUUGAUCCCUCAUCUAUUAUAUGUUAUCAGAUAAAUCUUAAACAAAAGCUUUAUUAUUUUUUACAUAUAAAUUUUAUUACACAACAAUAAAAAUAUUUUGCUACACAACAAGAAGCAUGUAGGAAAUAUGUAGAAUGUGCAUUUGGAGUUUUGCAAUCGCGUUUUGCUAUUGUGAAAGGUCCAGUUUGUUUUUGGCAAAAGAAUGUGCUACAUGAUAUAAUGACUACAUAUGUAAUUUUACAUAACAUAAUAAUCGAAGAUGAACGUUAUCUUGAUGCUCCGAUUGAAGUUAGAAUAGAAGCUUAACCUCCAGAGAUUCAAUUGGCAGAAGAUGAUAAUAUUCGAUUCCAAGAGUUUCUUGCUCGAUAUAGAGAAAUCAAAGAUAAAGAAGCUCAUUUUUCACUUUGAAAUGCAUUAAUUGAUUAUUUGUGAGAAAAAUAUACUAAUGAUGAUAAUUAAAUUAAAUUAUGUUAUCUUCUUAAGUUAUUAUUGUUUUUAUUAUGUUGUGUAAUGUAAUAUAUUUAUUUAUAAAAAUUUCUUAAAUUAAAAUAACAAUUUUCAUUUUAUUGAAAAUAAAUCACUAAAAUAAAGUUAUUGAAUUCAAUUCAUAAGUUUGAUAAAUAAAAGGGUAUAUCUGUAAAUAAUUUAUAAAUUAAGUAGAAAAAAAAUAUACUUAAAAUAUUCUUUAUGAAGUAAAAAUAGAGUAGGGUUGGAGAGAAACCAAUUCCAUUAUGGAGUUACUCCAUUUAUAAAGUAAAAAUGGAGUAAUGAGUUGGAGAUGCUCUUAAGAUCUUAGAUCAGAAGAUUGUAUUUUGAAAAAAAAAAUGAACAUCAGACUCGAUCAAUCAAUUCGUAUUUUGUGCUAUCCAAAGAAUAUUAACGAAAAAGAAAGAAUAUAUACGUUUUUAACAAACAAGAAAUUAAAGAAUAUAUAUUAACGAAUUUAAACUACUUUGAAAUGAUGAAUAGAAAAAUUUUAAAUGUUAUUUCGUAGCUCGGGUCCUUGUUUAUAGUAAAGCAAUAAUAGAAAAGAAAAUCUUUAGCCAAAAAGAAAAAUAAUAGAAAAGCAAUGAAAUGUUCAAAAAUAUAUAAAUAGAAAAGAAAUUAGACCACACAAAUCACCGUGGAGUAAAACAAUUAAUUUGACAUAAGGAUUAUGGACUUUAAUCAAUUUAUCUUAUCAAUUUUGUUUCUUUUAUGCAAUCCGUACUUGUUUCAUUGUUUCCAACCGGUUAUCUUUCGCAAUCUCCUAUUUUUUUAAUGGAUUCAUCAACACUAGAGUUUUUUUUUAAUAAUUCUUUUUGGUAUUUUUGAAUCUCGAAAAACUAUCUGCAAAUUCAGGAAUCUGAUAUUGCCAGAACAAUAUUUUCGUAGAUGUACUUAUUAGAGAUAGUGGACGGACAUUUUAAAAGAUGCAAAAUAUAUUGCUAUAUUUAUACAGGGGAAAAAAAACUUUAUGCUAGAUUUGUUCAAAACAUUGGUACAAUUUUAUAUCAAAUACGUGAAGAAAACAUGUCAGAUAAAAUAAUUCUGAAAUUGUCCAUUUCCUCUCUGAUCAUAGUUUCUUUAACUAGUCAGGUCGAUUUUACAAGUUACAACCAUCUCAAAUGCAUUGUACCAGGUAAUACCCUUUCUAGCUUUGCGUCAAAAGUACCAUAAUUUUUUUCUUCUAUCAAAAAUCAGACAAUACGAAAAGAAAAAAGUUUAAAUUUGUCUUUCAAUGAUUAAGAAAAGGUCCUAAAUUAUAUAUAAGACACCUUCUUAAAUUGCAAGAAUCUUUAAAAAAAAAAUCAUAUCUAUGAUUAAAAUAGAUGUUUCCGUUGUAUGAUUGAGAUGAUAUUUCUAUUAUUAAAAAAUCAAAGAGAAGGUGUGAUAUGUGGAGAAGAAGGUUUUGUCUUUCUUCUGUGUCAUGAGGCGAGCAGUUCUUUGUCUCGAAGUUCCAUAGAGAGACAUAUGCACGACGUCGUUCUCAGUCCCACUCUCUAUCUCUCUUUACAGAUCCAAACUGUCUGUUUUUUUUUUUUUUCUUUUUUCUUUUACUUACAAGGCAACACAACACCACCAACAAUAAUGUAACAAAGUUACAAAUUUUACAAUCACAAUAGCAACUAGUUAACUACCAUGAUGGGUACAUAUAUUUCACAGCUCGGUUUUAUAGUGUCAUACCCCAUAUUUGAAAGAAAUACUGGUCCAUAAAAGAAAAUUGAUAUAAGUAUCUCUGAACUCUUCGCACUAAUCUUUUGAUGAAACAAAUAGAUAUGUAUUUGCAUAAUAAUAGAAACUUUCUAGUAAUAUGGUGCAUGAAAACAGCAUCGAACUUUGAGUAAGAAAUUAAAAUGAUAUCUCUGAUACUAAAUGGCGUAGCCGAAACUUUAAUAGAUAGAAUAAUAAUCUGUUGAUUUUUGAAAAUUUUCGAACAACUAAGAAAAAUCAAAAAUUAUUCGUUUAGUGUAAAAAUCUCGAAUUAAUCAAAACUUUGAGAUCUAUGCAAAUCUACCGAAAACACAAAAACUGAAUACAACCUUAGCCUUAGGCGUAAAAAAACCGAAUAACUGAAUAAAACCAGUCCACAGAUAAAAUUUUUGCGGUAAACCAAAUCAACUCAAUUCAAGAUUUUGAGAUAUUGUAAGCUGAUUUAUGCUGAUUUAGAGUUGGUAUUUACUUAUUAAGUUUUGCUGGUCAACCCUGCGACCGAACCGAACGGAUCAUUUCCUCUCCAUUGUGUUUAGCGAUUAACCUCGAAUCAGACAGCAAAAUCAGUGUUUGAAGAGAUAAAAAGAUCACAAUUGAUGCCACCUUAAUUAAAAAAAAAAAAAGGGUUAAUAAAAAUGUGAACUGUUAAAUUCAGCGUUUUGUUUCUGUUCUAAUAAUCAGUCACUGAAAAUCGGAAGAAGAUGAAGAUGUUAGAUCAGGAUCUUCGAAAGGAAACCUUUUCCGAGCUGCAUCAAUACUAAUCUCCGGCUGCUCUCUACCAUCAAAAUCCUCGUUUACAUAAUCUUCAUCUUCAUCAUCAACAUUCACUUCCAUUUUCAUAUCUUCUUCUUCUUCUUCAUCUUCUUCUUCGUAUUCAUCAUCACUAUGUAAACUAAACUCACCCCUACCUACUAAUUUACUUGAUUCCCCAUCAAAUGGAGCCAUGACAUCGUCAUAGUCCUCCUUAUACUGAAACGACCUCCCCGAGCUGCUAGCUUCUCCAUCAUCAUCCUCCUGCAAUUCAGGCGUCUCAAUCCAAUCAUCAUUAUCAGGAAAAGCGUUCUUGGUGGUUACAACAACUUCUUUAGCUCGUCUUCCUCCUCCUCCUCCUCCUCCUUCAUUAGAUAUACCGAGCGUUCCUUUUGUCGGUCUCAACCGGCUUCUGGUGCUGCUCCGCCGUCCGUUCUUUCUACCCCCGCCGCGAGGUUGAGCUCUUGGUCUCAACAUUGUUUCACCAUUUGAAUUUGCUCCACCUCUUGGUGGUCUACCAGAAGAAGAAGCCAACGACGGUUUCUUGCCACGGGAACGAGGCCGGCCACGUCCUCGUGGUGGUCGACCUCGACCAGAGCUAGAGACACCAGGCUCUGUCCAGUUCUCUUCGUGCGUGUAAGCAACUUGCACCGGAGUCGUCUCCAUUGCAUCGUUUUCUUGGACAUUACUCAGAAACUUCGUCUCCAAAUCCUUGUGAACAAGAAAACUUUCAGUGCUUGAAAUAUUCAAGAAAAACUAUAAGCAUUCGUUGUUUAGUAUAUACUUACGACGAAAUUCUUGGGAUUCUUUGUCUUUUGAGAUCGUGUUUUGAUCAGGUGGUGUAACAUUGAAGCUGUCGAGUUCAAAGAGUCUCAAAGCUACACUCCCGUUGUCUUUGGUACCCACGGUAGUACAUUACCGGAACAAGAGAGAUCGCUGGCGAGAGAUUCCUCCGGUAAACCCAAGAGUUCUGAAGCUGUUUCGAAGUUUGAAGACAGGAAGUCUCUCUUUAGUGCUACCUCUAAAGCUGUGAGAACCUGAAACAGGCGGAUCAGAAUUGUCAAGAGAAGAUAAAAUUUGAAUCAAUGGAGGAUAUUUGGAAACACGAACCUGAUGAAGUUCUUCAGGGGAACUUGAUGACAACAGCUUCAGACCCCAUGACUUUCUUAGAUUCUCGGUCCAAAAAGCUUGAAGUCCUUCUGGUGGAAGAGAAGCCUGUCCACGGUAGAAGAAGAAAUCUCACAUUAGUGCAUAUUUCUAAGUUGGGAUGAUGGAAAAAGUAUAGAGAGAAAAAACUCACUUCGAUAAGUGCUAAUUGAAUCUUGAGCAGUCUUAUUCUCAGAGGAGACGAGACCGAGCCACGCAAGAUAAACAAAGGAUCUCCUCCUUUCGAGUUAUCACCGAGCUGAGCCACUUGUUCAGCAAAACACAGCUCACCAACAUUCGAACCACCAUGCAUCUGACCACAACUCGGACAACAAACAUCCUCAACAAAGUUCAACUCCGCACAGAUUCUGCAAAUGCGUAAAAGCGGACCGCUUGUCUUGGCUCCGUACUUAAACGCAGAUAAUGCACCAGGAUGCAGCGUGUUAUCCCACAUCCACUUCUCAAAGCUCCGGAAUCUCGCCAUGGCGUUAUGAUGAUCCCCUAGCUCCAUCUUAAACGUCGUGGAGAUCUCUUCAGUAUCGGAAUCUAAGCUAGAAGAUAUGGAACAAUCCACAUUCCUCCUCACUGCAUCCUUGAAAGAUGCUUCGAUCUUCAGCAACAUGAAGUGUAGAUGUGACUCUCGUACACCUCGAACAUCUAGUGACUUCACCAAAUAGUCAAAACCCUGAAAAAAAACCAAGAACCAAAGAAACUUCAAUGAUUGUUAUCGACAAAUGUUCACAUUUUAAGCUUCUUUGUAUAUACCUCUUCGGAAUCAAUGAGCCUCCAUCGACCAUCCUGAAGUUCAACAAAUAUCCUUCCACAACCGGGAUCGUUCCGAGAUGCAGACGCCGAAAACCGCCAGUAACGGUUACGCCUUCGAUCUUGACCCAGUGGAAGUGAUCUAUAUACAUAUAGCUCUUCUGCUUUAUAUCCAACAUACGCUUUUAACUGUGCACGGAGCCUUUCCCUGUCCGCUGUGUAACCCUGCUGAUACUGCAAACUCUCCAUUCCAGAUACAUUUUCUUGCGAUGGCAAGCUUGGUCCUGUGUUCACAUCGAUCUGUGGAAGACUCAAUGGGUCCUGUGAGGAGAUUGGAGUCACAUCAGCUGAUGAGCUUUCUUGGUUUCCUGAUGCAGCGGUUGCGUUAUUAAGCAGCCCCGGCUUUGGCGUUGGGUAUGAAAGGUAGUUGGCUCGAAUCAAAGACUCUUCUUUCCAUCGUUUGUCGAGUUGUACUUCACCCCACAUUUGUUUCUUUAACGCACUCGCAACUUCCAAACGUUCCUGCAAACAACACACACAAGAACCUGGUUAUGGUCAAAGACUGAAGACAAUGCACAAGUUUAAGAAUUAUUCUAGUAUUAGUAGUAGUAAAUACCUCAAGGGCGAUCCGGAUUGUGUUUCCUUCGAUGGCGAUACCAAUGAGAGCAACAAGUGCAUUUAAACGCUCCUGGACGCUGAGAUUCGAGUAGUCUCCUUCCACAAGUCCUUGAACCCACUGUUCCCCAAGUUUACUUUCAUCAAAACAAGCAUUGUCCUCAUCGUUGGCAACCGGAUCCUCUAGAGCUUCAUUUGCUAAACUAUCAUCUCUUUUCUCAUCUUUAAGAGGCAGUACCUGUUCGGUUUUCAUGGUAACUGUUUCCAAUUUCCCAUUUUCCAACACAGGUUCGACACCGGCUAAGUUUUCUAUCUCCACAGCAUCAGGAUCUACCUUUUUAAGAUUCAAAUCAACCUCUGGAUCAUCUGCGACAUCGCUUUCGGAAUCUUCAUCCCUCUCAGCGUCAUCAACAUCUUCUACAUCGGUAACACCACUUUUAAACAUGCGUAUUCUCUCCCUCGCUUCAGCGAAUAUAGUCUCAGCAUCACCUACAUCUUUUCUAUAGGAAGCACGCACACAGUAAGUAGAAGGAGCUACUCUCUCAAAGAGUUUCGAAUCCCGAGACAACGCAGCAGCAACCGAGGCUUCAGGUGUCCUGCUCGUCGUUAGAUCCCUCAAUCCUGAUUUCUAUAAUCAAUAUGAAAGAAAGCGAGAAAUGAAACAUAAGCUGCUUAAAUAAGCUUCAAGAGAAAAACAAUAUUUUAGACCAUCUUUUUUUACCUGAAUCUUAUCUGCAACAUCGAGAAUUGUCAAACCCUUUUCGCCUUCAAUAGACAGAACAUGAAAGGCAGCAAAUUUAACUGUGCCUGGAGUCAAACGAUGCCGUGAACGUCGCGGAUUAGAAAGACCUCUUUCUUGCAUCUUGGCAAAAGCAUUCUCAGCUGCUACUCCAACCCUUAAGUUGAAAAUCACAUUCUCAGAGUUGUUGGCCUACACUUGAGAGAAAAUAAGGUAAAUAGAAGUCGCACAACAUUAUAAAAAAAAAACGAAAUAGCAGAAAACACAGAUUUACACACCUCGUUGUCAUCAUGAACAGACAUGGUUUUAAUGUCUGGUUUCUUCAGUUGUGGUCCUAACCCAGCAGAGAGAGCGAGUUGCCUCAAGAUUUCAGGCCAAGUAAAAACAUUCAAGUUUCUUCUCCAGUUGCGUAUAUCAAAACCCCAAGCAUAUGCCUAAAAUACAAAAUUGCAUCAUACUAAACAAUAGGAGGAAUAGGAGAGAUACCUUACAUUAUAAUCGAAAUCAUACUAAAAAGGAAUAAAACUUACACCCUCCACGACAUGGGGAUGACCACCUCCGGGAUUAGCUGCAGCGUUCUGGUUUGCUCCAACGCCCAUUGAUAUUGUUCUUGCAACACCUUCAAUAUCUUUGAUUAUAGUCUUCAAAAGAACAAUGUGUAUCUCUCCCAUUAGCCGUGGGUCCUACAUGACCAACAAGGUAUAAAGCUGAGAAAAGCAAAUCUUGUUUAGAUCUGAAUGCAGAGAUACUAGAAAGAGAGGAACACUUACAUAGUCAUGAAAUGAUUGAGUAAACUCAUCCAGAGUAAAUGGCCAAAGGCCAAGAACAUCCGCAAAAGUGAUUAAGAAUCUCCACACCUAAAUGUUUUCAACCAAAUCAAAACAUUUGUUACUGAUAUUCACAUUAAGAAUGAAAAAAUAAGGAUAAAUUAGAUGGAAACACUCACCAUAAGAAGAUUUGCAACAUUCUCAUCAGAACCAUUCCAUGGUUUGACAGCAAAAGGCUUUUUCAAUUUUACAGAUGUUGGGGGAAAUAUCACCUUCUUAUCUGAAAGAAUAUACUCCAUCAGAUGGAUAUAAGACACAACUCCCAUAAAACAGCUGAAAAAACUAAAUGUUGACGAGUUUUUUUUUUUUUAAAAAAAACAGUGAUUCACCUUUAUAUGCCUCGAGGUUCUGUAAAGUUUCAAAGUCAAGAGCGAGCAUUGAAGGCAAUCCUUUGGUUAGUGCAGCGACCUCCAUGAGUUCUAAUCGCUCGUCUUCAAUAAGUUCCAUAGACUCCUUUGCGAUCUUACGAGCAAUGGCCCUCUCAUUAGCAGCUUUAAGCCUAGCAACCUCUUUUACCCUACGCAUCUCUUCUUUUUGCCGCAUUUUCUCAGCCUAAUCCACAUUUGAGAGAUUGCCAAUGAGGAAAACAACAUUUCACCCCAAGUUCUCAAGAAAUGUAAAAGGUAGCGCAUAUGUCACAUUACCCUGAUUGUUUCUUUCUUCAAGAACUUCUCUCUGCGCUGCCUCUCUCGCAACUGCUCUUUGAGGUAUCUCUCUUCCUCUCUCUGCCUUUCACGUAAAAGCCGUUCUUCCUCUUUCCGUCUUUCACGGUCUUGUCUCUCCAUUUCUUUCCUCAUUUGCUCCUCUCUCUACAUAAUCAACUUACACACUGAGGAAAAGAAACAGCAAAAACAUCUAGUAAAGUAUGUGCUUAGCUUAAACCGAGCAAGACCUUUCGUCUCAGCAUAUCUUGUUUUUCAAGCUCUUUUCGGAUCCUCUUCUCAUGAGCCUCGACUUCCCGAGAUAUUCUUGCUUCUUCACUCUACAAUGAGUAUGUAUAAAAAACCGAUGAGGAAGAACUCAGUGAUAAUAAAACAAUGUAAAUGCACAAGUAAUUCUUUACCAUACCUUGCGUUUUCUCUCCAGUUGCAUAACAUCAUCCUCACCAUCAUCAUCAUCAUUACCAACUUCUCUCUCUGAUUGUAUAAAUGGAUCCUCAUGAUUUAAGUUUCCAGUAUCCACGUAGGGUUUCUGAUACGGUGAGUCAUAUUCUCCCAAAUUAGGCGAAAAGACGUGUUUCCCCUGAUGAGUUGAAAGAUUCAAGUUUGGUAUCCUCGGUGAAACUUUAUAGUCAUCACGAUGUCCAGCAGACACUGAUGAAGCCCUCAAAACCGAAGCAUCAAGUGGAACUCCAAAAUGGUGCGAAGGAGAAGCUCUUUCUGAAUGAUCAGUCUUUGAAGAUGGUUGUUCAGGAAGGAACUGAUAUUCACGAAUGGUCCUCACAGACUCCUAAAAAUGGGAAGAUAAACAAAUUUGUCAAGAACGAACAAGAACGACAAAAACAGCACAAAUCAUGAGACAAAGCUAAUGGACAAAAACUAACUUUAACUGGCUUGACAUCAGACCGGACAUAUAUGUUGGUCUCAAAAGCUUGCCUAGCCGCCUUCCUAUGGCUUGGCAACUCUGCUUCACACCAAACAAGAUUAUUAAAAAAAACAAUUUUCAAACAUUUCUAUUGAUUCUAAGCAGCUCCAUGGUAAGAAGCAGAAUGUAGUAUAUACCUAUAGGCAUACCAAAUGCACCAGGAGGCAAAGGAUCAAACUCCAUUCCAAGAAUCGGUCCGUUAUCUCUCAAGCGCUCUCCUAAUUGAGCUUCCACAUAACCAACGGCUCUAACCUCGGCGGAAGACGGUUCACUAAACCGCCUAACCACCGUUAAACCACCACCACCACCGCCUCGCGGGGUUCUUCUGGAAUCAAGCUCGUGACCAAACGAGUUAUGCUCAUUUCCCGCCACCAAAUCACCGGCAUUGACGGCUGGUAUAGAGGAUUCAACCGCCGUUGACGACGCCGGCGGCUCUUUACGCUGGCGUUUGCUCGGAGUUGUGGAUUUCCGGUCUUUAAGCCGCCGGUGACAGAACCACAUCUGUAACUGCCUAUCGGAGAGAUUUAGUUUGACUGAGAGAUCCGCUCUUAUUGCUUCCGAAGGAUAAGGCUCAGCUGCAAAAUUAAGCAAACAUUAUAGUGAAAUUAAACACAAAACUCACUGAUAUAACAACAAAUUAAGAACAAUGAAGUAAACACAAAACAAAAACAAAAACACAAACAAACCUGCGUAAGUAUUUUCAAGAACUUCAAGCUGAGCAGCUGUUUUCAUUUUCCGUUUAGACUUACUCUCAGCACCUUCAGGUGUUUUGUUCUUCUCUGCUUCUUCACACACACCUUCCAUUUUUCUACACAGUGAAAUCCCCAAAUCAGGAAUUAGAAAAAAAUCGAAACCCUAGAAUCACAAACACUUGUGAAUCGAUUUGGGAGGAAAAAAAAACUUACUUUGUUAAACUUCAAUGAACAAGAUAGAUCAAAAAGCUUGAGCAGAGGAGUAAAAUUCGUGGGGGAAAGGAGGAAUCAAAGGAAUGGUUUUUCUGGGUUUUUCUCUGAAGAGAGGAGGAAGAAACAGCAUCACGAACACCGUUGGAUUUUUGGUUUGACGAGGAAAAUAAAGAGAAGAAGUAAAGAAGAAUAAAAAUCCACCAAAAAAACCAAAAAGAAAAACUUUCUCUCUCUACGAGACUACUACGAAUGUGAUUGGGAAUUUCGCAAAUAAAAUCAAAAACAUUAAACAUUAUUAACAACGGAGAGAGCAAUAUCGACAAGAUCAUUAAUAAACCCCGAGAGAAAAAAAAAUUAUAUAUUAAAAGAAAUAAAAAGAAGAAGAAAUCACGAAGAAGAACAGCAAUCGAACGAACAACACCAACAGUGCUUGUCUGACUAUUCGUUUCCAUCAUCACACACAAAAAUUAAUUUUCCUUUUCUUUUUCUUUUCUUUUGGUUUUUCUUCCGUAAUUUUUUAGGAAUAAAUAAAAGAAAAUUGAUAGUGUUGAUUGAAUUGCGAUUUGAUUGAGAGUAUGAAGAAAAAAAAAUUUAAUUAAAAGUUUUUGAGAGUUUGGUGAAUUGUCAGGUGCUCAUUUUUUUUUUUUUCUUUUUUUUCUUUGGUGGGUUUUCGGGAAAAUCGAGGGAGUUUGAUUUCAGGACUCGGGUUUCUCUCUCUUUCGAUUGUUUCUCUCGUUGAAUAUCAAAUUAAAUUUGUUUUUAAAUAAUUUUAUUUUCGGACCUAUUUUGUCGCUUAUGUUUGUAUCUAGACCCGACUUUGCUAUUUAUGUAAUAAUAAAAUCCAAGAUGGCUCAUCGAUUCUGUUCUAUAUUAAAGCCCGUCAUCUAAAUGAGCCCAUAUAUAAGCCCGUUUAUUAUUGUGACCUGACUAAAACUGAUAUGUCCUUUUUUUUUUCUAACUACAACAAAAUGUUAUGUCAAUUUAGUUUAAACUGUUACAGUUUUGUUUAUUUCUUUUUUUUCAUAGAGGUCAUCUGUCUUUGGUUCAUUGAUGUACAAGUAAGGAUUUCUUCUUUUUAGAUGGAAGAAUAUCUAAUCAAAGUAUAUGUUUUGUAAACGUACAAAAGCUACAGAAAGGCGUUAUGAUUAUGGAUUGUUAUGAUAUAUUAUAUGAUUAUAAAUUGUUAUGAGAUAUUCUAUGAUUAGGGAUGGAUUGCUUAUUUGAAUUAAUAAUUAAAAAGAAAUUUAGAUACUUACAUUUAUUGGAUAUGUGUUUUUAACUCAUUUGACAUAGAUACAUCAUUUUUGACAUAGAUCCCUUCUUAAACAAAAUUAACAAAAGAAACAUAAUUUAGAUUUUUUUUUAAAGUAUAAUUACUCGCCUGCUGGUGCUGUCCGUUCUUAGGUUUAUAGAGGCCUAAGACAAAUUUAAAAAUAUAGUUUUUAUUAUAAAAAAAGAAAUACUUUUAAAGUUAUAAUAUUGAAAUGAAACAUACAAAAAUAAUGAUAUUAUAGAAAAUUCUAAAUUACAAAUUUUCUCACUUUUCUUACAAAAACAUUUAUCAGAUUUUCCUAUAGAUAUGAUAAUCAGACUAUUUAGUUUCUCUUAUAAUAAUAAAAUGUUUAAUAUUAUAGAAUUUUUCAAACAAAUAAACUAAAUAUAUAUAUUAAAUUAUAUACAUAAGCCUAUAUUUAAAAUUAAAAUGGUCCUAUAAUUUUGUUAAUUUUGAUGUGACCUAAGACCAUUGCCUAAUUUUUUGUUCAUAAGGCACGGCACUAUGGUGCACCACCGGACCAAGUCGCAUAUAUCUUCAAGAAAAAUAAGUUAGAUCAGUCAAAUAAACUCAGAGAUUUUAAUUAUAGAUUCCACAACUUAUAUAGGAUAUACAAUAAUAUUAUAUCAUUAAUGCAUAUUAUCCAUAACUAGAUUAAUAUCUGCGCAUACGUGCAAGUUUUCUUGGCAUAAAUUUUGUUAACGACAAAACCAUACAUAUUUGAUAUUGUAUUUGCUUAUUUGAAAUCCAAUACUCUUUGCUAUUAACUACCUAACCAGUUACAAUACUAAAUAAUACAAUUUGAAAUAAUUAGUAAACCAUUUGUCUCCAUCCAUCGGCCGAAGAGCAUACUAACUCGUGAUGUAACCACAUAUGACAAGUUGUUAGCUCUAAGUGGUCCAAAUCUUAAGACAACAAAACCUGCACAUAAUACUUUGGAAAACCUAACCACAAAUUCAACCACUAACACUUCUAUUUUCAAAUGUUAAAGGGAAUCCCUAUGAAUUUUCUUAGAAUCUGUUGAUCUUUCAUUAAAUCAUAGUAACAUUCCUAACCAAGAACACAAAACAUAUGUUAACAUUGCUGCAUCAGUUAUGUGAGCAAUUCAACACUUGUAAUCCGCAUAGCACAUAUUUGUGAGUCAAAAAUAAUACCCCAACAAUUUAACAAUUGUCGUUGUUUGAGAUUUAAAAGUUUUUUCGAAACAAAAAUGUUCUGCCACCCUUAAUUCCAAAGUAGACAUUGGUGACAUCCAUGAAAGGAAUUUGACAAAAGCGAACACCUUGGUUACUUGAUCUGCAAGAAAGAAGAUUUGAUGGACUCACAUAAGCCGAUGUUUGGUGGUGAGACGAAGAAAGGAGUAGACUUAGAAGCCCCUGGAAAUAAGAUGUAAUAGAACCUGGUAUGGAUUUUCUACAGUAACAUAACACACAAACGAUCUGAUCCUAGACGUGGUGAAUUAAUGGAAGCGCUCACAUUCUCUUCAUACGGGUUAGAUCAGAUCUCUCCAGUAGUUUAAUUUGUACAGAGGACUUAGACAGCCACAGUGGAGAUAAUGGGCCGCUGAGAUCUGCUUACCAAAGAGUCGAACUUCUCAGGACAUUCGACAGCGGAGAAGGUGGCGUAUAAGCUGCGCGACGGCUUAAUUUUCACAAUCUUUGUCAUAACAGAUCCCACAACGGAAGCUAACUGAUCAAUCUAUAUUCCCUCAAUCCUCCUGCUGCCGCCAAGCUUGAAGUUAUUUCCCUGAAUUGGGCCUAAACAUAGAAACAUGGAAAAUCAGAGAAGAAGUUUUCUUCUCAGAAUGUUCAUUCAUCCGGCGCAAAAGAAUAUGAGGCCUAUUCCUAUUCCAAACUGAGAUCCUCCCCUAAAAAAAUGAUAGAUAUCGGCCGCAAACCCUUUUAGGUUAAUUUUUUGACGAUAAAAAUUAUAUGUUUUCAUUUUUAUUACAGAGCAAAGAGUCAAGAAAUGUAUGAUGAUUUUAUUUAUUAUUUUUUUUUUUGGAAUUUGAUGUGACACGUGACAUUCUCCCCCACGUGGUGAUCAACUAGAGAGAGUUUGCCAAAUUUUAUAUAUAAGGUUUCACAACUUAGGGCAUAUAUACAUAUCCUUAAUGCAUAUUAUCUAUAAUUUCAUGAUUUAGGGCAUACAUACAUAUUAUCCUUAAUUAGCAUGUUUCAAAAUCUUAAAAAAUAAAAAAAAAACAGAAAAAAAAAAGAAAUCCUUAAUCUAUAAGAUAUUGUGUGAUGAUGAUGACGGAAGUUUGAUAAAGAUGUAAGACCGUGAAAAUCAGAUUGAAGUAACGGAAAAAAUAAUAAUAUAAACGAUAUGCUAAGGUAAGCGAAUCACUACAAGAAAUCACCCAUUUCACAACGACCAUAUUCGUCAUUAAAUCGUUGUGAAAUGAGGUUUGCGACGAUUUAACGACGAAUGCCAGUUCGUCGUAUAUUGAUCGUCGUAAUUGAUAAUUCGUCGUAAAAUCGUUUUUAAUUAGCGAGAAACAAAUAAUCGUCGUUAAAUCGUCGGGAAGCAUUCGUCGUAACUUCGUUGUAAAUGUAACGACGAUUGAACGACGAAAAGCUUUCGUCGGCAAUUCGUUGCAAAUUCGUGGCAGAAGAAUCGUCCUUAAGUCGUCGUUACUCUAGAUUCGUCCCUAAUUCGUCGUAAACAUUUCGUUCUGAAUUCGUCGUAAUUUACAACGAUUUAAGGACGAAUGUUUAUUUAUUUUUUAAACCCAAAUUUUUUUGAAAUAAUAAUUAAAAAUUAAAUAAAUUAAUUUAAAAAUAAAUAUGAAAAUAAAAUUAUUUUAAUUAAAAACAAAACAAAAUAUUUUUAUUACAACAAAAAGAAAUCAUAUUUAAGCAUCAUAAUCAAUUUCGAAAUCUCCAAAAUCGUCCGCAAGAUUAGUAACCGGAGCAUGUGAUUGAUCUUCUCCACCACUUGUAGAUGCUCCUUGAGUACCCGCAGCUUGUGUCGCUCCACCACUUGUAGAUGCUCCUUGAGUACCCGCAGCUUGUGUCGCCACUCUCCGUGCCGCCAAUCUUGCCUCCUUUUCCGCUGCACGUUUUUGACGUUUUGCUCGCAAGGCAUUUGCAACAUCUCUGGGAUUGAGAGGGCAAUGAUAUCGAAGAUGGAAUCAUACUCCAAAAGCUCCUCCUGAACUUCCUGGUGAUAUGCGCUUUGAGACUCCUCUAAAGUUGCAAUCUUGGCCCGUAGAACGACUGGAUCAUCUUCUGGUCCUCGGCGGCGUGGUGCGGAUGACGAAGCACUCGGGACGUCUCUAAUAGAUCCCAUCCCUACAACUUUUCCCUUCUUUUUCGGAGCGACCUACAUUUUAAAGUAAAUUUUAUUAGAAAUCAAAAUAUUAAAAAUAAAUAAAUAAAUAAUAUUUAUUAAAUAUAUAUACCUCCUCGAAGAUUUGAUCGAUCUCACGAGUAGUCAACCCUCCGGAUUGAACUGAAGAACCUCCGGGAGAUAGUUGGGUCUCUCGCUCAGCAACCUUUGAAGUAACUUCAUUAUAGAGCUGCUCGGCUUUCUCAGAAACGAAUGCACCAUCCUUUUUCCGAUGACACUUCGCGAAAACCUCUGUCAUAGGCGGGAGUUCGCCUCCAUUCUUGGCAGCCUAAAAAAAGUUAUUAUAAUUAAUUAAUAUCAAAUACCAUAAAUUAAUUAUCUAAUAUAAAUAAUAAUUUCAUACCAUCUGCAGGCGAACACCUCCAAAUGGUGUUUGGCCAGCUGUAUGAGGAAAAGCCUUCUUCUGACCGUUUGUAUCAGUCGCAUUGCGGGAAAUAGAACACUUUUCCGCAACCUCCUGCGAAUGCGGAAUCAUCCAAUAUCGCACCAAACCCUUCCACACCUCAGGGUCCAUGCUAAUAGGCUUUGCAUCAUCGCCAAUGACUUUCCACGAUUUUUUCCAAUCGGAAACCGUGCCCAUAAGUCGAAGCUUCACUCUCUCGGUAAAGAGUCUCUCCACCUCGCUAUGGUCUUUCUCAUCCCAGUCAUACCGUUGCUACAAAAAAACCACAUAAUUACAUUUCGGAAUAAUUGAAAUAAUUAUUUUAAUAAACUACAAAUUAUUUUAAAAAUUGAUUUUACCGCAAAUAUUUUGAACCAUGUGUCAAUGGUAUGCUGUGAAAGCUGGGUGAGAUUGCAAUGAGGCUCCACAAAGUAGGACUUAAUAAUAUCAGAAACCGUGCGGCCAACCUUGCUAUGAAUGCCGAACCUAAAACAACAAUAUAGAAAUUUAUAUAAGUAAAAUUAAUUAAAAUAAAUAUAAUUUAUAAUAAUAAAACAUAUAUAUUUUAACUAAUCUAUACAUACCAAUGUGCAUCCGGCGGAAGAUCAGGAUCUAGCUUAGUAAGUCUCUCUCGGCCCGGCUGUGCAAUGAUAUCAUGCACCGUCAAAUGUGCAUAAGGGAUCUCACGAUGCACUUGCGGCUGUGGAGGUGGUGGUGGAGCUGGAGCAUGAGUGGCGGGAACAAAAUCUGUCUCUGUGGCAGAAGAAGAGACGGGAUUUCUCCCACUAGAUGUACCAGCAUCGCUAAACAUAUCACCAUAAUGAGGCCGACGACGACGAGCAGACAUCUGUAAAUAUUCAAAAAAAAAUUAAACAUCAAUUCCUAAACAUAUAUCUAAUUAAAUAUAAAUUUUUAAUUCCUUAAAUAGCUAAAAUAUUCCAAUCCUAUUUUAUUCCAUUUACAAAAUAUAUUCCAUUCCUACACUAUUUUGUUCCUAAACUAUUCCAUUCCUAAACUAAUAUUCCAUACCUAAUUAUUCUAGUAAAGCAAUUAUAAAUAAUAUAAAUAAUAAAAAAAACACUUACAUUGGUUUUGGGAGGAUUUUCCAGCGGAGAGAUAUGGAAGGAAGUAAGGAGAGAAUGAGCAAACAGUGAGAUGGGCGAGCGCUCCUUAUAUAAAAGCCGGGCGUCGUCGUUAAAUCGUCGGUAUUUGCGACGAAUUCCCAAACUAUUUAGGCGGGUGUUUAUGGCGGGAAGGGGUAGAAAUAAAUUAAGGACGAUUUAACGACGAUUCGUCGGUAAUUCGUCGUAACUAACGACGAUUCGUCGUAACUUACGACGAUUCGUCGUUAAAUCGUCCUUAAUUUAUAUAAUUUCUGUUUUAAUUUAUAUAUAUUUAGUACACAUAUCUAUAAAUAUCAAUUAAUUAUAUAUCUAUAUAUAUCUUAGUUGGAGAAAUUAUUUUAUUGCAAAAUCAUGACAUAUAAUACUGAUUACAAACUAACAGGAAUCAUUUUCAGAUGACGUUGAACCUUCAUCAUUAGGUUCAUCAUCAUUUUCCUCAAACUCAUCUUCGUCAUUUUCUUCCUCUAUCGUCGGGAAGAUAUUCAGUUUGUCUGUUUUCAAGAUCUAUCAAGAGGAUAGGAUCAGUGCUUUCACUGGGUUCUGCGAUAUCAUAGGUUUGAUCUUCUUGCAUUGGAAGAUCCUCAACCCCCACAAUUCGACCUCUCGGAAAAACUUUAAUCACAGAUAACCAUUGAACACCCGAUGUACGGACGCGUGGAUAUGGAACAAAGCAUACUUGUUCUGCUUGUGAUGCGAGUAUGAAUGGCUCAAACUUACUGUAACGCCGGGAUUGGUUGACAUCUACCGAGCCAAAUUUGUUUUUCCGGAUUCCUCGUCUAAUUGUUGGAUCAAACCAGUCGCAUUUGAAAAUAACACAUCUCAAACCUAAGCAGCCGGGAUAUUCUACUUCAAUUAUGUCUUGCAGCACUCCAUAGAAAUCUAUUUCACCCUUCACAUAUACUCCAUAGUUAGCUGUAGCCCGAUACGUCCCGUAUUUGUAUGUAUGAAAUUUUUUUGCAUCUGCAUUGGGUUCCUCAUCAUGGACAGGUGCAAGUGUGUUUGUGGUUUCGUGAAAUGCAUCUGUAACCAUGUCUUGAAUUCUAUCAUGAUCAAACCUUUGCUGCUCUGCAUGAUAAUAUUCAUCUUGAUGCAAAUUAUUUGACGAGUCUUCAAAAUUUGAAGCUUGAUAAUUGUUAUUACUACUACCUGCACUUUCUCCAUGCCCUUCUCCAUGAUGGUACCAUAUAAAGUAAUGUGGCAUAAAUCCUCUAUUUAAUAUAUGCGACCACACUUUCGCGAUUGUGAUAAAUUUUCUAUUCAUGCAUUUAGGACAAGGACAAUACAUCAUACGACUGACAAUCGUUCUUGGGAGUUUUCCCGCCUCAUGCAUGAAUCCCUCAACCCCCUCACUGAAUUCUUUUGUCAACGAUCCCGUUGAAUCAAUACGAUUGUACAUCCAUUUCCGAAUUUCAUAUAUGGACGACAUUUCGUAUAUAUAUUUAAUAUUCACUACCAAGUGAAUAUUUUUAAAUUUAAUACUUGUUACCAAUUAAGUGAUCAAUUCAAUCACUCUUAUUUAGGAGCAUUGUGAUUUUUUUUGGGUUAUGGGAGGCCCUAUAUAUAGAUUUUUUAUUCUGCUUACCAUCGAAUUAACAACGUUAUUUAACAACGAAUUAACGAUGAAAUGUAGUUUAGCGACGAAUUAACAACGAAAAUGAGAAUCGGGUUUAUUCGUCGUUAAGUCGUCCCUAAGUUACGAUGAUUUAACGACGAUUCUUAUAAUCGUCGCCAGAUCAUCGUUACUGCACGACGAUGUAACGUCGAAUUCUUUUCGUCGCCAAUUAACGAUACGAUUUGGCGACGAUUAUAAGAAUCGUCGUGCUUUCGUUGUUAAUUCGAAGGGAAUUUGCGACGAUUCUUAAUCGUCGUAAAAAAUCGUUGCUAAUCGUAUACUUUCUUGUAGUGAAUAAAACGAGACUUUGAAAACUGAUUGAAACCAGAUGGAAUACAGAGUCGAGAUAUGAUCUCUUUUCUUAACCCAAUAAAUCGUCAGUGAUGUGUGUCUGUAUGGAGUGAUUUUUGAAUCACAUGAUACAACCGUGAUGAGACUAUUAUGUAACACCCAUAAUAGAAUCUAUGAACUGAAAAAACUAUGUUAUAAUUAACUCUCAAGACACUUACGAUAUUUAGAUGAGAGAGAUUUGCUGGAAGAAUUGUUUUAUGUGUUUUUCAGUGUGUAUAAUAAAAAGAGAUGAGCGUCUAUUUAUAUGGAAGAUUCGGCUUGAUCCACAAGGAAUAAGCUUUGGAAAAAAGGAGUAUUCGUGAAAUAUUCUUCUUUUUCUGCAAGUAAACAGAUUCAGAUAUCUUUAUAGUUAUUUGGACGCAAUCUUUUAUUAUUUAAGAUUUAUCCUAUCCCAAAGGAAUUAAGAAGUCCACGACCCACGACCAGCUAUAUAUAGCCCAAGAGCUCAGGAGCCCAAGAGCCCAAGAGCCCUAGAGUCCUAAAAGCCAACUAAAAAUGCAAUGAGCAAUAAGCAUGAGCAUGAGCCCGAGCCCGGCACCAGCACUGGCAACAAUGACGACACGCGUUUAGAUGUUUUUACAUAAUGUCAUUUUACUUCCAUAAAGCUGUUUGACCCUUAUUGUGAAAAGCUAUAUAUAUGCAAGAUGUUUUCCUCUUUGUUAAGCAAUGUGAAACUUUUACACUUCUACUUUUAGUUAUAGCCAAUGAGAACAUUUCAUUUCCAUAGACUCAAACUCAAAUCUCAAAUGAAUUUAUAAGAUUCAUUUGCUUAUUAAACUUUAUUUCUCAUUCGCAUACAAAUUUAAUAUUACAAGAUCAAUUGUUUAUUAAAAUUGAAUUUUAACAAAAGAUCGACUGGCCGCUGAGAGAGAUAUCAUGAGAGCUGCUAACAUUACAGAAAACUAUACUUAAUAUAUUUAAGAACAAUUAAACAACAAUUACAGUAAAAUUAUUAGAAAAUAGUCACAAACCUGGAGAGUAACGUAUUCAAUAUUGCUAUUGGGGAAUUGGGCUAUGCGAACAUACCCAUUUUCUUCUACCUCCUCUCUGUAUGAAUCCUGAAAUCACUAAUAUUCAACGGGAUUUUCACGUUCACAACUUAAUAACAUCAAUUAUAAUACAUGUGAACUACAUUGAUAACACACACAUAUAUAUUAAUAUAUAUAAUAAAUUAUGUAGAGUUAAGGUUAUGAAAAGUACAAAAAUAAAUUAACUACAAAUAAUAAAAGUAGUUAAACGAAAUAUAACAUGAUAUAUACUCCAAACUAAAGUUAGUAUUUAAGCAUCAAUAUAACAUGAUAAUACUCCAAUAGGCUAUUAUCAUCAGCAGGAUUUGGCUUUAGAGUAAUAUUUUUACACCCAACAAAAUAAAAAACUACAAGUUAAAGUUAAAAAAGUACAAAAAUAGGUCAGAAGUAAUAUUUUGUAUGAAUUGACUUAAUAUGCAAACAACCCACUUACUUUUUAAUCCACAAACGUAAAGUCAAAAAACAUAAACAAAUCCACAAAUCAAUCCAACAUACAAGAGAAUAACAAGCUUAAUAUUAGGUUUCCACUUUCUAUAACACAAUCAAAUCAAAAUUGUCCAGAAAGCAAAAUAUUUACACACAAGAAAACCAGCUAAAGAGUAAGUAUACUUUGAAAUUUAUAUCGAAAGCAGUGAACUUCUUUCCAAAUAUUGCAGCAAAAAGUUUUAACAUAUUACUUGCAUCACGAUGUUGGUCUUGUUUUUAGGAACAUUGACCCUUUCUCUGAUAAUAUCAAUCUCAUUACUUUUUCGUUGAUGAUGAUUGAGUUAGAAAAAUAACCCCUCUAGGCUGGAAUCAAUGAGAAUGAGCUUUUUAGUUUAGUUUGAUGUAGGGCUUGCAUCAAUUGCCUCUUGAACUGAAAUGAAUUUUCCAAAACCUUUGAGUGAUAUCUUGGAUACCAAGUGUCUUUUGGUUUGGAAUCUUGACAGAUGAUCAUAAUUGGAAAGAUAAAAAGGAGGAAAAUGGUGGGAAUGAUGGUUGUUUUCGUACACUGAUUCAUAGAGGUUUAAGACCAACCUAAAAAAAUGUGCGUCUUGUUAUAUAUUUAUUUUAAUAAAAUUUUGAAAAUUAUAAUGGUGUCUUGAAACAUACAAAACACCAAUAACGAAAACUUUUUUUGGUUAAAAAUCAUUAAUGAAACUUAUGGUAUAUGAAAUUUUAAGGAAAAUUUUGACCUUUUUUGCUUAAAAUUUGCUCACUAAACUCAUAGAAUAAUUAUUUUUUACUUAAAAAUUGCUAACUAAACUCACAUAAUAAUUUUCAACCAAAAAAAAAAAUUUCAGAUAAGAAUUAGUUUUAACCAUCUCUACAUUGAUGAAAAUCACCAAUUCAAUAUCUCUUAUGACCAUAAUUUUUAACGUGAUGUACUUCUCAAACAAAAAGUCAAAACACAUAAUGUUAAACUACAUAUAUAUAAGCUUCAUCACACAUAUAUAUAAGCUUUAAUCAUAUAUUUAUAUAUGUAUAUAUGUAUAAACUUAAUCAUUUUAUAGUGGCUUAGCCAAUUGUUUUUUUUUCAGCCUUAAAGCACGGUACGGAUGGUGGUGAUUGUGUCCAUGGGAAUUCUUAUCCGUUGGAGAAAUGGUGGACAAAAAGGAAAGGAAGAAGAGAAUGAUGGUUAUGGUUUUAAAUUUAGAGAUGAUCAAGAAGAAACAAUGUUUUGUGAAGUGUGAAGAAACGACAGAGGGGAAGGAGUUUGAGCUUCUUUUGUUUGGACUAUGUUUUUUUUGUUUGGCCUUUUAUUUCCGGGGAUUUUAAUGUUUUUGGCCGAUUUAUGUAUUUCAUUUCUUUUCUUUUUUUUUAGCUUUUAGGUUUGUCUAAAUCUUCCUGUCUAAUUAUUUUUAUGUAUUUCAUUUCAUUUCUUUUCUUAUGAACAAAGAGAAACAGAAAUAACAAAAAGAAAAAAUGUAUCAAGAUAAAAAAACAUGUAAGAGGCAUUAACAUAAUGUUUGUAUAUACAAUUGCAUUAAUCAAAUUGUACGGAUUAUCGGAUUUUCAAAAUUGAUACGUGAAGCACCUUAAACCGGACCGAUUUGUUCUAUUUCGGAACGGUUUGGUUAGAAAUUGAACAAACAUACACAUAUUUUUAUGUGAAAUAGCCAAUGACAAUAUCUAAGAAACUGUAUAAAUUAUUUGAGCUAUAAUUCGAUUUCAAUGCCAAAGAGAAAAGUUGCAUUCAAUUAAAAGAAAAAAAAAACAUUAAAACUAUACAAGAUUUUUUUGAAAGAAAACGAAAUUGGCUUUACUCUGAUACAAUCUGAUUCUUCUUCACCUUCUUCCUAAAGAUGUACACAUCAGUUUCCUCGUAUGCGUAUUCAGGAUGUAAAUGCUCAUGAGGAACUUUCUCGAUCUUAAAAACGACGUCGCAUAGCUCCCAAAAUAGUUUAUCAGCUUCCGGCGACCUAAUCUGGUAACCAAGCAAAACCGCGCCGUCUUCCGCCACAAGCGACUCCAUCGCCGUCACUAGCUGCCCAACCGAUUCCUCGAUGUACACAACAUCCGCCGCAAUCACCAGAUCGAACGGCGGAUUCAGCGCCGAGAUCUGAUCCUUAUUGUUCCAGUAAACGAUCGAGGUUUUUAGGGAUUUCCCAAGCGCCGCCUUGUUCCGUUUCAGGUUGUGUUUGAGCGCCGGCAUGACCGGAGAGAUGUCGGUGAGCACGAUCUCCGUUAGACCUAGUAGGUGAAAAGCCAUACCGGCGACUCCGCAUCCGGUUCCUAGCUCGACGGCGCGACGGCGGCGGAAAUCGAGGAGCUCGGCGUAUGGAUUUGGAGACGACGAUGAUGAUGAUGAGUCCACCGUGGACCACCGCUCGGCGAACUUGGCGAGGAUCAGAGAGCAUGGCCACACGGAGGUUCCGACGUGCAUCGAGCCAUUGUCUUGCUGGAUUGAGAGUCGCGUGCCGUUCACCGUCAGAUCGAUCACCGGAGAAUCUGUGAAUUUCAUUUUUUUUUCGUCUUCUCUUUCUCUCACCCAAUCACUCUCUCCUUCUCCGACUCUUUUGUGUGAUUUCCUUAAGGGCUUUCUUUUAUUCACAAAUGGGCUUUACUUUGGGCUUAGAGCUCCUUAGUGGAUUACCAAACCAGUAAUGUAAUUAGUUUUUUUUUUUUUUUUUGACAGAAUAAUUCGAUUCUCGAGUUGAUUGUAUGUAUAAUCUAAAACGUAUAUAUGUUGGUGCAUAAUUUAUACAUUUCGAUAUAUAGAUCAUUCUCUACUCAAGUAUGUUUAUAGACAUCUUUUUUUAAAGAGGUAUGUUUUAUAGAUAUUGUUUAACCAUUGUUAACUCUAGAGUGUCAAGCAUUAUUAGUAAGAUAUAAAAAAGGAUGUCACUAGCAAAAGCUAAAGUUUGGUAGUUGGUGCUAAUACUUUUGUCUUGAAUGGAAAAUGAAAAUUUGACGGCAACGAAAAAAUGGACAAUGGAAUUUUUCUGCCCUACAUGUUUCUUUUAUUGGGUCAAAUCAGAAAUGUUUUGUUUGUUUUUCAUCAAUCAGAAGUGUUCAUUAUUUUCCUUUUCGAAAUUAUGUCAUGCAUAUAUCUUACACCUUUCUCCGAAAUAAUGCAUUUAUACAAGACACAGCAGAAAAGAGUAUAAAAUACUGUUAAUAAAUAGACCUUAAUUUUUCUAUGUUUUUUGUUAUAUUAUAUGAUGUUAUCGACCAAAUUUCAUAUUGUAGAUCAAUUUGGCAGAAAACUCAAAGUUUGUUCAAAAAGAAUUUGUCUUUUUUUCUUAUAUUUAUAAAAGUAUUGCAUGCAUAAAUAAAUGAGACUGAAUCUUAUUUUCUUGAGAGCAAAAGGGAGAUAAGGUAAAAGGUGGAAAAAGCCUAAGCUAGGAAUAUCAAGCUUUUUCUUUCUUUUUUUUCUAUUCUUUACCUCCACUAAAAGUAUAAUUUUUUUGCCUUUGAGUUACGUUAGGGUUAGGAUUUAAAUAAUUGAGCUCCAAAAGUCUCCACCUUUCAUUGUCCCCACCACUUCUCCACUCUAUCUAUGCUUUUUUAGCUUUGUAUAUCCUUUGCAUACAAGAAGCAAAUUUAAGACCUUUCUACUCUUUAAUGGAGAAUAUGCAUGGAUCUUCACUUUAUCUUCUGCACCGAAUAUGCUUAUAAACCCAAUUUUUCCUUGAAUUCAUUUAUUCUUUGACCCAAUAUAUAUGUGAAUCACUCUUCCACCAACGAUAAGAACUUUGUUUUCCUUUUGGGUUAAUUAAAUGAGAAUAAUUUACUAUAAUUUAAAAAUAUUUUAAUACCGAUCGUGAUUUGUUGUAAUAUAAUCAAAAUUCAUUAGAUUUCUGAAUGUCUUAUUUCCUACUUAUAUCCUAAAGAUCAUUUCUUGGAUAUAUUUUGUUGGAAUAAUAUAUAGUUAAAUUCAAAGAUUUUGAAUGUCUUGUUUUCUAUAUGACUAUAUCCUAAAGAUCAUUUCUUGGAAACAUACGAUGAAUACGUAACGUACAUGAUCUAUAAAUCUUGAUGAUAAUAUCACAUUUUAAUAAAAAAAAACCUUGAAUUACUAAAAGAAAACAUUUCCAUUACCAUAUGCGUUCUUAGAAAAUGGUGGAAAUUACAAAAGAUUCCUUGUCCUUUUUCGUUAUUUAAGCAUUACCCCCGAAACUUUAAAAUCGUUUCAAAUCCAUCCAUUGAUAGACGAUGGAUGAGGGCACAACGUUUGCACACCGACCCCAAGGAAAUCCCGAGUUUGCCCUCCUCCACCUCCCUCGCCUCCUCCAUCAACUCUUCUACGUUUCCAAGGGUAAUUCUGUAAUUCAUCCAACGCAGACGCAACCGUAACGUCAUUUCUAGCGUUCUCAAUCUCCUGAUCAUGACUAUGAUUCAUCAAUCCAAUGUUGUUGUUAGAUCCGAACAAAGCGAAGAACUUUUCUCCGGAAUCAUAAGUGGCGGUUUGAUCGGAGGAUUUUAGCGGGAAACUCUGGAGAAUCGUCGACGGGUCUGUGGUCAUCGCCGUCGUCGACGAAUUGGCGCCGAUUUCAGCCGCUUUCUGAAGUAACGCUGUAGCGGACAUAUUCGCGUUUGCGUUUGCGUUUUGUGUUUGAUCGCUGCUGAACAAACAAGGCACAGAGAGAGAAUUAGUAGCAGUAGUAGUGGUCGAAGUCGCGUUUGCGUUUUGUGUUAUGAGCUCAUCGUGAUUGUUGUUAUUAAUGCACGUUGCAGACGCGGCCUUAGCGUUUCCGAAAACCCAGUCAUAAUCUUGGGGUUGGGUUUGUGGCGGCGCGAUGUCUUGUCCCAUCCAUAGGGAGAGUGAAAGAAAGAGGAAGACGGAGGUAGCGGCAGAAAAUGAUGAUGGUUGUUGUUUUGAUUCGUUGGCGGUUGCGGUACAAAUGGUUGAAGCGGUGGGUUGAGUGUUCCCAUGAGAUAUUGAUAGUUUAGAUUAAUUCCUGCGGCUCCAGCCGCGGCUAAACCGUUGAGAUGAGACGCUGCGUUUAUUUUAGCGGUUUCUUCCGCUAACGCAUCGCAGAAAGCUCUAUGAGUGAUGAAACUAUCUCGCCUGUUUCAACCAAAAACCACCAUUAAAUUAAUCAACAUUUCUCUCAAUGCUUUAAAUCGAAGUUUUAAUUUGAUGAAAAAAAAAGAAAACUAAGUACAAAAUUACGUAAAAAUAAAAAAAAUUCAUUGAUUUGUCAAUGAGUUGAUGGUUUUACGCAUAUUAAGUAAAAACAUAAUGUUACCAUUUUGAACCAUACACACAUGUAUAUGUAUCUAUUAUUAUAUCUACCUAUGUUAUAUGUUCAUCAUUGUUACUAGUACAAACUUGUACCCUUUUUGUCACAAUGAUCACACUAACAAAAAACAUUUCCCAAGCAAGAAACUUUACCCUACUUCAAGAAGACAAACAAAACACAUAGAAAAUGACAAAAACAUAGUCAUACUUAUAAAACUUAAUCAAACUAAAAGAAGAAGAUGUAGACACAAUAAAGCAGCUACUAUAGAAUAGCUUUCGAACAUGAUUAAUAUAAACGACAACAUCUAUACAUAUAUACUUAUAAUACAUACCUGGAGAAAAUGGUGCCACAGUCGCAACGGUACUCUCUAGUACCACAAGUCUUGGAAUGAGCUUUAUAAUCAGAAUGAACAGCGUAUCUCUUGGCACAUUUCUCGCACUUCCACUUCUUCUCGCCGUGUUUCCUACAGAAAUGUUUUUUGAUUCCGGUGAGAUCGCCGAGGGCUCUAGAAGAGUGAUGGUGGACACAAGUCUUCUCUGGACAAACGUAGACACGUUUCCUCACUUCUUUGCUCGUCCUCUGCUUUAGCUUCCAUGGAAGAUUGUGUCCUCGGCGAUGAAGCUGUAAGUUUUGGUCUCUUUGGAAACCUUUGCCACAGACCUCGCAUAGGAACCGAUUCGUAGCCAUCAAGGUCUUGGGAGAUAAAGCUAUUACUUCAGCUUCCGGAUCUAUGUAGAUCAUUAAGAUUUUUGGUUUCAUUUAUUAGGUCAAACAGGAAAACGCUGAAUAUUUGUUUUGGAUUGGAUCAUGUAUUUUAAUCAAAUUUGUAAUAUUCUUUUUUUUUUUUUGCUUUUCUUUGUGGGGUAAUAAUAAUAAGAAACAACACAAUAUCUAAGAGAAGAACUCUAUAGACCAUAGCAAUUUUUAAAUUUACAAUAGCCUCAUCUUCUAAACUUUAAUUAAGCAUUCAAAUAUAUAUCCAAUUAAUGAUCAUAUAUAUAACUCAUGUAGCCAAAACAAUAGUUUGGAUAUAGGUCAAGAUCCAGAACAAAAAAAACCAAGAAAAUUAUUAAUAGGAAGGAAAAGUUGAAAAAGAUUCUAGGGUUUUUCUUUGUAGGUGAUGAUCAAGCUUAGAUUUAAAAUAAAUAAUUACCAGGAUUUCCAGGGAGAUUUCUCUUCUUCUUAACAAGAUGAGGGUUGAUGAGAGAUUCAUCAUGAUCAAGAGUUGAUGAACUCUGAGCAAAUCCGGAUCCGCUAGAGACUGUCUGAAGAACUUCACCUGUCAUGUCUUCUUCUUGGUUCUUGACUUCACUUGUAAGAGAAAUUAAAAGUAGGUUUUUGUUUAUAGUUAGAGAGGGAGAGAGAGAGAGAAGGAGAAAGGAGAAGGAGACAAAACGGUAAUAUAAGAGAGAGAUUAGAAAUACUAAGAAACCUGCAAGUAAACUAUAUGAAUAAGAAGAAAAAUAACAAAGACAAAGAUAUAUUGGGUUGUGUGGGUGUAUGAGCACCUUGAUCUGUUAAACUGUUGCAGCCAUCUUGACUAAAAUAAAAGGUUAAUUGUUAUUUUUUUUUCUUCAUCAAUUAUCAGAUUAUUUUAAGAGGGCAGAAGUGGAUGGCGGUGGAAAAUCAUAAGCUGAAAGUGAUAGCAUCAGAGCAAAUGAAAAUUUAAAAAUAUAAAGAUGCAAAUAUAGAAGAAAAAUUGCAUGCCUCGAAUAUAUUAUAGCUAGACUCCAAUCUGUAUUUGGAGUUUCACUAUAUAUCAAUUAUUUGACUAUAAUAUUAUUAGACAAAAAUCUUUCUUUGGUGGUUGUUUUCAUUAUUCACGUCCUAAUCUUUGGUAGUUCAAUUUCACUUUUUAAUAGGCAUUUAACCAGAUAUUUUUUAUGUUAAAACUUAACAAAAUAUGUUGGUGUUGUUUACUUAACAAAAUAAUUUUUUUUUGGUUGAAACUUAACACAAUUUUUUGGUGUUGUUACUUAACAAAAUAUUUUGUUAACAGCUCAUCUCGAAUUUGGAAAGCUACAAAUCGAUUUUUUUUUUAAUUAGAUAUAAAAUUACAUAUUUGAUGUUGUAUGAUGCAUAACCAUAUGAAUAUAAUUUAAACUAUUUGAAUUUCCUGUGGAAGUGCGUUAUGACACAUAGAAAGUUAAUAUUUCUGCCUUUUCUAUUUGGAAUGAUUAUCCUGUUAUUUGUGUUGCCCUUUCUUCUCCAUUUUUCGUGUUUUUCUUGUCCUAUAAUUACUUACUUUUUGUCCCUACAUGCUCUUGCUAACUUAGUGUAAAUUUAUUUUCUUACUAAAUGAUUUUUUGUAAUCUGAAAGUUUUACAGUAAAAUGAACUAUACUUACUAACUAAUAUAUAUGUAUAUAGUUGCAACAGUAUAAAAUCAUUAAACAUUAAUAUAAAGGUUAAUAUAAAGGUUAUAACUAACUUAACCUUCUUGACGAAAAAUAAAAAUACCUUUACCUUUUAAAAAAGUAUUUUUUGACAUAUUGUUAAAAAAAUUUAAUUCGUUACUGUUAAAGAAAUAAAAAAACAUGGUUAACUAGAUCAAUCCCAUUAAGUACCUUUAUGUUUUUGUUGGUUUUAAGGUUAUAGUUUUAGAACUCAAGUGUUAAAUCUGUACAGAAGAAUAUUGUUUGGGCUUUAGACUUAUCAUCUUUCAAAAGAGAGAAAAGUAAAUUAAAUAAAUUGAGUGUGGAUACUAUUCAAGAUAUUUGCUCGUGUAAUAUUUGUGAAGUUUGACUGUUUAAGACUCAUGUAGUCAUGUAUAGUACCGAAACCAUAAGCUGAAUAGUGUGUUCGUUGGAAAAUCUGGUCAAUAAUAUUCAUCUAUUAUAUGAAUCAAAGAAGUAAAACAGAUCUAACGGUGAUGGUUACAUCUCUUGUUUGUCGAACAAAGUCUGCAAUGCACGUGUACCCAUGCACGUGCUCUUUAGGUAUAAUCCAACAACGUACGACAAAAAAGACCUAAGAUAAAAUUAGAGAUGCAUUCAGACUUAGAGUCCGUUCGACCGUGACAUAAAAUUUUUCUUUAUGAAAUGUUGAAAUUUUAUUUUUACGAUGAAGCUAGCUGAAAUAAAACUCUUUAGAACAUAUAUAACUCUUACAUUAAUUUUCGCCUACUUAUUUAUUUAUUACCUAACAUUUUGUCUUUAUGAAUAUUGUUUGCGAAUUUGAGAAGAAACUUUGGUGACUUUAUUGAAUGGUAGAUAAGCGUUUAUUUUUUCAUGUUUUUUCUAUAAUAUUUUUUCUCCAUUCUCCUUUUUAUUUUGACAUCAUCCAUUCUCUUUUUAUUUCACCCUUUUCUCUUUAAGAAAGUGAUAUUAAGUAACAAAACGUAUUUUUCUUUUGAAAAAGUGAGAUAUGUCCUUACAAUAUAUAUAUAUAUAUAUAUAUAUAUGUGUGAGAUUUAAAAAUUAUAAUCUAUAUCUACUACAAAACAUAACAAUAACUAUAUUGGUUUGAGAUUCUAUCUUUGCGAAGUUAUUAUCCAUCUCAUGCGACUAUAAAUCACUUAACUUGGAAUAUCAUCAAACUGAGCUUCUACAUUACAUUAUCAUUACAUUUUGACAGUUAAUUAUCCCAAUUCCUAAACUGUUUUAUCUUCUUUUUAUUUUUUUUUAACUUGUAAGCUCUAGAUGUCUGGCUUAAAAUCUUUAUAUAUGAAAGCGGUUCUUGAUAAAAAAAAACCUAACCAAUCUACAAAUUAAAACUGUUUAGUCUUUCACAAUUUGAUAUCAGCUCAAUAACUAUAGCUGUAAUGUUAUUCGACGACUACCUAAUCGUACAUUAAGCAGCUGUUUCAUAUAAUUUAUUUAAUUUCAUGUUAAUAUACAAUUUUAUUAUGCAUGAUCAUGAUAAAAACGAACACAUAUAGAUGUAGUGCAUCAGUCAGUGGAGUGUACAUAUAUCAACUAUUUUGAUGUCUUUACCUCGUUAAUUAAGAGGAUAAUUUAACUGAUUGCAUUAAAGUUUUAUUUUAUCGAUCCUCGAACAAAUAGGAAUCAACUAAAUCGAAAUAAAGUAUUUUUGCCCUAAGCUAAGACGUGAAAUUAUCAUGGUUUAAUUAAAAAGAAUAAAGGUGCAUGCGACAUAGAACUGACAAAAGGCAGGUAAGGUUUUGGAAGUCGACUGCUUGUGGGCUGACUUAAUUAACAAUUCUUUUGAAGUAUAAUUUAAACUUUAAUCAUAAUGUAAUGAUGUUUUUAAGAGUGUCCUUUUUAAUGUUAAGACUGGUGAUACUUUCUUUACUAUUAAUUUUUGGAUUUUUCUUCUUGAACUAUGGUGGCACCAGAAUAUUCUCCUACAAUUUUCGAGACUUUAUAAUAUAUAGUAUUGCUCCCUUUGCUCUAUGAUAUAUAAUAAAGAUUCCUAGACAUAAUUCUUUAAAAAAAUAUAAACGUGUAUGUUGAUAUAUAUCGGUGAACAUCAUGUUCCUAUCGAUUAACAUCGAUCCUUGGAAAAAAAUCGAAUUUGAUCUAAAUAAUCACAUAUAUUAUAUAGUAUAAGGUAGUUGUCUAACCAAAUUUUCAGAUUUUUACUUCAAAAAUAAACUAACUUUUGUUUAUUUUGUUAUCUUGGGUCAAUUUUUAACUUGUGUUUGAAUAUUUGUAGUUUGUUAAAUAAAAAUAUGUAAAAAUAGCAUAAAAUUGCAAAGUAAGACAGAUGUGGAUCUAAAGGGUACAUUACAGAUAUACCACAUGCUCUUGGUUCAUAAGAAAGUAGAAGAAUAUAUACUUUUUUGCAGAUGCAUUAUUAGGUUAAAAUGCAGACAUCCCUUUGAGAUUUUGCCUCGUUCGUUGGGAGAUAAAAUAAAAUAAACAUAAAAGAGUGCCAAUAAUAUAUUUAAAUAAAAUAUGAAAAGCACUAUACAAAAAUACAUAUACACCAUAUGUAAAAUAUAUACGGUUAUACCGGUCGUUAAGUUUUAUGCUCGCGAGAAAUUGUUUUGUAGAUUUUGACUAGAACUAGCUAGAGUUCAAAAAUUGGAGUUCAAAGGUAAAGGUUGGUACCUAUAACUAUGUAUAUUGUGUAUUUAUGAUAUACAUGUGUAAGUAUAUACAUAUAUAUAUAUAUAUUGAUAAGUAUAAAGUAUAUAUAUAUGGAAGAGGGUGCGAUCGAUAGACGACAUAUCAAAGAAGACAAGGGAUUAGAUUCAUGGCAUUAAAAUUUGGCGAUAUAUAUCAAAUAAAGAAGAUACGAUUAGAGUUAAAAGUAUACAUAUGUCACCUAGUGUAUGAUAAUGUUGUUCUUGUUUUUACUCCCAUUUUGACCAAUCCAAUACAUUAGGUCAGUCACUAUAGACAACUAUUACAAGACGAAAGAAACAUUUUAUUUUUGUUUUCCAUUUCUAUUACCAACGUUAUAAGUAUCUCAUUAAUAUUACAUGAUCAGACAGUAUUCUAUAAUAAAAAAAUCCGACACUGUGCUAAGAAAAUUGUAUAGAUAUAGACCAAUGAUUAAGGUUGAUUAGACUAAUUGACUAUACAUGCGGUUACAUACUUUCCAUACAUUAAAUGGAUAGCUGGUCUUAAUUUUUUUUGGACUACCAUAAUUUGAUGGACAUUUUGAUAAUGGAUCUAGAUAUUUUAUGUAAUUUUAUUUACAUGGCGUAGUUAAUUUUGUUAAUUUUUGUUACACAUAAAUUUACCCAUGUUCAUUUAAGUUUGUAGUCAAAACAUUAUAACAAGAAGACCCAUAAAUAAAUCUCAAAGUCGCAAGUUUUUUUUUUUUUUGCAAAUAUAUAACUCUUGGUCCCCUAAGGAACCGAGUAAUACAAAACAUUCACAGCUAAAUAGUUGUAUUUCCAUAUAUAUAUAUAUAUAUUUGAAAGAAUUGUAUUUAUAUUUUAACCAGUAGUGGUUCUAUACAAGCUAACUUUUCCAUGGAACUUCCUGUGAAAAUUUGAAAUGGGACCUUGAUUAAGAUUCUCUUUAAUGGGUCAUAAAAGUAACUAAAAGAUAAAGUCACACUCUCCAAUCUUUUCCACAAAGUUGAUAGAGACUCGAUCGGGCUAUCUAUUACAAUUAGUUCUAAUCGAGAAAUAGAGUUAUAUCUCUAAACAUAAAAGUGGUUCUUAUUUGUGUCACAUGCACACAUAAUUUUAUAUCUUCAAUUCUCAUUGAUGAUUUCCACGUCUAUAUGCUAUAUAAUAAUUUCUGUUGAGUUGAAACCUCCAGUUUUUUUUAUAUAUAUAGAUAUCUUGAAAAUAUUUCUUGAACAUUUUUUCUUAAAUACUAAAAUAGACAUAUUUGUUGUGAAAAACAAUUUCGGAAAGACGUUCGCAUAUAUGCAAACACUAGAAAAAAGAGACUUAGAGAGAGAAUGAAAAACAAUAUCAAAUAUCUUUUGUUUUUUUAACUAGAUUAUGUUACAUUUACAAAGCCAAACUCACCUAUAUAUAUUGGAGAAAUUUGGAGACACAGUUUUAGAAACUUGGAGACAAAGUAAUUCAAGAGGGAUGAAUCUCUAGAGGGGAUGAAUACUUAAUAGUUAAGAAGUUUGAGGAGAAAGCUAUUCUCAAAUGUAUAAUCAAUAUAUUUAUAACACUCUUCCUUGAUUAUUCAUUUAUAUUGACGCAGUGUGCACUGCAUCGUUAAAAACUUUAUCAUGGACAAACUCGUUAAUUUGGAACAAAAACCAUGAAAAAGAAAAAAGAGUGCAAUAAAGCUCUCCCUGAAAAAGACAUAUAUUCCUCUCUUCACAAGUCUAAUUGAUGACGCAUUCCAAUGUUGUAAAUAUAUUUUUUGAAUAAUGCAGUAGGAAGCGCCUUUGUGAAGAGAUCUGCUGCAUUGUUGCUUGAACAAAUGUAUUGGACAUCGAUAUCCCUGUUUUGUUUGGAGUUUUUGAGUAUAUGAAAGAAAUCUUGGAGGGAUAUAUUUUGUCUUGUCGCUCUUGAUAUAACCUUCUUUAAUUUGGGCGACACAAGUAACAUUGUCUUCAAAUAUUUUUGUGGGCUCUUCAUCUAUGAUUAUUCCACUUGAUUCUUGAAUAUUUGGGUCAUUGAUAUAAGCCACACACACUCUCUGCAUGCUUCAUGAAGUGCAAUAAUCUCCGUAUAAUUUGAAGAAGUGGCGACCAAAGUCUGUUUUUGAGAACGCCACGAGAUCGCCGUUCCACCAAAUGUGAAAACAUAUUCUGAUUGUAAUCGCGCUUUAUGCGGGUUUUACAAGUAUCCUGCAUCUGCAAAACCAACUAGACCAACCUCGGAGUUUCUUGAAUAAAAUAGGCCUAAGUCAAUCGUACUUUAUAGAUAACGAAAGAUGUGCUUUAUUACACUCCAAUGCCUGCGCGUAGGGGAUGCACUGUAUCUUGCAAAUAGAUUGGUAGCAAAAGCUAUAUCUGGUCGAGUACAAUUUGCAAGGUAUAUUAAUCCACCAAUAGCGCUCAUACAAGGUAUUUCAGGACCUAAUAUUCUUCGUUAUCUUCACAAGGUCGAAAUGGAUCCUUGUCAACAUCAAGCGAUCUAUUGAGCAUUGGAGUACUCAAAGGAGUCGUUUUAUCCAUAUUAAAGCGUUUUAACACCAUUUUGGUGUAAUUUUUGAUGCACAAAUAUUCUGUCUUGGAAAUGCUCUAUCUGGAGCACUAGAAAAAAGUUUUGUCUUUCCAAGAUCUUUCAUUUCGAACUCUUCUUUCAUAUGAGUUCGUACAUCAUCAAUCUUCUUUUGAGUUCCAAUUAAGUUCAGGUCAUCAACAUAUACAACAAUGAUUACAAAUCCCGAUGCAGACUUCUUAAUAAAUACACAAGGGAAUAUCACGUUGUUGAUGUAUCCUUUACUCAACAAGCAUUCACUUAAGCGAUUAUACCACAUGCGUCCAGACUAUUUUAGUCCGUAAAGUGAUUGCUGUAAUUUGACUGAACAUAUUUCCCUAGAUGCUUCUGGUAUCUUUGAUCCUUCUGGGAUCUUUAAUUCUUCUGGGAUUUUUAUGUACUCCCUCUGUUCCAGAUUAGAUGAUGUUUUAAGAUUUUUCUUUAUUCCAAAAUAGAUGAUGUUUUGGAAGAAUUUAAUGCUAUUACAUUUUACAAGAAUGACUUAACAGCACAUUUAUUGGAAAAUGAAUAAAAAGUAAAAUUAGAAAUCAAGAAUGACUAAACAAACCAAUAUAUCGAGUGAUAGAGUAUUAUAAAGUUCAUGCAUAAUGAUUAUAUAGAGCAUUUAAGUAGUGGGUUAAAAAAAAUUUUGGAAAGUGGAAAGACAAAAAAGUAACUACAUAUUUAUUGUUUCUUAAUAAGAGUGUAAUUCCUAAAACAUCAUCUAAUCUGGAACAGAGAGAGUAUAUGUCACUAUCAAAUGAACCAUAUAGGUAUGCAGUCACCACAUCCAUCAAGUACAUCUCUAAACUUUUAGAUAUCGUUCGGCUCAUUAAGUACCUGAAUGUGACAACAUCCAUAACCAGAGAAAAUAUCUCUUCAUAAUCAAUUCCCAGUAUUUGAGUAAAGCCUAGUGCAACGAGCCAGGUCUUAUACACAACUAGCAUUUUUCUCAUUUCUCUUUCUCACAAAGACUCAUUUACACACAACUAGCAUUAUAUCUUCAGGUGUAAUGACUAUAGGUCCAAAGAUAUUUCUCAUGGCCUCUUGCCAUUUCUUCCAGACCUUGGUCUGGAUCAUCUUCAUGAUCUAUUUCUCUAGAUAUCAAAAAAGAAAACAUUCCAUUUGUAUCAUCUAUCUCGAUUCUUACCCAUAAUGUCCCACUUUGGGAUAGGCGAAGCUAAUGAAAAUCUCAUAUUUUUCAGUAUCAGGUUUGUCUUCUGGACAAACCUCUUUAUAUGGUUUUUCUGGACAUUUUUCUUUAUUUGGUUCUUUUGGAACCUUGUCUCCCGUGCUUUAAUUGAACCUGCGGUUCAUUUGCUCUAUUCCCAUCAAUACAUUGUUCUCAAACAUUUAUUUUUGAUGGAGCAUUAGCAGCAGGGAUAUAAGACUUUGUCGCCCUUCUCGUAGCUGUGAAUGCAUCAGGUAACUGAUUUGCCAAACUUUGUAAAUGUAUUAUUUUCUGAACUUCCACCUCACGUUGAUUGGUAGGAGGAUCAAUAUAAGCCAAAUUGUAUGUACACCAUGUGAUAUCUUUUGGGGAUUCUCUAGAUCCUCCCCCACAACAUGGAGAAUUCACUUUCAUCAAAAUAACAAUUGGCAAAACGUGUCGUAAACAUAUCUCCCGUUACUGGUUCAAAAUACCUAGUUAUAAUUAGAGAUGUAUAGCCGAUAUAUAUUCUCAAUCUCCUCUAUGGCCUUAUUUUUAUUUUUUGAGGUGGGGCUGUCGGGACAUAUACCGCACAUCCAAAAAUACUGAGAUGGGACACAUUUGGCUCCUUGCCAGAUGUUAACUAUAUUGGGGAAUAUUUAUUAUAUGCACUUGACCUCAUAUGGACUAAUGCCCCGACAUGCAAUAUCGCAUGUCCCCAUAUAGUAAUUGGGAGCUUUGUUCUCAAUAUUAAUGGUCUUGCAAUUAACUGCAACCGUUUAAUCAAAGACUCAGCCAUGCUAUUUUGUAUAUGAACAUGUAGAACCGGUUGCUCAACAUCGAUUUUCAGUGACAUACAAUAGUCAUUAAAGGCCGCUGAAGUGAAUUCACCAGCGUUGUCUAGCCUAACUUUCUUUAAUGCAUAAUCAGAGAAUUGCGAUCUCAACCUGAUUAUUUGGGCAAUAAAUCCUGCGAAAACCAUAUUUCCUAUGGUCAAUAGACAAACAUGUGACCAUCUAUUGGAUGCGUCAAUUAAUACCAUGAAAUAUCUGAAUGGCCUGCAUGAUGGGUGAAUCGGCCCACAUAUAUCACCAUGUAUUCUUUAAGAAUACAAGAGAUUCAUUCUCAACUUUGGAUAGCGAUGGCCUAAUUAUGAGUUUUCUGAGAACAUACUUUACAUGAAAACUCUUCCGAUUGAAAAAUCUUCUGGUUUAAUGGGUGGACACUUGAAUUUUGCACUAUCUUUCUCAUCAUGACUUAUCCCGGAUGGCCAAAUCUUUCAUGUCACACUCUAAAUGUACAAGUAAACUUCGGUUUUACUGUAACAUAUGAUUCAGUCAUAUUUAUUUUUGUGCAAUAUAGUCCGGAGGACAUCAUUGGUAAUUAUUCCAGUACAUGUCUACUCCCAGAUGUAAUGCAAAGAUAUUCAAUGCCAUUCUUAUUCAUAGUCUCUAUAUGAUAUCCAUUACUGCGGAUAUCCUUAAAACUUAAUAAUUUUCUAAGAGACUCGGGGGAAUAUAAUGCAUCUUGCACUUCAAAGUUAGUCCCCAUUGGCAUUGAAAAACUUGCUCUUCCAGAGCCUAAUAUAAUAUUUGCAUUACCAGAUAUGGUACUCAUGCAUCCGGCAUAGUCCUUUAUUUUGAGAUAGGAAAAAAUACUUUUUGUCCUUAUUGCGUGUGUCGUACCACUGUCUGCUAGACAAGUAUUCCAUCCUGAAUCUCAAACUGCGACAUCUUUUGGAUCACAAUUAUCAUAAAGAUAAAUAUAUUCUUAAACCGAGACAUAGACUUUAAAAGUUAUUUUACAUCAAACAAAAAACCAUCCUUUUUUUCUUAACAAAAGACUAAUAAAGUAAAUUAUAUUUUUUAUUGAAAAAGCAAUACUAAAUUAUAAUUUUUUUAUGUCUUCUUCAGGAAGGCACUAAGUUACAUCGAUCUUAGUCGUUUUCUUUCCGUUGAUUCUUCUGGAUCAACAAGAAAAUCUGUGACAUGAAGAUGAGUGGCGUCAUUUCUGCCAUCACGAGCUGAUUAUUUUGCCAUCUGCGAAUUUGGUGGUUUCACAUCACGAGCUGAUUAUUUUGUUCAGCCACAAGAAGGACUUGCAUCAACUCUGAGUAAGUGGUGUAUUCAUUCAUCCGGUAUUGUUGCUGCAGGGUUACAUUUCCAGGAUGGAAUGUUUGGAGAGUUUUUUCGAUCAUAUCAAAAUCACUUAUUUCAGCUCCACAUAACAUCAUCCUGGAGGUGAUUCCGAAUAUCACAGAAUUAUGUUCACCAAUACUUUUGUAAUCCUGGAACUGGAGAUUCAACCAGUCAUGCUUGGCUCUCGGUAAGAUCACGUAUUUUUUGUGAUCAAACCUGUCUUUAAGUGACUGCCAAAGAUCUGCAUGAUCUUUUUUCGUGAUGUAUUCUUCUUUUAAAUUAUCAUGGAUGUGGUGAAGCAAAAAUAUCAUAAUUUUGCAUUUUUCUCAUCUGAUGUCGUUUUCGACUUGUCGAUAGUAUUGAGAAGCUCGUUUCUUCUUAUAUAUAUUUUGCACCUACUUCCCAUGACAUGUAAUUGUUUCCAGACACAUCAAGAGCAGGGAUCUCGAGUUUUGCCAAAUUUGACAUGAUAACUAUAUAACAAAAUUUUAACUAUCAAUUUAGCAAAAAAAAAAAAAAAAAAAACUUUUUAGAUGUUACCACAGCUUAUUUAGAAAAAAAGGAGGAGGCAACGCCUGCCAUAGAUUUUGAGGAGGCAUAGCCUACCAUAUAAAGGAGGCAACGCCUACCAACGCUUACUACGCUUUAUUAUAACAAAAAAAAUUGAGGAGGCAUAGCCUACCAUAUAAAGGAGGAGGCAACGCCUAUCAUGGAUUUUGAUGAAGCAAAGCCUACUAUAUAAAGGAGGAAGCAAAGCCUACCAUAGAUUUUGAGGAGGCAGAGCCUACCAUUCCGUUUAUACUAUAUAAACUUUAAAUGAUAAUAUGAAUAUAAAUGUUACCUUCAAAUUGAUGAACAAACGAACAGGAACAGAGAGAUGAUCAUGUUUUCCAUAUACGAGCGAGCAAGGAGACAAUCGUAUUGAUAACGUAUUAUGAAAAACAAUUUUGGAAAGCUGUUUGUAUAUAUGCAAACACUAGAGAAGGAAGACUUAGAGAGAGAGUUAGAGAAUGAAAAACAAUAUAAAAGAUCUCUUGUGUUCUUUCACUAGAUUAUGUUACAUUUACAAAGCUAAGCGCACCUACAUAUAGUGGAGAAAAGAGACUUAGAGAGAGACUUAGAGAGUUAGAGAAAAAAAAAACAAUAUAAAAGAUCUCUUGUUUUCUCUCACUAGAUUAUGUUACAUUUACAAAGUCCUAUAUAAAGUGGAGAAGUUUAAAGACAAAUUUUUAGAAAAUUAGGGAUAAAGUGAUUCAAAUGGGAUAAAUCUCUAAGAGAGAUGAAUACUUAAUAGCUAAAAAGCUUGAGGAGAAAGCUAUUCUCAAAUGUAUAAUCAAUAUAUUUAUAACAAUACUAAUGAAAAGUAAUUUAUUUUCUUAUGUAAUUCGCGUAUUGUGUCGUUGUUAACAUCUUUUUUUUCUUACUGUUAGAUUCGACCAUUAGAUGAUGAAAAAAUAUUGAAGUUAUGUAUAUAUAGUUAGGUCCCGUGUAGGUAAUAUCUUGAAACGUGUCUUAAACGGUAUUUAGGUCCCGUUUAGGCGCUACGGAGUAACUGAAUAUCUUAAUUUACUCACUUUAUAAAAUAAAAUAAUACAUAUAUUUAAUAUAUACCUAAAAAAGUCUAAAUUCUCGUUUAAGCGUAUACAAUUAAACAAUAUUCGUCUAUUAUUUACCGAACGUCUAGCAUGUUUUAGAGCACUGUGUAAAAUAUAUGAAAUAGAAAAAAAGAGGAAGAAAUAAGGAAUAAAUUAUCUGACUUAUCAAAAUGGUCAUCAAACACUGGUCCACUUUGAUCCAUAGUUUUUUCUUUUCUGGCAUCCACCUUGAUCCAUAAUUUAUGGUUCGCAAAAGCAUUGUUAAUUUGCAACGCAUAAAAUAAAAAUGUUAGUGAUAAUUACUUAAAAAUUGAAAGUGUUUUUAGCAACGAAAAUAGGCUAAAAAUUAUUUUUCCUUUGAAAGCUUGCCUCAUCAAAAGUAAUUUAUAUAUUUGAUUUGUGAUUAUGACAAUGCUCUCUAAUUAUUAGUAAUUAGCUAUUAAGAUACUUGUUGAUAUGUAAUAUCACACAAAUGGAUAAAACAGUAAUUUAUAUCAAAGUUCGGUUUUAUUGAUAUCAGAGUAAAAUACAACUGAGUUCGUUUCCAAACUGAUCGUUCAACGAAAUAGGACUUAGAGAAUCAGAUACUUAGAAUAUUUUUAGCUUUCAAUCUCUAGGUUUCGGUGGAUUUUUGUGUGUCUUCGGUGUCGACUCCUCUCCCCUUUUAUAUAUAUCCCAAGUCUGUCUUAGAGGAGAUCUUUUUCCGAUAUUGGAAUUUAAAGAGUUUUCUUUUCUCUGGGUUGAAAACUUUCUUUAUUCUUUCAGGAAGUUUCCACCGACUUAAUGUUCACGGGUCUAGAUCGGUCCAGGAGUUCGCUCGACCCGAUUCCCUCGAUAUACCAUCAUCGUUAGCCAGACAUAUUUAUGCGAACCUUGGUUUGUACUAGAGAAAACCGUGAAUACGAUUUUCACCUCCAACAAUACUAAUGAGUAAUGAGUAUCUGUUCCCAUAUAUAUACCAUAUUAGACAUAUAUAUAUAUAUAUAUUAAGAUGUACAUAUAACUGUUUUUUUGUUGUUUUUGUCGGCAAACUAUUUUAUUAACAAACUGGAAAUACAAUCAGUUACAACACUGACCAAGUAAUCUUAUAGAUUUGAACCUGCUCCCUAGCUACUUCCUGAACAGCAUUACAUUUAAAAUACAUGUACGCGUACUUGUUCCCUUUAGAUGAGAUAUUGAUAAUAUCUUUUAUUGUCACUGAUAUUUCCAGGUUGCACCAUGCUUGCUUCUUCUUUAGAUUGAUCAAAUCGUUAAUGCAGUUGAAGAGAGUAAUGGUCCCCAACGAACAAGACUUCAUCAUAAGCCAGUCUUCUGAUUUCCUUAACUGCCAUCAGCAAUGCCAUAGACUCAGCUGCUAAUGGAGUUUAAGUCGGCUAAAUAGAAGAACUAUCAUGCAUUAGUUUCUGACCAUUGGCUUUAUAUAAAGACCAGGCUAUAUCAACACAUGCAUCAGCCAAUGUCUAUGAUGCAUCCAUAAAACAACAAUAUUUAUUACUAACUCUGAAAACCUUUUGAGUAUUCUGGAGAUGCUGAAUUUGAAUGCGGUUAUUGUUGCUAGAACUGGUUGGACUGCUCCCCUCAUUCCAAGAUUUUGACUUUUUCUAGAGCUGGUAAUCUAUUCAGUGCCACCACUAGAAUAAUUUUUUAUGGGUCAAUAUUAAUAUAAUCACAUAAAUAUUAAAUCCACAGAGGUUAAUAUAUACAAUUGAGUUCAGAUAACUCAUGAAAUAUAAACAAAAACAUAUUUACAAAAAAAAUUAUAAACUCUGCUACUGAAUCCAUUAAUACCUUGUUAAUAACCGAAAGGAUAAAAUCUUAUUUAUUAUCAAAGAUAAAUUUGUUUCUCAUCUUCCAGAUCCUCCAUGCAAUUAAUGAUGAGAAAUUUUUGUUGUCUUUUGCAGGAGAACAAAGGAGCAUCUCAUUCAUAUUUUGAAUCAAUUGGAACAAGCUUCCAAAUCUCCUCGGAGACUGCAUUGAAACAAAAUAUGAUUCAAUAUGUUUCCUGCUCUAUAUGAUAUGUUGGUUCAACUCUGCAUCCUCUUCUGUUAAAUAAUCAGCUACCGGUAGACUAUUGUGCACCAUUCCCCAUCAGAAAUUCUUUAAUUUGGGUGGAAUGUCCAUAGCCCAGUAUAUAGAUCGUAUUAUUUUUUAUGUAUAUACGUAUGUUAGUAGUAUAGUAUUCAAGGCAAGUAGAAAUUCUGCUUUCAGGCCACACAUAUUAAAUGGGUCAUUUUAGUGUGCGUUUAAUAAUGGGCUUUAUGGCCCAAUUUAAACGCUAGUAAAACGCCAUCGUAUUCAUCGAAUCUCCAUCAUUCCUUUUUUUGUUUUGUUUCCAGACCCCAUGAACAAUUGAACGCCAAUUUCUUCUUCUUCUUCGUCGCUCUUUCUCAGAUUCCUACCAAGCAAGCUUCUUCGAUCUUCCUUUGCUGCAUUUUUUCGUCAGUAAAGGUAAGUUUUAUCGAUCUCAAAGUUUUGAGGAACUAACCAAAGAGAUUGAUAAAACCCUAAUUGUUUAUUAUACUAUGGUAAUCCCUUUUCUUAGAAUAGAAAUCGAAAUCUACCGUCUUAGAAACUGGUGUUUAGGAAAUUGAAUUAUUGCGUAGAAACCCUAAUUUUCUCCUCAGUCGCUUAAUUUUGCAAUCUCUCAGAAUGCUUCGGUUUUUUUGUUAUAAAGAUUCUUCUGCAAUGGACACAAAAGCUCUAGCGAAAUCGAAGAGAGCUCACACUCAACAUCACUUCAAGAAAUCUCAUUCAGUUCAUAAGCCGAAAGGAGUUACAGAGACUUCCAAAAAUCCAGAGAAGAAGCCGCAAGGAAACCAAACCGGGGCUCUGAAAACAAAGAGUCCGGUUCAAUCUCGCCGUGUAUCUGCACUACCGUCGAAUUGGGACCGGUACGAUGAUGAACUCGAUCUUGGUUUGGAUAAUGCUUCUGGAGAUUCGUCGACGAGUGAAGUUAUUGUGCCAAAAAGCAAAGGAGCAGAUUAUCUGCAUUUGAUAUCUGAAGCUCAAGCUGAGUCUCAAUCAAAGAUUGAAACCAAUUCAGAUUGUUUAUCAUCGUUAGAUGAUCUUUUACACGGUAUUGAAGAACUCGAACCAAGUCUCAACCAAGAAUCCAAAUGUUGUUUUUGUUCUGUUUUGGAUUCAAGUUUUAUGAAAUGUUUGCAGAUGAAUUUAGUCGUGUGGUUGGAUCUAUGAUCUCGGCUAGAGGGGAAGGUAUACUUUCAUGGAUGGAAGAUGACAACUUCAUUGUUGAAGAAGAUGGCUCAGCUUCUAACCACGAGGUAAUAAGAUUCUUGUAAUCUUAUAGCUAAGAUGAAGGUUUAAUACCAUUGUUUUCGCGCUAAUUGAUAACAGUUCCUCUCCUUGAACUUGAAUGCACUGGAGAAAAUGCUAGAGAAAGUGGAUUUGCAUGAGAGACUCUACAUUGAAGCUGAUGUUUUGCCUCCUGAGCUGGUACACACUUACUGGUUCAAAACCAUUAGCUGUGUAACAAUAUUAGGCUUUAUGUUUUUGACAUAUUCGAUGUUUUUGGAUUGUGCAGUGUACAGUUCAAUCAAAUGUGAGCCACGAUGAAGAACCGUGUCAUUCAAAAGAUAUCACAAUGAGGCUAAAUGAGCCGGUUCAACAAGAAGAAUCAUCGGUCUUGGAGGCUGAGUCUCUGGAUCAAGUCAAGGACAUACCAAUACUCACAGACCAGUCAGAGAAAUCUUCAGAAAUUGAAGCUGAUAUAGAUUUGCUCCUCAACUCGUAUAGUGAUGAGCCUAACUCAGUGGCUAGUGCCUCAAGUACAUCCAUUCAGAAAUCUUCAGCUUUUGAAGAUGAGUUGGAUUCUCUGCUCAACUCUCGUAGUGAGGCAGAACCAUUCAACAAACCAGCGAAGCCAUCUGAUCAAAAGCUUAAGUCGACGGGUUUUGAUGACGUGCUUGAUGAUUUGCUCGAAAGUACUUCAGUAUCGAUCAAACCACAGCAGAGCCAGACCUCUUCAUCGUCCUCCUCCGUUGGAAAAUCCAAAGUUUUAGAUGAGUUUGAUUCUUGGUUAGAUACGAUUUGAUUUACAUAUGUUAGCUUCAUACUUUUUGUAAUCUAUAAAAGAAAGAUUAACAUUUGGUAAUGGCUCUUCAAAUCUUCUUUUGAUCAUUUUAAACCAAUCCGCAAAACAGGAUUGAUAAAAUAAAACUAACCCUCAAAACGAAAAACCUGUUCAAAGUGACUUUUUUUUUUUUCUUUCUUGCUAUAUACUUGUUAGGGCUAGGUUACAAGUUCAUUGCUUGGAGAUUAAGCAUAAGAUCAUUGGAGCUGAGGUACACCGUGUUGUCCGAUCUAGCUACGAUCUGAGCAAUCUCUGUGGCAGCUUCAAUCUUCCUCAGAGUAAUGAAAGCAUCAUUGUUCGCAAUAGCUUCGCCUAUGAGUUUGAGCACUCUUAGCUUCUCCCUGUGAAUCACAAAAGUCGGCAUUUAACAAAGAAACAAAACCCACACAACUUUGUCCUAAAAUAUAUAGAUAUACUCACCUCAGCACGGUAACAGCACUUUUCUUGUCUUGCUCAGCCUUUUCGACUAUGAACUUAGCCCGUUCUGCCUCCUGAGCUGCGACUUGUUUUGCCUCGAUUGAUUCUUCGAAUUACCUGCCAAAUGUGAGGCUUGUGAUGGAGACACCAUCUAGUGCAAUGUUGAAACUAGAUGCGCCCUCUCUGUCAGAAUCUUGCAUAUCUCCCUGCUCACACCCUUGUAGAGAUUUGAAACCACAAGACAAAACACAGCAGCUACAAAUGUUGAGAUUAGAACAUUAGAGUAGGAAAUACUAACUUCUCUCUGUAUAAUGAGCUGGCUGGCAUUGCACUGAGCCCCCACUGCUUACAGAGUUUCAUUGAUGACUAAAGGGAGAACUCGGUCUUUGUAAUUCUCACCGAGUGUCCUGUAAAUUUGCGGCAAGCGGUCUCCCAUGGGACGAUGAAGAACCCUAAGCCCAAUUGUCACCUGUACAUAACACCAAACAAGUAUCUCAAAAGAUAAACUAGGCACACAUGAACAGUGGUUUUUUGUUUGUUUGUUUGUCUACUUGCAUCUUAACCAACUCAGGAAAAUGCUUUGGUUUCAGACCAAAAACGGAACCCAAAACUAUAACAAAAUCAAAGUAAUAGGACAUUAAAGUCUACUUUACUUUAUAUCUACACAUACAUACAUACACGAAAGACGCUUAAGCCUAUUAAGCCCAUUAAUGAAUGCUUCCCUUGUUUAACACGUAAAGUUGAAAAUGAAAUGGGUCUAACAUUUUUAUUUUGUAAUCUUUCUCUAUUCAUCUGUUACUAUAAGAUUCCUCUGUUUUUGGAUUUGAUGUCUGUAUUCUGUUUUUUUCUCUUAGUUUGUAAUUCAUUCAGUUGGAAGUUGGAAAAAAAGUAAACUAAAAAAACUAUUAAAGAUUAAUAUAAACCAAAUGUAGAGCUAAAUAUUUAUGAUCAUAUACGCACAAUUUGGAAUAAUAAUCUCUUCUUUACAAUUAUCAUCAAUCCAUGCAUCAUAUUCAAUAAAGAAAUUUCUUAUUACAACCCUCACAAUAAAACAAAUAUAUGGAAACCAAAAUCAGACGAUGAAUUUCAAACAUAACAGAACAAGUCCAAGACCAAACCCUAAUCCAGCCUUCAUCUCCCCGGAGCCAGACUUCUCCGACGGAGCCGCCGCUUUCUUGGAGGAUUCAUCUUCCGAGUCAUCAGAGACACCAGGAGAUUUUGAUUUUGGACCAGGCGCCACGGGUGAGAUCUUUCGUUCUCCAAACAUUUCUUCGGGCAACAAUACCAUGUCCACCACGUAAACCGCAAGAGGACGUUCUUUACUUAAUGCAUUACUAACACGUGUCUCAAUGACUCCCGUUGAAACGUUGACUUGGUUUCCUUGACCGGUGAAGUUAAGUCCGUAAAUCGCACCAGCGUCUCGCCCUGAAGCUUGAGUCCUGACCGGGUUGCUUACUGAGAGAAGAUCAUCAAGUGUGUAGAAUUUGGGACUAACAUGGUAAAGAAUGAGCUUUACUUGGUCGUCCGGGCUUAACUUGUUUAGGGUUCCGGGUUUAAGGUUUUGAAAUGCGUUGUCUGUUGGUGCAAACACGGUCAUGCCUUCUGAUGAACUGUUGACUUGGAUGUUGAUUUGGUUUCCGAUUUGAGUUGUGUUCAAAAGACGGGUAAAAGUAACGAAUUGGCCGCCUUUUUCGAGGAUUGCCGUGACGUUGAUGGGACCAGCAGGGCCAGGAGCGGGAGCGGCGGGCUGAGCGGUUACCUCGGUGGAGAGGAAGACGGCGUCUAGGAGGAGGAGGAGGAGGAGGAGAGGAGCUAGAGCUAGAUGAGUGGUGGCCAUUGCGUUUGAAGUUUGAGUUUGAUGAGAAAGUGAGGUUGGGAGUUAAAAGUAUUUAUAUGGAUGAGAAUUAGUGAUGAGUUGUGGCUUAGUUGGAAUGAGAUGGGAUUGGCUAAUAAGUCAUUUUGACAAAAUGUAUAUUUGCCGACAGAAAUUGGAUUCUCUAUGUAACUAUAUGUUUAAACCUUAAUUUUUUUGUUAAAUAUAUAUAAUCAUCGACGUUUGUAUAUGUAUGAUCGGUUGUUAAAUAAAUUUAUCGACAUUUAAUAUAUGUAUGAUUCGUUUAUGUGAUCGCAAGAUAUGUGAGAAAUUAUAUGCAUAUAUUAUAUAUACAAAUAUGAGAUGCUGAAAUUGUAAUGAGUUCUAAGGUCAACAUAUAUACGUACAAACACAAUUUACAUCAAAAUUGUAUAGAGUUAACAACGGAAUAUCAAUCUUUCUUUUACUAGACACUUUUUUUUUGGUCUAAUACUUUUCUUUUACUAUAUACUUAGGUUAACAACCGACACUAACACAUACAUUUUGGUCACACAACUCACAAUAAUCUCAACUAAUUAAUGGUUGGUGGUACUUAGUAGUCUAAUAGAGAAAGAUAAGGAUGAUUUGAUCCCUAAUUUAUUAUACUCAUAUACGUUUAGAUAGUAUUCAUAUGAUUGGAUUCAAUAAUGAAAACGCUUUUGAUAUUUGCUAAAAAAUGUACUUUUCUUAACUAUUUCUUUUUAAUUAGGAAAAGAUAUGAGGAAUUCAAACUCAGUUCUUAGGAAAAUGCGGGUUAAACCAGGUAUAGUAGUUGUAAUUUAGAUCAGCAUAUAGAGAUAACUAAUUAUAUCCUUCUAUUGUAAAUUGUAUACAAUAAGGUAUAUUCAAAAAUGUAGAUGCUUCAUGCAUGUAUCUAUCUAUACAUCCAUAUUCUGUACUUGUGCUGUUGUGCAUACACACGUCGACCGUAGACAUGUAUGUGUUUGUGUCAUUGUGUGUUGUAAGAAGAAGAAAAUGGAUGGACAAAAGUCCAAGGCUCGCUAAGUGACAGCCUGGAUGAACAAGUUGGCAUGUGGUGGGAGUGGAAGACCUACAAGAGUAAACAUAUCUUAGUAUAUCUUAUCGAUCAUUAAUUUUUUUUUUUUAUUGCGUUUGAUCGAUAAUUAUUACCAAUCGCUUCAAAGAGCGACGGCUCAAAUAUAGCAUAAACAUAUUGUUAUUCUUGUUCAAUAUAUGGAAAUAUGGAACCUAAUUCUAUGUAAUUUUUAUUAUUAUUUUGGACCUUUGAAUACACCAAUUUUUUGUUGGUUUAUCAAGUUUUCUUUGCAAAGAUACUCCCAACAUAUUUACUUUGUGUUAAAAAAAAUCGAUCGCCUAACCGUUUAGAUAUUGAUCGUUGUUGAGCAGUGGGUAUUUAAGACUGAUUAGUUUAAUGGAAUUUGGACACAAUAUUAUAUUAAAAUUAUAAAUUAUGAUGGAUUAACAUAUUAAAAAUCUCAAAACUAAUCUCCGGUUCAUUAUUGAAUCCCCAAUUCUUUUAUUAUACGCUAAGGCCACCUCGAUUGCCUGAUUAACGUCUAGUAAAAUGUUGAACAAAACAUAUACUUAGAAAUGGAUUCAAAGAUCAUCGAUCAACCAAACAAACGAUUUGAUAAAACAUUUAAUUAGGAUGGUCUGAACAAACUUUAGCCAGUCAUAAAAUUGUUAGAAACCAAUUAUUUCAAAACGUUUCAGAGGUCAGCAAUCAACCAAGCAAUUUCUCUUAGUAUUUGUUGAGACGGUUUGAUAAAAAAUAAUUCGUCAAAGCGGUUCAAAGCAUUUUUAGGCAGUUACAAGAGAAACUGUAAGAAAGGGUUGUCAACUUAUCAUAAAUGCUUCUAGGUAUGAAGUCACUUAUACUAAAAGCAUAUAUCUCGUGUUGCUCUUAAUACCAUUUUAAAGUGUAUGAUGGUUUUUACCCAAAAAAAGAAGAAGUGUAUGAUGGUUUUUUCACGGCCAAGCGGCAUAUAGAGAGCAUAAAGUAAUGUAUCAGUCUUCUUAUGUUGAAUUGAGCAAAUGCAGAGCGUCCAUUGAACCGUAUAUGUAAUUUUUGGCCUUCACUAUUAUGAUAGACGACCACCUUGUAUUUAGCCUCAUUAGAAACUAGACCUAAACAUAGUAAAACAUGGUUGAAAAACCAUUCAUUUUUACUUGAAUUCAAAAUUGAAACUCCUUUUAAGUUUUAUGGGCCACAAAUGUAUAUAUCCUAGUGGUUUAUGUUAGUGUUGUCAUUAUUUCACAAACCACAUUCAAACCCACAUGUUAAAAAAACAAUCUCGUGUUUUAGGAUCUACUGUACUUUUUUGCGUUUUAAGUAAACUCAACUCAUUUUAAGUGUCCAAGAAUGUUCCAUCAAUCCACCCUAAAUAUUUCAAAAGCCUAUUAUAAGUAAUUAAAGCCAACUCAUUUAAGUGUCUAAGAAUGUUGUUCGUUUUUUUGCGUUUUGAAUUUCCAGCCAUAUAUUCAUUAAAAAAAAUAUCUAUCUAUUUUAUUAUAUAUGGGGAAAAUAUAUUUGAAUUGCCUAUUUGAUCAAUAAUUUUCAAAAGAAAAAUAAUGAAAAAACACUCAAAAGUAUCCAAACAUUUAGCAUUUUUCUGAAAUUAUCUGAAGUUUCGCAAAAUUAACAUUUACCAACUUAUCAAGAGUUUGAAUAGUAAUUCUAUCUGAAUUUUCCGAAUCCAUUUCAUUAUCCGAUUUCUUUUCUUUAAAAAUUAUAAUCAUUUUAAUAUUCAAAAUAUAAAUUUUUAUUACUUUCUAAUUAUUUCUCAUUUCGAUUUUCUAAUGAACAUUCCUAGACCCUACUAUAUUUUUCUUACAAAUUCUAUUACUUACAAUUUUUUUCAUAACUUUUUUUCUUGUUUUCUUUAAGUUUGAGGGGAAACAAGUUUAUUGUCUGAAAUAUCCAAUUGAGGAAGAGAAAAUUAAAACAUAUAUAUAUAUAUAUAUAUAUUUCAAACAAAUCCAUGAAAAACUAUAUAUAAGUAAAAAUGAUGUUGGAUCAUUUGAAUAACUAACAAGUUCAUGUAGUUUUAUGAUAUUUAUCAAUAAGUUCGUUGUGAAUAUCGAUCUAUAUUUGUAAGUUUGUAACUGUAGUGCUUUUUUGGUUUUGGCCAUAUGGUGUCUUAUCUAAGCCAUCAUAGAAUAAUGUAACUGUAGUACUUUAAGUUAAAAUUCGUAUAGAAAGAAUGGAAAUCUAAUAUAUAUUAGUUGGAAAGGACUCUCCAGAAAUUGGCACAUUAACAUUUAAUCCUAUAUAUUAAAUGAAAAUGUAAUUUAAUGAAAAAAUCGAAUUUGUUUUAAUUUGAUUGGUUUAAAAACGUCAAUGAUGAUGUUUAUUCCACGUCAAAUGUGACAUGGCAAGGUCGCUAGUUCUGCACAAUUUUAUUGAAUGAUGAUGCUGAUGUUUAAUUUCUAUCCAAAUUUUUUAUGAUCUAAAAUAAUUAAAAAACGAGAAAAUCACAAACGGAUAAACACGCGGAUCUUUAUACCCGACCCGGCCCAAUUCUCUGUUUUUAAGAACAUUCUUUGGCCCUAUACUUCCUAUAAGCCCAUUUUCAAAUUUUUAAAAUUUUCGUUUUUAAAACUAUUUCUCGCUUAUAUAGAAUAUUUCGAUAUUAAAUUCAAUUUAUUCAGUAAGAUUUCGUAUCUAAAUUACCUCUCAUCUAUGGCAAUUCAAUUUCAUUUGAAUAUUUGAAUUUAAAAACAUUUCCUGAACUAUAGCUAUUUCAUCUAACUACAAUACUAAUAUUCUCUAAUUUGAAUUUAAUAUUUUAGGGUUUAUUCACCUCAAUUGUUUUCCAUAUAUAUAGCAUCAUUCCAAAAGGCCGAAACAAUACUAUCAUCUUCUCAAAAUGUCUAUAAUACGCCUAUCUGGAGCACUUAUUGUUCCUUUUGCUAAAUUAGAUCCUACUACCAUUCAGCAAGUUAGGGCUAAGAUAUGUUACAUCUGGAAAGUGAUUAACAAACAUUCACGUUUUAGAGUCGAAAUGAUUUUAAUUGAUGAGGAGGUAUGUCAUUUAUUAACUCUUAGUUUUUUAUGCCAUCUUGAUUUUAUAUUUAAAAUACAAAGUGAUAAAAACUUCGACAUAACGGGGAUCAAGGAUUCACGCUGCCAGCGAUAAAGAAAUAUUCGAAAAACACAAGGGCCUUCUUAUUGAAAGCAAAACUAUUUCUAUUACUUGCUUUUUAUUAAGAGAGUACCACGAUGUUUUUAGGGCUACUUCUUUGCCACUGAAGAUUUAUUUCUGCCGGACAACCGUUGCGUAUAAGAUUUAUGAUUUUCCAGCAAUACUGCAUGAAAAAUAUUUGACUGAUUUCAAGCGUAUCAAGGACGGCAAGGUGGACAUAAAUCUUCUUUUCGGUAUGUUUUUUUAUUGGUUAAUUAUAUUAAACGUAACACGUUUAAUUUUAUUAUUAAUUUCUUGACGUUGUUAUUGAAGAUGUUAUUGGACAAAUUUUCACGGUGGGGAGUAUUGAAUUUGUUCAAAUUAAAGGCAAAAGAAUCGGUAAAUUGUGGAUUACACUAAGUGAUACCAAGUAACUGUUGAUAUUUUUCUUAUAUUUUAAAAACAUUUGUAAAUUGCGUCGCUGAUUUGUACUAAAUGCUCAAGCGAUGUUCAUUUUAAAUGUACUCUAUGGGGAGAAUAUGCAUUGAUGACCGUUGAGUACAUUAAACAACAUCUGGAAUCUGUCGUUGUCUGUCUGAUGCGCUUUGUCCGUAUUUAAGAGUUCAAAUGUGAGUUCUCAAUAUAUUAUAGUCCACAUAGUUGUAUGUAAAUGUUAACAAGUUAUGCGAAAUUUUGAAAUUUGAUUAUGUUUUUUUAGGUGUUAUUUUAAUAUCCAACUCUUUCAACUCCACUAAAAUUAUGUUUGAUACUGACAACAAGAUCAUCAAAGACUUCAAAGAUAAGUAUGUUUUCGGUAAUAUAUACACUUAUCAUAUCUUGAAACAGUAUUGUAUUAACCAUAUAUCCUUUUGAAUUAUAGAUUGCCUAAAGACAACCAAGUAGUUGUUCACGCUGAUCAGGGUUAUUCGGAUUUAACCAUUACCGAGUGGGAUCCUAGAUCAGAGGUAAUAUGUUCUCCGUAAUUGUAUAUAGUAAUAUACAUCAUGUUUUACAACAAUUUUAAAUUUGUGCUAAAAUUAAAAUUGUUUUUCAAUUAAUCUUUGAUGCUUUCAGGACAUUUGCAAUACUUCAUUUGGAUCGUCACACCAUGCAAACAAUCAGAUGAAUAGUAACGGCAUUAGUGAAGACGCCUCUGAGAAAUCCAUGAGUAACAAGCGUCCUAGGAAGUAAUUCCAUUAGAACAUUAAAAUCCUGGAAUAUCGAACAAUUUGUCUCUGUCUGUAGUUGUUGAGUAAUAUCUGAUUAUCUUCUUAAUGAUGUUCUUGAAUAUUAUGUAUUCCUGCUUCAAAUAAUUAUCCUUUAGAGGUUUUCUUCUACAUGAUGUUCAAAGUUGCAAUUCUUCAAGAUAAUCCAUUUUUAUUGCCAAUACGAACCUAAUAACGAAAUGUAGAUUUUGAAUCAACGAACAUUUACAACGAAUCACACAGCUGUUUAUAUUAAAUGUAAAUUUAUAAGGUUGGUAAUUAUUGGAGUAAAUAAUGUCAAAUGGAAAUUUAAUCUGGCUCAAUCAUAUUCAUCAAUAUAUUUGAAAAUGGAAAUAUGUGUACUUUAUAAAGAUACAUACGUCUGUAUCAGAUAUCACAUAUUAUUAGCAAUUAAGUAUCGAUUCUACCAAGAUAGCAAAAUGGGGAUAACAAUAAAUAUUUCGAUUUAAUGACUUUAGUAGUGUAAUAUACAUUUAUUCGUAAAUUCACAGAAUAUUAUAUUAUUGUUCAUAAAAGGAAGGUAGAUUCGUUAUGAAAAAUUAAAUAAAUUUAAACAACCGUAAUUUGAAUUCACAAUACGUAGUCUUAGGAAACCAAUUAAUUUAAACAAGAUCUUUUUAUUGAAAAAGAAUUACAUAGACACAGGUGAAGUUCAAAAAUGGCUUCUGAGGAUAACUCAUCUAACAAGGAGAACUCACCUCCACUCUUGAAACGUUAGUUCACAUUUAAUCAUAUGGCUGUUUAUAUGUCCGUUAUAUCUCAACUAUUCCAUGUCCAAUCAGGUGGGAGACGUAGGUGUUCAAGUAUUGGACAAUCUUCUAAUGAAACGCAAAGUGACAAUGGAAAAAGUCAAUGCAUCCAACAUGGAGAUGAUUCCCCACCUCUCCGAAUACGUAAGUACUAUUCCUGAUACUCAACCUUUCGUAAGCAUAUUAACAAAAUCUGUAAUGUUUAGUACUUAAUAAUCUGGAAAAUAAAUAUACUUAUAACGUAUCCUGUUCUGUAGGUGGUCAACCUAAGAUUUCUCAAACCUCACCACCCUUACAAAAGUGUAAUGUGUUAUCAAGCUGAGUAGUUUUCUACAUAUAUAAACAAUAUGUUUUCAUUUCUAUAAUUAUUUUGAACAUAUUAAAACCAUAAUUUACCGUAUAUAUUGUCCAGGCGGUAGACGAAGGCAAUUCCAAGACUCACCAUCUGCUGAUAACUCAUCUACGAUCACCCACACAAAUCAACAAAAUACCGAUACAUUAUUCAAUAUAACAAACCAAUCAGGUAGAUUUCGUAAUUAUUUUUUGUUAAUUUGUAUGUGUGAUCUCAUAUGAAUAUCAAUUUCAUAGCGUCUGUUCUCAAUUUCUGUUUUUUAAAUAACUUAGAUGAUUCCAGAAGUCCUUUGUCUGACGUCACAAAUUAUCAAGGUUUGUUAUCAACUCUAUGUACAUUACAAAUAGCUUUCAGCACACGUUAGUUUAUUAUAUACUUUUCUUAUCUUUUUCAUUAACAGUUAUGAGAAGACAAACAAGAUCUCAAACAACCACUGAAAAAAUAAAGGUUUACAAAUGUAUGGAUCUGAGCCUAAUGAUUCCAGAGUACGACCACAGAACUCCAGAUCGAAUGUUAUAAAAGAACAUCCUCAAGGUAUUACUAUGAUGUUGUCCACUUUUCAAUAUAUAGGAUUGUACAUUAUCCACUACAUAAAAUUGACCGCUAUUGUUUCUAUCUUAUAGCUUAUCAAAAUAGAUAUGAGGCUCACAACAAUGACGAAAAUGAUGACUAUGAUGAAAAUAUGACGAAGGUGAAAGUUCAGAAAUUGCAAUGGAAGUUGAUAACAGCGAUGCAGAUGUAAAUAUACAACAGACAACCGUUCCUAAUGUGUUUGGAUCAAUUUCAAUUUGGAGUUCAACCAAAUAGUAAGUACAAAUAAUAGACGCUUAUAACUUUUUUUCAUAUAUAACACUAUAAUUUGAAUUAUUUCUUGGCAGAAUAUUAUGAUGAUGGAGAUCCAAAUUUUGAAUGUGGACACUGUGGAGCUUAUUUUUGGAAUGGAGAGCGGAUAGGAAAAUCCAGGAGACAAUUGAUACCCAUAUUCACGCUUUGCUGUAAGCAGAGAAAAAUUGUCCUCCCUAAACUUAGAAAUCUUCCGAUGGAGUUAAUAGAAUUGUUAUGCAAAGGGGAUGCGUUGAGUAAACAUUUUCGUGAGUUCAUCAGAGCAUACAAUAUGAUUUCUCUUUCACGCCAUUAGGUGGAAGAAUAGAUUACGCCAUUAACAAUGGUCGUGGUCCAUAUGUCUUCAAAAUGAAUGGGGAGAAUUAUCAUCAAAUUGGUGAUAUGGUGCGAGACGUUGGAGAGAUGCCUAAAAUUUCCCAACUUUACAUCCAUGACACUCUUAAUGAGCUAUACAAUAGAAUAGCUGUUUAGGGGUACGUAUUAAAUUCAUUUCCCAAUACUUUAUGUUUAUCUAAUUAAAGACAUAAUACAUGCAUACUUUUUUGAAUAAUAUAUAUUUGUAAUAUUCUUAGGACUAUGGGUGCGGAGACAGAUAAUUCAAGUAUACUGUCUUGGAAAUAUUGAAGAAGAUGCUUGACAAAAUCAAUCCAUACGUCAAGGUAUUUAGACAAGCUAGAGAUAGAUAUGAGACUGAUGGAGGGGUGACGUUCAAAUUGAGGUUGAUAGAAGGAAGAUCGCUGAUGGAAGAAUUCAUAAUAUUCCUACUUCGGAGGAAGUUGCAGCUUUGAUACCAGGUGACUUUGUUUUGAAUAUGGAAACUAGAGACAUCAUUAUUGAGUCCAGUACAGACGGAGGAUUCCAAAGGAUUAGUGAAUUACAUCCUGCAUAUCUUCCUCUCCAAUAUCCUUUAUGGUUCCAAUAUGGCGAGGACGGUUUCCACCUGAAGAUUCCAAUUGCGUAUGACGAAAUUGAGGCUAGGAAACGUAAAUCAGUAACAAUGCGAGAGUUUUUUGCAUUCCGUAUUUGUGAGAGACGUGGUGAGGCUCCUACAAUCAAUCGAUCAGGUAGACUUUUUCAACAGUUUCUUAUGGAUGUGUAUACCAUGAUAGAGUCCAGUAGACUACAUUAUCUGUGGUUCAACCAGAAAAAGAUUCGUUGUAAUAACUAUACAACUAUAAAGAACGCAUCUGAAGCGGGUGCCAAAAAUCUUAGUUCAGAAGGUCCAAGAAUUUAUAUGCCGGCGAGUUUUACCAAUGGACCACGGUAUAUGAAUCAGCACUAUCUGGACGCUAUGGCCAUACGCAAAUAUUUUGGUUUUCCGGAUUUGUUCAUUACAUUUACGUGUAAUCCAAAAUAGCCCGACAUUACACGGUAUCUCCAGAAAUAUAAUCUGAUAACAGAGGAUAGGCCAGACAUUAUGUGCUGUGUUUUUAAGAUGAAGCUGGAUAAUCUGAUAACUGAUCUAACGAAGAAAAAGACGCUAUUUUUGGUCCAACAGCUGCCGGUAUGUUUUAUUGUUAUAGUAAUUCAUUGGUGAAAUUAUGUCAUUUAAUUUAUUCAUCAUAGUCAUACCAUGUUUUAACUUUACGAUAAUGUCUUUCAGUUUUGUACACGAUAGAGUUCCAGGAGAGGGGUUUGCCACACGUCCAUUUUUUGUUAUUCCUGAAAGAUAAGAAUAAAUAACGAACUACCGAUGAUAUUGAUAAGUACAUCAGCGCUGAGAUUCCCGACAAGACAACAGAUCCAGACCUUUAUAAUAUUGUUGGUGAAAAUAUGAUGCAUGGACCAUGUGGAGCUGUUAAACCUGACAAUGUUUGCAUGGUGAACGGGAAGUGCUCAAAGAGUUUUCCAAGACCUUUCAAUGAUGAAACUUCGAUGGAUUCAAACGGCUUUCCAUCAUACCGGCGGCGCAGGGAUAAUAGGUUUUUCUCCAAAAAUGGUAUAAAUCUUGACAAUGGAUAUGUUGUUCCAUACAAUAGGGAUCUUAUGCUACGUUAUCGUGCACAUAUAAAUAUUGAGUGGUGCACUCAAACGCGUGCUGUGAAAUAUCUUUUCAAAUAUAUUCAUAAGGGUCCUGACUAUGUCUCUGCUGCUUUAGAAAAAGAUGAGGAAGGAGUUGUGGAUGAAAUUAAGAAUUAUUAUAACUGCAGGUAUAUUUGCAAUAAUCCUAUAUAUUAUAUGGCCUAUAUGAUUAUAAUAUUUUUGAGACGUUUAAAACACUUUUUUUCCUAAAAUGUAGAUAUGUCUCUGUUUGCGAAGCAACAUGGAGAAUUUUAGGUUUUCCAACUCAUUAUAGGAGUGUUUCGGUGGAAAAACUUUGCUUCUAUCUCUCGAACCGUGAAGUUUAUGUCCAUGAUGAAGACGAAUCUCUUGAGUCUAUUUUGAAUCGGGUUGGUGUUAGUGUUUCAAUGUUUCUAGGUUGGUUUGAAGCAUGUAAAAAAUAUCCAGAUGCGUGUAAGCUAACUUAUGCAAAACUACCAAUAGAAUUUGUUUGGCAUCUAAAGGAUAGAGAGUGGAAGCCUCGAAAACGAAGCUUUGCUAUUGGAAGGAUUGCUCAUAUCCAUCCAAACGGUGACGAGACGUACUAUCUGAGGAUGUUAAUUAAUAUAGUCAGAGGUCCAAAAUGUUAUGAUGAUAUUAAAACAGCUGAUGGCGUUUUCUUUAAUACUUUCAAAGAAGCAUAUGAUGCGUUAAGAUUGUUGGAGGAUGACAAAAAAUAUAUCGAAGGCAUCAAAGAAGCUAGCAUCUGGGCUUCAGGAUGGUAUUUCAGGCUUUUUUCAGUAUAAUGUUGCUAUGUGAUUGUUUAACACAACCUGGUGUAGUCUGGGAAGCAACUUGGGAGUAUUUGACUGAUGAUAUACUUUACAGACGUCGUCUUGAAAGCGGAUAUGAAGGUAUAGAACAGUUGUAAUUAUUUAAUCAUGAAGCUUGCUCUACAAGAUACAAUUUCCAACUUGGUCAUCAUUCUUAAAUAUAUCUUUGUGUGUUGUUAUUGUUUCAGGUUUGAAUCUAUCGACCGAGCAUAUUAAAAAUAUAGCAUUGCAAGAGAUUCAAGAUUUCUUAGAAAGCAGAAGACGUUCACUAAAGAAAUGGGACUGUAUGCCAAAACCGGAUAAUUUCAUGGAGUACAACGGCAACCGAUUGAUUGAUGAUGAACUCAAAUAUAAUGCUGAGGAUCAAAGAAAAGAGAAUGAGAGAUUUUUGGCUAUGAUAACUGAUGAGCAGAAAUGUGUUUAUGAAGAGAUUUUGGAUGCUGUUUUGAACAACAAAGGUGGUGUUUUCUUUGUAUAUGGUUUUGGAGGUACUGGUAAAACAUUUCUUUGGAGUUGCCUUUCAACCGCUAUUCGAUCUAGAGGUAAGAUAGUUAUCAACAGUGCAUCGAGUGAGAUUGCUGCUCUGAUGUUAGAAAGUGGUAGAACAGCACAUGCGAAGUUCGGAAUCCCAAUAAAUCUAGAUGAUUUUACACAAUGCAAUAUGCCUUCUGGAUCAGAUCUUGCCAAUUUGAUGAAAAUGGCUGACUUUAUUGUAUGGGAUGAGGCUCCGAUGAUGAGCAAGUAUUGUUUCAAAAACUUAGAUAGAAGUCUAAAUGAUAUCAUCAGAUUACCUGUGAGAAAACCAUUUGGUGGGAAGGUGGUUGUUUUUGGAGGUGACUUCCGUCAGAUACUUCCGGUAAUUCCUCAUGAUGGCUCAUACAAUAAUUGGAAAGUUUGAUAAUUAAGAGGUUAUAAUGGAUAGUAGAAUCUGGAAGUUAUAUAUCCGACAUUAUCGAGGACCACAUCUAUUGCUGGAAACGGAGAUAAUUCAGUUUAUGUAAUUAUUUACUUCAUCAAUUAUACUGUUCUUGUCAGGGAAUUUAUGUCAGUUAUUAAUGAUUAUUUUUUUUGAGUACUAUAAAUAAUAUCAAACCACUAAUUUUUUGCUGUCACGAUGGGUAUGAAUAUGAUGGUUGACUUAUUUUCUGACCCAUAUGUUAAAGCUACAAAUACAUUAAUUUAAUUAUUAUGUCAAUUUCUUAUUGAUUUGUAUUGUUUAUGAUUCUAUUUUCUUUGUCGUGUUACAUUUGCCUUAUUUAUUAUGUAUACUUGAACUCUAUAACUGAAGAACAAAUGACAAUAAGUAUAUAUGUAUUGAUCCUCCCUUUAUUUUGUUUCCCAUUUAAAAUGUUGAAGGGUUGGAAUCGUAUAAACAAGACUAAUAACAGUAUAUUUCGCAGUGAGAAGUAUAUAAUUUCCAUCUCUUUUGGUAAUAUUAAAUAUAAUAAAAUGAAUUUGUUUAAAUAUAUUUUAGAAACUCAUAACUCUGAUUGCCUUUCUCAAAUAGUGGGGGUUCUUGAGUUGACAUAUAUCUCUUCCAUUAAAUACUGCACCGUAAAACUUUAUUUUCAUUUAUACAACUUACCUCUUUGCUUUUCCAAUCAGCAUUUAUUUCUCAUGUACCCAACUAACGCAACAGUUAUUUACCUUUUACUAAUUACCAAAAUCGCAAUCUUUCAAAUUAACAACUCUAAGUUUAUUCCAUUCUUUCUAUUCAACAACAGAGAUCUCCUCCUUUUGUCGAUCACAAAACUACAAACCAACAACUGCUAAACAAAUCCCUAUUCCAAAAAAAAAUUGAUGGCAACCUUUCUUAAACUUGAUAAACUUUCCCUCAAUGCUCCUCUCCCAACGAUCAUCGUUACAGUUAUUCGACAAUGGCAGGAAUUCAACGUUGUCAAAGGGCGCUUUGAAACACACUUGAUUCUUGGCGAUGAGAAUGUAAGUGUAGUUUACCAUAACUUUUGUUAAUACAAAUUAUUUUAGUCAGUCUAAGUUUAUAAUUUAGAAAUUAUGAUAUCGUUGGUAUCUAUUGUUAGGGUUAUAAGGUUGAGGCGGCCAUCGAUUUGGAUCUCAUGCCCGUCCUCAAUCAAAUUUUUAAGGAAGGAGAGUGGAAUGCGGUUUCCUUAUUUCAAAUCGUCCAUGCGUCUGGCUCAUUCAGGAAUACUAUCAACAACCAUUUCAUCAUCAUGCAUGAACACACCGUUGUAACCAAAAUCUUGGCCUGUAACCCUAAGCAUAUGAUGGAUUUCAUCCCCUUCGAAAAUAUCAUCAACCAGAAGAUAUGCUCUCAGUACUCUAUCGGUUUGUAUUCUGAACCAUCAUGAUUUGUUAGAGGAUAAUGUUAUCCCGUAUAGUUUAUUUAAUAGAACGUAUUAUCGCAGACUUGAUAUGUGUUAUUAUCUUUGUUGGUGACUUGAAGAGUUUAGAAAAUGAUCCUGAUGCUUUGGUACAUGGACCAUGGAGCAAUUUGGAAAUUGAAAUAAGGGACAUGAAGUAAGUAGUUAAGUUAUUAGCAAUAUGACAUAAGGAAUAUCAGUCACUGAUGAUAUGUAUAUUUUAUUUUCAAACAGUUUCAGGGAACUUACAGUUGAGCUGACUGGAAAAACAACAAUGGAGUUUUGGAGAAAGUAGGAAGAAAUUGGAACAUAUGAAACGGUGUUGACUCUUAGAAUGUUUCGCGUUUUCUAUGAUUCUCAAAGUUAGUCAUAUUUACUUUACUGAAUUAACGUCAAUGGUACCUAAUGUUUUAAUGAUCCUCAUAUGAAAAAAUGAUUAAUAUAUAGGAUUAUAUUUUAUUAUAGACGGCUUCUUCAUCAGAAAUGCUGGUGACCAAUCUGAAGUACUUUUUAAUCCACAUAUUAAAGAAGUUCUGAUUUUCUAGAUUGGUAUAACACUAUUCUAAGUAAACCUCUAUUCAGUUUACAUUGUAUUUGUGGUUUAUGUAAUUGUAUUCCUUCAAUUUUUUCAGGUUACCAUUUACUGAUAUCCAUGAAGAUCAAAGCUGGCCGUGAAAUCCUACAUCAACUCCGAUUUUUUUUCAUCUUAAACUCUAUUAUAUCUGUUUCAAUUCCCAUAUAUUUGAGGAUAAUGUUGAACCUUUUUCUUUUUUUGUUGAAUUUUUAGAGAUUUGGUCUGUUUAUGAUUUUUAUCUUAUUUUUAUGAACAUUGCUUAUAAUUAUGCUUUUUGAACUUCUCAUAAUAUUUAUUAACAUACACUGACUAUUUGCUAUUAAUUGUGUUAUAUCAAUUUCUAAAGUUUGAGUAAACAUGUACUUUUAAUUUAGGUUCUUAAUUUUUGGUUUAGAAAGAUAAUAAUAGUAUAAAUUAUAAUGACUGUUAAAUGGAAGAUUACAAUAUAUUCCAUUUAACAAAUCUAUUGUUACCAUAAACAGAAAUGCAAUUAUAGAAGUUGAUAUAUUGUAUAUAUUAUGUCCAUUGUAAUUUACCAAACCCGAUAUUUGAUGAUAUAAUGACCCAAUAUACGUUUUAUUUAGAAUUCAUGGCUGGAAAUAUUUGGAACCCUAAAUUAUUGUCCUCUUGAUAAGUUUCCAAUAUAUAUACAAACACUAACAACUUAUUUAGUCUUCACAUCUUAUCGGAAAAUGGAACCACUUGAUUACAUUGAAGACUUGAACAACAUGUCAACUGAAUGGUGUAUCCGUGUGAAACUCGUGAGAAAGUGGUUUGAAUAUAUACCACAUCAGGGCGUAACAUUAGAAUUGGUUUUUGCUGAUGCGAAGGUAAAAUUUUAUCCUUUAUGGUAUCACUAAUAAAUUACAUUAAUUCACAUAUAUUAUUUUCUCUACCAAAAUAUUCAAAUUCUUUUAUUUGAAAAGGACCAUACAAUACGCGCUCGGGUUAGACGACAAUUUCAUGAUUUAUUCGAACCUCUGGUAACGGAAGGUUCAUGGUUUGAUAUUGAAGAUUUUGUUGUCAAGAGGUUAUGCAGAAAUGAAAGCAGAGAUUCGAACUGUUUUUUUAAUCCAAAUUAUAAUAUCCACCUCCGUCAAAAAAAUUCCAUCUGUUCAAGGUUUGUUGUUUGUAUUAUUUUAUAUCGAUUAUAGAGAUAUACAUAUUUGGUAUUAAAUUUUAUUCUACAUUUUUUUUGCAGUUAUCAGAACAGCAAUUAAUGGAUUACGAUGCUCCUACGAAUAAUUCAUGUUAGUAUACAUAAUAAUUUCGUGUUUUAAAUUUAAUUGCAUGUUUGAUUUUUCCUUUCUGAAUCAAUAAUAAAUUUCUUACUAAUGUCAUUUCUCGAUUCUCAGUUUAUUGACUUAAUGAUACAAGAACUAUGACAUGUUCUUUAUACCGAAUUAUCACAAUUUUUUAAACAAGAUACAUCGUCACAAUUAUGGGUUCUUUCUGUAGUAUAUGUGAUCUUCAUAAUUUUUUCACUUUUCAUAAAACAGAAAUAGGAUAUAUACAACACUGAGCAUAAAAUAUAGGUACAUCAUACCACACAUUAUAAUUCGACCUAAUACAAUUAACACUAUAUCCAAUAACAUUAAUAAUUUAUAAAACUGACCCGCACACUUCUAGCAAUUAACACUAUCUGCGAUUUUUUGUUAUUUUAGAUAAUUGCUGCGAUGAGAAAUAAUAAAUCUAACAAUCCUACAAAAUUGGAAAAUCGUUAUAGUUCAAAUUAAAAAAACCCAGUUAAAAUGUUUGUAUUUCUUACACAAUAUUCGUUCUCAUUCGAGGUAAAUAACACUUUUAAACAUAAUUAGAGUUUUUCCUAAAAAUUCCACUGAAUAAUAAAAAAANNNNNNNNNNNNNNNNNNNNNNNNNNNNNNNNNNNNNNNNNNNNNNNNNNNNNNNNNNNNNNNNNNNNNNNNNNNNNNNNNNNNNNNNNNNNNNNNNNNNGAAAUAUUAUGUAGGAAAAAAGAGUAUAUUUUUUUUCAUGUAAACAUAUUUUUUGUACGUCUGUCUGAGGAUCACAUCAGAAGAAUAAUUGUAGUAUGGGGUGUGUUUGAGUGAGUAAUUUUUUGCUUGGUUAGUUGAUCAAAAUUCUCUUAUAGGGUGUAUAUAUAGAAUUCUUAGAUAGUGACUCCUCAUUUUUCUUCGCUCUGUUUCAUAUUCCCCAAAAGUCGUUUAUAAAUACAGCAUAUUAAAUAACAUUUGAUUGAUUUAUCACCAAUUCCAAAUGAAUCUACAUUUCGAAAUAAAUGAAUACAUCUUUGCAUAUAAUCUAUAAAAUAUGUUCAUAUAUGUCACAUUUCGAUGAAUAACUUACGAUUUACGAACAUAAAAUUAAUGUAUGUAUUCAUAAUUACAUGUAUUCUUCAUCUACACUUUCUUCAUUAUACAUACCUAAUUAUAAUUAUUUAAUCAGUUAUACAUCACUUAUUGUUUAUAUUUACAUCAAAAAAAGUAUAACCAAUUGUAAGACACAAUCCAAUUCUUGUACUAAUAACAUACCAUAGUAACACUGUAUCCACACGCACUGUCAAUUAUCAAUUUUAUAAAAUUCGACCCAAUAAACUUAACAAUAUAUCCAAUACAAUUAAAAUUUUUAAAAACAUUCAAGCCCGCACAUGCGUGCGGGCCAGUAUCGUAGUAGCAAAUUAAAACCUGAUAUGUUUCUUGAAUCUCAAUUAAUGAUUAUAUAGAAAUUUAUUUAAUCAUUAACAUAAAAUAAAUAAGAUUUUAUUUUAAUUAAAAAAUAUCAUAAACAUAUAAAUAACUAACAAAUUUUAUAUACUUUCUGAUUUUAAGUUCAUCUUUUUUUUUCCGUGUUAUUUAAUUUCCAUUUCAAACUAACAAAGAUAAUCUAAUCUCAAUGCAAAUAAAAAAAAAUAUGAGACCAAAAAUAAAAACUAUAAGUUAAGCAAGUUUCAAACACCAUAUAUAAUAGUUGGAGGAGAUUCUCCAGAGAUUGGUACAUCAGCAUUUAAUAAUAAAUUAAAAAUUAACAUGUUUUCGGAGUCUAAAUUAGUAAUUAUAUCAAAAUUUAUUUAAUCAUAAACAUAACAUAAAUGAGAUUUUAUUUUAAUUGAAGCUAGCAUAAACAUAGAAAUAUCUAACAAAUUUAAUAUACUUUCUGAUUUUUAAGUUCAUCUUCUUUUUUUUUCCAUGUGAUUUAAUCUUCAUUUCAAACUAACAAAGAUAAUUUAAUCUCAAUGUAAAUAAAAGAAAAUAUGUGACCAAAAAUAAUUACAAUAAGUUAAUCAAGUUUCAAACUAAAGACAAAAAUUACAAACAAGAAAACAACAACACCAAAGAUAGCAUUUAAUAAAGAAUUAAAAAGAUAACAUCUAAUCUAAAAUAUAAUAGUUGGAGGAAACUCUUUGAAGAUUGGCACAUCAACAUUUAAUUGCGAACUAAAAAUUGACAUGUGUCCUGAGUUUCUAUUAGUAAUUAUAUCAAAAUUUUAUUUAAUCAUAAAUAUAACAUAAAUGAGAUUUUAUUUUAAUUAAAAAUAUCAUAAACAUAUAAAUAUCAAACAAAUUUAAUAUAUUUUUUGAUUUUUAGUGUGAUUUAAUCUCCAUUCGAAUUAACAAAAAUAAUUUAAUUUCAAUGCAAAUGAAAAAAAAAUAUAAGACUAAAAUUAAAAAUGAUAAGUUAAGCAAGUUUCAAACACCUAAAGCCAAAAAUUAAUAAGAAGAAAACAACAACACCAAAAAUAACAUUUAACUAGUGAAUUUUCCCGCGCUUUGCGCGGACUAAUAUAAUUUUCAAUUUAAUUGUUCAAAAAACUAAUAUUAGUUUUGAUUCAUUUGUUUUGUUUGUUAGAUUUUCUUACAUUUUAAUGUUUUAUUAAAUUUUCCGUUUUAUUAAAUUUGAAAAACGGUUGUUGACAGCUACAAAAGUAGAAUGAUACGUACAUGAUUUAUAUAAAGCUAUAUAGUAUAUGUUAAUAUUUGUUUAGAAAAAUAUUAGUAUAUGUUUACCUGAUGACUCCAUAAGUUUUUAGUAAGAAUGAAGAAGAAAGAAGAUCUUAGACAAUUUUAAAAGUUGUUGGAGAAUUAGAGAAAAGUAGUUAAUAUUUAUACUAAAUUAUAAGAAAUCGAAAACCCUAUAAACAUUAGCAAUAUUCCAUUACUUAGAGAUGAUGUUUUUUUUUAACGACAUUGCAUUAGUUAGAUAUAUAUAUAUAUAAAUAUAUAAAUUUAACUUUUGUUAGAUUUUUUUGUUAAAUUUUGUUUUUAUUUGAAAUAACAUUCCAUUACUUUUUAAAUAGAUUCCAUUUUUUUGUUUCUUUAACAUUUUUUUAAGUUUUUUUUCUAAAUUUUGAAAACAUAAAAAAUUGUAAUUACUAAGAAAUAUAGAUUCCAUUUUUUGUGUUUGUUUUUAAACGUUUUUGUUAAUUUUUUUUCUAAAUUUUGGUUUUAUAAAAUUUUGCAUUUUUGGGUUCAAAUAAACUGGUUUGAUUGACUACAGAAUUAAAUAUUAAAUCAUAAUAAUUUUUAUUUGAUUGUUUCAAAAUCUAAUAGUAGUUUGGAUUCAUUUGUAUUUUAUUCUUGAGUAUAUUUGUUUAUUAAAUUUUCUUGCAUUUUAAUAUUGGAAGACAUGAUUGUGAAAACAAUGUAGAAUGUAAGAGACUAAAUAAAAACAUAGUAGUAUCUAAAUAAUUUAGUUAAAAUAGUUUUGAAAUCUUUUGAUCACUAUUCUAUGUAUUUUAGGCAUAAUUUUUUGAAGUGACGUAUGAACCUAUUCGAUUUUGAUCACUGUUUUAUGCGUUUUAAACAUCACAAAUACCGUCAUUCCAUUAGUUAUAUAUACUGUAUAUAUAUUAUUCUUUUUUUUUAGCUUUUUUGUUAGAGUUUUUUUUUUUUAAAAUUUCGGUUUUUUUUUUGAAACAAUAUUUCAUUACUUUUUAAAUAGAUUCUAUUUUUAUUUAUUUUUUUUACAUUUUUGUUAAAUUUUUUCUGUUCACACAGUUUACAGUCAUGGAAUGACCUGAUAACACUUCAAGCGGCUUCCCCUUCUUCAGAUUCCAUAUGUAAACCUGUGAAACAACAACAGAUCAUAUCUCAGUGAAAAAAUCAACCAAAAAAAGGAAACCAUGUCAGCUUCGUAGAUAUGUGCUUGCUUACUACCUGUGAAUCCUCGCUUCCACUGGCGAUGAACGAACUAUCCAACCCACCAAAACAUGACCUUAUCACGUAUUUGCUCUGCUUGUGACCCGAAAACUUCAACGGUUGUUUCCACUCUCCAGCAAGAUCCCAAAGAUGUAUCUCUUGGCUGCUCAAGUUGACUAUAAAGAACUUACCAUCACCAGAAACCGAGAGUGAAGUAAUCGGCUGCUCCUCAGAGAUGACACGCUCGACUACUGUCUCCAGAUUUUGGAAACAGAAAAAUUGGUAAAUUAUAAGAGAUAUAGAAGAUUCUUUUUUUUUCUUUUGAAAAAUUUUUUUUUGUUUUUUUUUUUCUUUCUAAAUUUCAGUUUUAUACAAUUUUAGAAUUGGUUUAAUUAGACAGCAAAAUUAAGCAUUAAACCAUUAUAAUUUAGACCGAUUUGUUUUAAGUUAUUUUUACACAUCAUCAGUUUAAAACUAAUUAAAAAUAACACGUAAUUGCAAAUGGGGUUAAACAGUCUUUUUGUGACUGAAACUCAUUCUGGAGCUAACACGUAAGCGAAAGGUUGUGAAACUCGCUGUGAGCUAAUAUAUGUCCCUUACAUUCUGGAGUAUUGCGCAGGCUGAUAUAAUUUUCAUUUGAUUGUUUGAAAAUCUAAUAGUAGUUUGGAUUCAUUUGUUUUUUAUUCUUGAGUAUAUUUGUUUGUUAGGUUUCCUUGCAUUUUAAUGUUGGAAGACAUGAUCGUGAAAACAAUAUAGAAUAGAAUAGAGUAAAUAAAAAUAUAGUAGUAUCCAAAUAAUUUAGUUUAAAUAGUUUUGAGAUAUUUUGAUCACUGUUCUAUGUAUUUUAGACCUAAGUUUUUGAAGUAUCAUAUGAACUUAUUCGAUUUUGAUCACUGUUUUAUUUUUUUCUUUUUUUUUAAAAUGUUUUUGUUUAUUUUUUUCUAAAUUUUGGUUUUAUAAAAUUUUAGAAACGGUUUAAUUUGACAGCAAAAUUAAGCAUUAAACUAUUAUAGUUUAGACUGGUUUGUUUUAAGUUAUUUUUUAUACAUCAUCAGUUAAGAACCAAUUAAAAAAAUGACAUAUAAUUGCAAAAUGGGGCUAAACAGUCUUUUUACAAUCGAAACUCAUUAUAGUGCUGACAAGCGAAAGACUGUGAAUGUGACAUAUAAGCAAAUCAUUACAUAAAUAAGUACAUAGAUAAAGAAUGGAAAAGAUAACAUGUUAUAAAAAUAAAGAGAAUAAUAAUAAAAACGAAAAAAAAUAUGACAAAAAAUAAAUGGGCAUAGAUAAGAAAGAUGAAAUCAAUAAUAUUGUUAUAUAUAUGUGAAAAUAAAACCUAAAAAUUAGUUAUUUAAGAAAAUUAAAAAUUAUUGCUAGUUGAUGGAUGAAAGAACUCGAAAAAAAAUACUAGAAAAUUGAUCGUCUAUAAUUCUGUAAGUUUUCUUCUAGAUAUAUAAAUAUCAAUAAUUUAAGAUUUAAAAUUCAUCUUCUUAUUUUAUUUUUUUUGUGCAAUUUAAUUUUUAUUUUUGAACUAACAAAUAUAAUUUAAUUUCAAUGCAAUAUGAGAUCAAAAUAAAAAAACAUUAUUUCAAACAAGUUUCUAACACUUAAAAACUAAAAAUAAGAACAAAAAACCAUAAUACCAAAAAGAAUAUUCAAUAAAAAAUUGAAAAGAGAAAAGGUUAUAAAAUAGAGAGAAAAAAUAAUAAAGUAAUUAAAAAAAAAGAAUAUAGCAACAACUAAAUGUACAAAAUAUUAAAGCUAUAGGUAAAGAAGAUGGAACCUAUAUAUAUAUAUAUAUAAACAAAAUUUAAAAAUAGCAAUUUGAGAAAGUUCAAAAUUAUUAUUAGAUCAUGAUUUGAAUGAAAAAUAUGAAAAAUGGAUAUAAGAGAUUAUUAACAGAUAAUACAAUAAAAUAAUAGUUUAUAAUUUUAUGGCAUAGCACGAUUUAUUUUCUAGUUGGAAUAAAAUUUCAAAGGGGAGGAAAACACUAGAAAUUAAUUUUCAUUAAAAAAAAAAUGUUGGGGACUGAGCACCGAGAGCGACCAUGCAUGCAGCCGUACACUCGUCACGGCAUGUUCGUCGCGUCCGACACAUCUCUCAUCUGUGUCUCAGCUGUUUCCUGUCGCCACGUCUUCUCUUUCCAUUGUCUAUCUAUAAUUACCACUUUUAACUUUUAUCAUUCGCAUAUAUCCAUAAUUGAUCAAAGUCUGUCGAAACUUAACAUUUCUUAACCGGUGCUUCUAGCUCUAGUGGUAAAGAACCCUCAGCUGAGGUAUCCGCCAUCACGAGUUCGAGCUCCAACCACUGCGGAAUUUACAUAUGGACUGCAGCGUCCCAAGAGCCGAUACGUGGAAUGCCAUAUGGCCACCCACGUGGCUAGUCUGGACCCACCUCGAUCCGGUUUCGGUUCGGAUCCUCCCAAUUCUGAAUCAAUUCAGUUCCAAAAUUGUAGAACCGAUAAAUACCAAAAAAAAUUGGGUGCUUCAAUGAUUCGGUUAUUUUUGUAUCCGAAACCGAAAAUUUCUAUCCGAAAUGAAUAAAAAAUACCCGAAAUGACAAAAAAUAUCCGAAAUCCGUUAUUUAACCCAAAAAUUUCAUGCCAAAUUUUUAAUCCAAACAACAAAACCAUAAUGUUUCAAGUUUUACCAGUUACCACAGCUAAAACUGUUUCCAACAAAUAACAACAUUCCAAAGUCCAAACAAAAGUCACAAAGACACAAACCAUGAAAGGAAAAAUCAUCCAAAAUACAAAGAACACAAAGUACCAAAUUUCAAACUCAAACCACAAAGAACACAAAGUACCAAUCUCCAAACUUGAAAGAAGCUAUCAGAUCACCAUCAGCUCACACUCUUUAUCAUGUUUUUCAUCCUUGAAAGUUGAAUUCAGGUUCAUACUUUAAAGAAAGACAAUGAAAAUAAAGUUAUAACUUAGAAAUCAUAAUCUUAAAGACAAUGUGAAAUGAAAAAAAAAAGAGUUACUUACUUCUCAUAAGCUCAUUUUCUAACUCCACAUCUGAAAACAUAUGUUGAACAGUUACCUCUCCUUUUUCAUUGAUAUGGAUCUCACAUUUUAACCAUUGCUCAGUACACAUCAGAACUUCAACCAUGUAGUGUGUCAAACAACUUCUAUAAGGUUUUAACACCCUACCACUAGUGCUAAAAGCCGAUUCUGAAGCCACAGAUGAUACUUGCAUUGCGAGUAUGUCUUUUGCAACCAGUGACAAGAUUGGGAACUUACCACUAUUCCGUUUCCACCAUGAUAGGAUAUCAUAUUCAAAUCCCUUCAUCAGCUUUGGUUUGUCAACACUCUCUUUCAAAUACAGGUCCAACUCAUUUGUUGAAUCUUCAACACCUGAUUCUUCUACAAGUUCCUGAUAUAUAUCAUCCAUUCGCCUGUAGCCAACGCCUGUUUUGAGACUUCUUGUAUCCACAGCUUCACCUCUACACUGAUCUUGUGACUGAGAAGAUGAUCCAUGAGCCUGAGAAGAUCCUUUUUGCGAUCCACCAUUACCACUGUCAUUGGUUUUAUCCGAAAAUAUAGUGUACUCAUCAACCAAACGCUUCAAGAUACUCUCAACCUCAUCAUAAAGGUGAAUAGAUUCAACGCUGUCUUUCCCAUACAGCGAUUCACAGAGCUGAAGAAACUUCAUCUUCUUCCUCGGGUCAAAAACAGUUGUCACCAUUGAAAGCUUGUUCAUCUCCACAAUAUUUUCCCCAUCUUUUACAGCAAACGGAUCCCAAUACUUAUCUAGUUUCUUAUUCAUAGAAAUGGCUUUACUAAUCAACUCAUCAUCAGUAGCUGGAUUUGUCCUUAUCUCGUUGAUGUUAGUUGUAAUAGUAACUAUCUCAUUAUAUAGUUUAUGUGCAGCCACUGAAUUUGAUGCAGAAAGAAUCAAUGUUGAAUUGUAAAAGAUCACAAGAAAAUGGACGAACCUUUCUAUUUGAUCCCAGUCACUCGCACAUGGUGGUCCGACCCUCUUCUUCCCUUCCACAGUUUCUGAAAAGUAGUCACUAUACGGUUUGUCUUCAUCUUUAAUCUUCUCAAAAGUCGACCUGAAUUUCAGAGCUUGAUCUAGCAUGAGAUAAGUAGAGUUCCACCUUGUCUUCAUAUCUAAAGGCAAGCUUCCUCUAGUCAUCUUCCCGGUUUCAACUCGAAACUCAAACGCCUUCACUCUGUUUGUAGAGGUCCUCACAUAGUGUAUAGCAUUCUGAAUGGAAACGACACUGUUAUCUAGCUCUUGCAAGCCAUCCUUCACGAUCAAGUUCAAUAUGUGUGUAGCAUACCUUAAGUGAAGGUAUUCUCCAUUGAGAACUAUUGCAUCAUCUCCAACUUUCUUAAACUCUGCUUUGAAUCGCCUCAUAGCUGAACUGUUUGCGAUAGCAUUAUCUACGGUAAUGCAGAAGAUCCUUUUGAUGUCCCACUCUUCCAAACACUGAACUAACACCUUAGCAAUCGUUGCACCUACAUCACAAUUAAAUAACUUACUAAAUCAAAAGCUAACUAAUCACUUAAGCAAUCACAUUUUGCAUCAUGAACAAGGGAAGACAAUAAAAAAAGUCAAAACAAAUAAAAGUUUGAAUCGCACCUUUGUGAUCAUCGAUAUUCUUGAAACUUAAUAUCAUCUUUCUUAGCCGCCAAGAAGUAUCGAUAAAGUGAGCUGUUAUGACCAUAUAACUGGCUGAAGUAUUAGGAGCUGUCCAUAUGUCUGUUGUCAAAGACAACCGCUGCUUGUUCUGUCCAAGUAUCCUCUUCAUAACUGCUUUUCUUGAAACAUAUAUCUCCACAAUGUCUCGUGUGGCUGUUCUUCGAGAGUGAGGAGUGUACAGCUUCGUCUUUGUGGUGAAAUGCUUCCAAGCUAAGCUCUCGACAAAAGAUAAAGGUAGCUCAGCUAAUACCAACAUCUCAUUCGUAGCUUCUCUGAAGAUAAGUUCAGAAACCUUUCCUAAACCCAUAACUCCAUCAUCACCAGUGGGAGUUAUCACCGUUUGGUUGCUAUCUUUGUUAGCAGAAACCCAAGCUUGAUACGUCUUAUAUCCGAAAUUGAUGUGCUUCGUAAUGUUGGAUGUGCCCGACUUGGAUGAACAUGCGAAUUCCUUACCACAAUAAUUGCAGUUGCAUUUGUCAUAAUUAUUCUUGUGUCGUGUGUAGUGCUCCCAAACUUUUGACCUUGUCUUCUUCCUUUUAGAACCAGAACCUGAACCUUCUUUUUCUUUCCUCUUCCCUUUAUUUCCGGUUUCAUGUGUUUCAACAUCCUCGCCAUCUGUUUCAGGUGCAUCGUCUUCAUCCAUGGGAUCCCUGUCUUCGCAAGAAGCCAUCUGCGAAUGGAAAUCCACAUAUGACAUACCUCCGAUCGAAAUCAAAUCAAAACAAUACGACAAUCACAUCAAAAUAAUACGACGAAAUCAAAUCCAGAAUCGAAAUCAAAUCAAUACGAUUGAAACGAAAAAAAAAACCAUAAUCAAAAUCUAAUCGAAACGACUAAAUGAUAUCCACAUACCUCCGAUCUUAUUCUCGAUGAUGCUGAUGACGGUGAUGGCAAUACGUAAUCAGGUUCGGAGCAGUUCUUGUUAGUGGAUUCCAGUUUUGAUUUUGGGGAUUUAGAAAUGGAAAUGGAUUGUGUAUAGGAGAAGAAGAAAUUGGGAGUGGAAUCGGUUUCUAUGAAACCCUAAAUUUACCCGAAAUAUAACCCGAAGUUACAAACCAUAUAGUAAAAAACUAUAAAGUAUAAAGUAUAUAAUAUAUGUAAUACAUAUAUAGAAACAUCGAUUAUGUAAUAUAGAGAAUAAUAAUUCAGGUUAUCUGAAUAUCCGAUCGGUUUUCGGUUCUUACCUGGAACCGAACCGAUAUGCACGGUUCUAAAAAAUUUUAUCCAUCGGAUAAAACAGUUAGAUCUGAAUUUUGAUCCAAAUCGGUUUUUCGAGUCAGUUUCGGUUCGGUUUUUUGAAUCUAUGCCUAGCCUAUGUGUGACCAUUAUAUUAUCUAAUCAAACUAUAUAGUCUAACAUACAACUUUCAAUCUUAUUUUCUCUUCUUUCUUUCUUUGUCUGACAAUAUUUUCAGAACCCUUUGUCACUAAUAAAACAAUUAAAACCUGAAUUCUUGCCUUUUGCGCCGAUAAAUAAACCAUACAAUUGAACAUGGAAUCCGAAAAUAAAAAGAGAAACAACGUGGAGAAUUAUUCUUAUAUAUAACAAACUCAUCGUUUUUUGGUAAUUAAUUCUGCCAUUUUCGCACUUUGAUUGCCCAUUCUCUAAAUUGUAAGGCUGAUUCUAUGCUGGUUCGUAAGGUAAAAGAGAUGGCUUAUGCUGUUCGUUACUCUUUAGUAGUAUAAGUUGACAAAAAAGGUGAGAGAUUCAGCAAUCAUACGGUUAAAUUGUCAUCUUAAUCAAGUUUUAGCAGUUCGUUUCAAAAGUAAUAGAUUUUUGUUUUUUGUAUUUUAAAAAAUGAAACCACGGUAUACAAUAAACAGUUUGUCCUAUUACAUGUGCCUAUCUCAAAGCUGAUGUGUAAGAAACAUGGCACUUCAAUAAGCCAUGCAAAUUGAAAUGUGUCAACUCCCUUCAUUGAUAUGUUUGCUUAACAACGUGCAGCCAAAUUUUAUUUCCAAAUAAAGACAUAAAAAUAGCAAUACAAGCGAAUUGUAAAUUGUACAUAGUCGACUCUAUAUACUUGGUUCUUUUCUCAAUCGAUUUAUCAUCAAAACUCCUAACAGCAUUUAAAAGAAGAAAAAAAUAGAAAAAACCCCCUAUAAAUAGAUUCACUUAACGCAAGUGUAAGACCAGAAAAACCAUAACAAAUAAGUAAAGAGAAAAUGGCUCGAGUCUCCUCUCUUCUCUCCUUUGCCUUUACACUUUUGAUCUUUCUCCACGGCUACACUGCUCAGCAGUUUCCAAACGAGUGCCAGCUCGACCAGCUCAAUGCGAUCGAGCCAUCACACGUACUUAAGGCCGAGGCUGGUCGCAUAGAGGUGUGGGACCACCACGCUCCUCAGCUACGUUGCUCUGGUGUCUCCUUCGUACGUUACGUCAUCGAGUCUAAGGGUCUCUACUUGCCCUCUUUCCUUAACACCGCGAAGCUAUCCUUCGUGGCUAAAGGUACGUUUUUUUUAAACCAAAUAUUUUUGGAUCUUUAGUAACUUUUACGGAUUGGGAGACCAUUAUAAUAUCAAGAUUUAAGCUCGUGAUAAGGUUCACUCUUUUUGGAUAGUGUUAUAGUACAUCUUUAGAGCUACAUACGCGCCGAGUUUUAUAAAAAAGUCUCACAUGGUUUCGACUUGCUUCAAAUUUUUGAUCAAAAUCUAAAUAAUUUUUAUUAGACCUGUGCAUGUAAUCUUCUUCUUUCUUUUGGGUUUGUGACACUAUAGGACGAGGUCUUAUGGGAAGAGUGAUCCCUGGUUGCGCUGAGACAUUCCAGGACUCAUCAGUAUUCCAACCAGGCCAGCAGGGACAGGGCCAGCAGGGACGAGGCCAGCAGGGACAAGGGCAGGAACAAGAACAAGAACAGGGACAGGGACAAAGGCAAAGCUUCCGUGAUAUGCACCAGAAAGUGGAGCACAUAAGGAGCGGGGACACAAUCGCAACCCCAACAGGUGUAGCACAAUGGUUCUACAACGACGGAAACCAACCACUUGUCAUCGUUUCCGUCCUUGAUUUAGCCAACCACCAGAACCAGCUCGACCGCAACCCAAGGGUAUAUAUAGACCAAAACCUCAAAAAAAAAAAAACAGAAAUUUAAUUAUAAUCACAAUAUAACAAAACAAAUGUUGUUUUUCUAUGUGUGUUAUGUAGCCAUUUUACUUAGCUGGAAACAACCCACAAGGCCAAGUAUGGCUACAAGGACGUCAACAACAGCCACAAAACAACAUCUUUAAUGGCUUCCCACCAGAGGUUAUUGCUCAAGCUUUGAAAAUCAAUGUUCAGACAGCGCAACAACUUCAGAACCAGCAAGACAACCGUGGAAACAUUGUCUUUGUCAAAGGCGAAUUCGGUGUCAUUAGGCCACCUUUGAGGGGGCAGAGACCACAGGAGGAAGAAGCAGUAGGUAACGGUUUAGAGGAGACCAUAUGCAGCGCGAGGAGCACCGAUAACCUCGAUGACCCGUCCAAUGCUGACGUGUACAAGCCACAGCUCGGUUACAUCAGCACUCUAAACAGUUACGAUCUCCCCAUCCUACGCUUCCUUCGUCUCUCAGCCCUCCGUGGAUCCAUCCGUCAAGUAAGUUCAACAAAGAAUGUUAUCUACAUGACUACCUAUCAAAUCAACUAAUACACAUGCGUUUGAUACGAAAUUAAACCGUUCAAUUUGUUUCGGUUCAGAUUAAUUAUAUAUAUAGUGGUUUUGGUAGAAUCAAAUUUUGAUUUAAAAAAUUCCAUUUGUAAACUUUUUUUUUGCUAAAAUCCAUUUCCAUUUGUAAACUUUCAUUUUGUUCGGUUUGUUUGGUAUUACAAACAAAAUUCUUUCCCACUUGGUCACAUCUCGCUUUAGUUUUUCGGUUUGCUAUAAUUAUGUCAAUUUCUAGAUUUAAACGUGACUUCUGAAACGUGUGUGUGGGUGUAGAACGCAAUGGUGCUUCCACAGUGGAACGCAAACGCCAACGCGAUUCUCUACGUGACAGACGGGGAAGCCCAAGUGCAGGUGGUUAACGACAACGGUGAAAGAGUGUUCGACGGACAAGUCUCUCAAGGACAGCUAUUAGCCAUUCCACAAGGUUUCGCCGUGGUGAAACGCGCAACAAGCGACCAGUUCCGGUGGGUUGAGUUCAAGACAAACGCAAACGCACAAAUCAACACUCUUGCUGGACGAACCUCAAUCAUGGCAGGUCUACCACUAGAGGUCAUAAGCAAUGGGUACCAAAUCUCGCCCCAAGAAGCAAGGAAGGUUAAGUUCAACACGCUUGAGACCACUUUGACUCACGCCAGUGGCCCAGCUAGCUACGGAAGGCCAAGGAAGGCUGAUGCUUGAGAGCUUUAAACACAACGGCGUUUAACAGUGAGCCUCUACUGUGAAAGAAAGUUAAAUAGUAGUAGUAAUAAUAAUAAUGUACGAAAAUAUGACUGGUUUUGUUGAGGUUUACUUGUAAAAUGUAACUCCUUUUCUGAAUAAAAUCAUCAAGUCAUAAAAAUCUAUUGUCGAAACUUCAGAGACUAGUUUUAAUAAGCUCAGAGCAAAAAAGGACUCGAUGGAAGCCGGAUAAUCAAUGGGUCAUCCAAUUAAUUUACUAUGCAAUUUCAUAAUCUUACAUGACUUCUUUCAAUUUUCAACAUCUAAAAGAGCCACAAUAGACCUAAAUCUCUAUAUUAAUACCAAAACUAAUUUUCUUUUUUAAGUUAGCAAUUUCGUUUUGAAACUUUUUUUAUGACCAUUACUUGUAAGAUGAUAAUCAUACAUGACUUAUAAUUUCUUUUUAAGUUAGCAAUUUGUUCUUCGUUUUUUUAUGAAAAAAAAUACUUGUAGGAUGAUAAAAAAUGUUUGCAAAAAAAAGAUGAUAAAAAUCAUAGGUCGUUUAUGUUAUAAGUUAGCAACACGAAACUCUUUCUCUCGAUUGUCUAUUAUAAUUACUAUUGAGGAAAUGUUCACUUUCUCAUUAAUUGGUAAAAGAAUGUACAAGUGUUGAUAUAUAUAGUCACACGGUUUAGCUAAAAGAAACAAACCGGUGAUUUAAUCUAAUCUAUGUACAUUGAACCGGACAUAAUCCGGUAUAUAUCUAAUAUACCCCUUUAAGCCUCUGAAGUCAAAACCAAAGCUGUUGCAGGAUGAAAAAGGACUUGAAAUGCUCAUGUUGAUUUGCACUAUAAGUAUGAAAAAGCUUCAUGAAUCCAUUUUUAACAUGAUCUCUCACGGUAUGACAAUCCACCUCUAUAUGUUUGGUCCUCUCGUGGAAAACAGGAUUGGUGGCGAUGUGCAUUGCUGAUUUGUUGUCGCAGAAGAGCUUCGCAGAGUUGCAGACAGUAACCUUAAGAUCCUUCAGAAGCUGAGAUAGCCAUAGUAGUUCACAAGUAACAAGAGCCGUACUCCUAUACUCGGAUCCAGUGCUACUUCGACUGGCCGUUUGUUGCUUCUUAGACUUCCAGGAUAUUAGAGAUUUACCAAGAUACACGCAGAAACCGGUGAUAGAUCGUCGUGAAUCUGGACAGGUUGCAUAAUCUGCAUCCGCAAAGGCAUUGAGACAAAGCUCAGAAUCCGCAGCAUAGAAUAGACCCUAGCCUGGAUUAGAUUUCAGAUAUCUGAGUAUCCGAUGAGCUGCCUGCAUGUGAAUAUCCGUAGGACUAGAGAGAAACUGACUCAAGUAAUUCACAGCAAAGGUAAUGUCAGGUCGCGUUAUUGUAAGAUAAAGAAGACGACCAAUCAGCUUUCUGUAGGGAAAAGGAUUCUCCAAAGGUGUGCCUGAAGUCUUGUUGAGAUGAACUGUUGGAUCCAUCGGUAUUGAACUCGGUUUGCAAGCAAGCAUUCCAGUUGAGGCAAGGAUAUCUAGAGCGUACUUGCGUUGGCAAAUAGAUAUUCCCGUAGAGUUUCUGGCAAUCUCGAGACCCAAGAAGAACCGUGGAGCUCCCAUAUCUUUGAUUUCAAAAGCUUGAUGGAGAGCAUUCUUAAGCUUCUGCAACUCAAUAUCAUUAUUCGAAGCAAUUAGUAUAUCGUCCACAUAUACUAGGAGAGCAAUAAAAGCAGAAUCAGUCUGCUUGACAAACAAAGUAUUGUCAGCAGGAGACUGAACAAAUCCGGUGUCCAAGACAACUUUGGAAAAGCAAUGGUACCACUGCCGGGAUGCCUGCUUUAAACCGUAUAAGGACUUCUUCAAUCAACAAACUGGAUUAGGUGGAAGAGGAGUUGAUGAAGCAGGUGUGUAACCAUGAGGUAAGCUCAUAAAGAUCUCCUCAUAUAAGUCACCAUGUAAGAAUGCGUUAGUAACGUCCAUCUGAGUAAGCGUCCACUUAUAACACGAAGCUAAGCCUAGCACAAGCUUCACACUAGCUAGCUUCGCAACAGAGGAAAAAGUAUCGAUAUAAUCGAUCCCUUCCUGCUGAGUGAUAACACUAGAUUUUGACCAUUUUUAUGAAUCACUUUAAUGUCUUUUACAAGUGUUUUUACUCCAUUUUCAAAGGUUUUCAAAGGAUUUCUAUGUUUUCGGAUUUUAAAAGACUUUUCAGGUAAUUUGGGAUAAAGAGGCACAAAUUGGAACAAAAAAACUCUUUUGGAUAAAUGCAGACCGUCAGAACUCUCAUAGAGAGACGAAGACCUUCUCACCGUCUGAUCACCCUCAAAAUUGGUCAACAUAUAGAAGAAUCAACUAGCUUUCAAAUGCACUUGGUUUGGAGACAUUCCAACGGUUGGAUCUCAAGAUAUUCUAUUAGCCCCGGAGCCACUGGAAGACGGCCAGCAAGUCACGCGACUGCGGCCAACAGCCCAUUCCUUGCGGUCACAAGCCUCCCGACCACGGCCAGCCACCUAUUUCCCGCGGUUACGUCAUUCCCGAUCGCGGCCGGCCAACUCCGAAUUAAAGCCCACAUUUCUGAAUCCCAAAGUCAUCUUAGCCUCAAUUCCGGUACCCUAGAGACCAUGAAGUGUUGAAGACUAUAAUUACUAGUCAUUUAGGUCGUUUUUAGCAACCAACCUUCAUACUUUACAGAAACCCUUUUUCUUUAGCCGUUUUCAUGCGAUUUUUGUAGAAGAUUGUUCAAGUCCGAGUUCUUCAAUAGAGAAGCUUUCUUUCAUCUCUUUUCUUUACUGUUUUUGAUUACUUUUAUUAAAACCAAUGAUGAUGUCGACCUCAGCUAUGUCUGAGUAGAUCCCGAGUUGGGCUUAGGGUUCCCGAAAGAGGCUCUCAUAAUCGAUUAAGACAUCUAAGUUUAUAGAUCUGGGAUUUUAACUUUGUUCUCUGUUUAUUCUCGUUCUUAUUGCAUGUAUGCUUGAUUGAUCACCAAGUAUCUGAUCUAGAUAGUUAGUGUUGUGAAAGUUUUCAUUAAGUAUCACACCUAGAAUAAAAUAGGCGAUUUUUCCGUAGGAGUGGAAACCUACCUGCGGCGAGAUCGUGAGUUUUGACGAGUCUUGUGCAGCUCUUGCGUUCUCUCCCUUCCAGGUCCAGAGUGGAAACAUACUGGUCAGGGUUGCGAGAAACAGUUGGUUAUGAUCACGACAGUGACGUAGUCAUACCGCCGUACUCUAGCUCUAGAACCCUAUAUAUCGAUAUCCGUAAAUCCCAAUCUAUUAACCCUAGUGUCAAAACCGAUUAUGAUCCAUGUAGAGUUCCCGAAAGCUCAGCGUUUUUAGUCAUAGUUUACAAACCAAUCGAUUUUUACUUGCUUAUUUAGAUCUGCAUUUCAAUUGCUUUAGUUCGAUAUUUUGCUUUCUUUAUCUCCUUUCUAUUCGAUUUUUCUACUUGUUUUCUAGGAUAGAUUUAUUUGCUUUCUUUAGUUUUAGUUUAGUCCGUGACAAACAACCAACCUCUAAAACCAAUCUAGUCUAGACAUAAAGUUAGAAACCGUAGAAGAAUACCAGGCACACAAAUCCCUGUGGAUUCGAUCUCUAAAUACUACAACAGAUUAGCUGUGCACUUGCGGCAUUCAUUUGUUUUUGUUAUGGGUAAAACUUGUUCCCUCACGCAGUUGACACACAUCAAGUUUUUGGCGCCGUUGCCGGGGAUUUGUUUCGCUGCCUUUUGCUAUUUUUCUUGUUUUAACUUUUGUUCUAGACACCUGAUCUCUAUUUCUUUCUUAAAGUUUUGCUGAAUUAUCUUUCCUUCUUUUGUUUUUCUCUGAAUUGCAUGAAUACCAGGCGCAGACCUGUAGAAAACAUUCCAAUUCUAGACGAGAUAGACAGACACGAAAGAGAACUUCGAAGACUAAGACGAACGCAAGGAAUGGCCAACGACGACCAGCCUGGAGAUCCUAUUAACCGAGUUUUAAAUAUGGACCAAGACGGGUCCGAACAUGGAGAAAAUGAAGAGAAUGAUCACAGAGGAGGUGAUCAUGCUCGACAAGAUGGAGAGGAGGAUGAGGUUCCUCCAAGAAACCACCAGAACCGCGAGAGAGAAAAACGUGAAGACCUUGAUGCACCUAUCAAUGCAGCCGAUGGUGACCACCAAGGGAUGCAGCCGAAUGGACGCGUUAACCGCCCAGUUCAGCAAGCAAAUCAACACCGAAGACAAGCCAGGAACCAUCGCAUAGCUAAUUUCGAUGCAACUACUCAAAAUUUUCAGAACCGAUCUGCAAUUCAAGUUCCAUUUCCGAACCGGAAUGAGUUUGAAGUCAAGCCUCAAAUCAUCUCAUUGGUGAACGAAAAACCAAUUCCAUGGAAUUCCUUCUAAACACCCAAUUGACCAUAUCGAGCUCUUUGAAGAAAUCUGCAGCAUGAUGAAAACAAACCAAGUUCCAGCAGACUAUUUAAAGUGUAAGUUGUUCCCUUUUUCAUUAGCAGAAAAAGCUCACCGUUGGUUGAAAUCUUUGCCUGCAGGAUCGAUUACUAAUUGGGAAGAGUGUAAAACUGCUUUCCUGAAUCACUUCUAUACUAAGUCAAGGUCGAACUUGUUGAGAACAAAGAUCUCAAGCUUUCAGCAAGGACCGACUGAAUCUUUCUAUGAAGCCUGGGAACGUUUUAAGGAGUAUGAACGCGAUUGCCCUCACCAUGGAUUUCUUGGAUCAAGCUUUCAGCAAAUACAUUUUACCGAGGUUUGCAACCAAAAUACAAACUUUCGCUUGAUACAGUUAGCAAUGGAGAUUUUGGAGAAAAGACGAUAGCACAAGGAAGAGCCCUCAUCGAGAAUUUGGCUAAAGCCAAUAACAAUGAUUGUCCUGAAUACGAUCGCUCGACGAAGCAGACCGGAGCAGACAACAAAGAGAUAACCGAGUUGAAAAACAUGAUGAGCCCGCUUUUGAAGAGCAACAAUCGCCCAAUCCAUGCUUGUGAGACCAACAAUGGCGCAGAAGAUGAAGGGCCUAGCGAUAUCGAUCACAUUAAUCAAACCUUUCAAGAAGAAGAGGUGAAAUAUGUAGGAGCACAAGCACCAUAUCCAAAUCGCUUCAACAAUGGCUUCAACUACAACUUCCGGAAUGCAAAUUACAACAAUCUCUCUUACCGCAAUCCAAAUGUGGAGAAUCCUCAAGAUCAAUACUACCCACCACAACAAAAAUCCUUCCAAAAAAAUUUCCAAGGUGGAAACUUCGGAGGGAUAGGAGCUUAUCAACCGCGACAGCCAUAUAACUACCAAGGUACGGGUUUUAACAAUCAAUUUUUACAACAGCAGGGAGUCACAACAAACCAGCUAGCUUCACAAAUCGGUAGACUUGAACAGUCCAUCCAACAGCUCGUUAUGACGAACGCAAAAGCAUCUAAAGACAUGAACGUGAAGGUUGACUGCAUGUACAAUGACCUGAACGGGAAGUAUGAAGCUUUAUCUUCGCACGUCAAAAAGCUAGACGUACAAGUUGCCCAAACAGCCGACUCUAUGAAGAGGCAAAGUGGAGUUCUUCCAGGAAGAGUAUAGGAUAACCCUAAGAGGUUUUGCAACGCCAUAACCACAUUGCCCGAAGAAGAGGCCAAAACCGAUGGAAAGAAAGAAGAAACCCCAAUCUUCGUACCACUUUACAAGGAUGUCGAUGCCAAGCAGCCACCAUUCAAGGUACCUCAACGAUCACCGUUUCAAAGGCUUACAAAAGCCGACGAUCCGGGACGUUUUGUUUUCCAAUGUUUCAUUUCAGGAAUCAAGUUCACAGACUGCCUGUGCGAUUCCAGAGCCAAUGUCAACAUCAUGUCAAAGACAUUUGCCAAAAAAUUGGGCAUAAAAACUUUAAGGACAUCGACGGUUAAGGUUAUCUUUGGAGAUUCAUCUCAAAAAAUACUGAAGGGGCGAUCCAUGAUCUACAAGUUCUAGUGGGAGACAAGAUUGUUCCAGCAGAUUUCCAAGUCCUGGAGAUGGAUAUAGACAAGGAGAGGCCACUCAUUUUCGGGAGACCAUUCCUAGCUACCGUAGGAGCAGUAAUCGAUCACGCAAACUGGCAUGCUGUUUUCCUCAAUGUAGAUCGCAGAAAGUUUUACCCGACUAUCCUAGAUGAUUUUCCAAGCAAAGGAAACCGGCCAAAAGAAAAAGAAAAGGAGAAGCCGAAAGCUUUUGCAAAGAUCAAGAUCAUCAUUCCACCGGAUGCAACAGAGACUAGUGAGGACCAAAUCCAGGAGCUGAUCGAAAAUACAAAAAGGGUUUUAAACAAUAUUAAACCGAAAGAAGACGGCCCCUCAAGGAGAAUAAGUGAAACCACCAGCGACCGGAAGUAAUAAAGGCACAUCAAGUGGAGUGUCAUUCAAAUCAGACUGAUUCUUCAGGCCUACAUCGAGCUAAACAACUUAAAACAAAAGCGCUUAAUGGGAGGCAACCCAUUUAGGUACUCUUUCUUUUAGUUUUCUUUUCCUUUUUACAACUUAUGUUUUUCUUUUUCUUUUUAGUUUCAGGUAUUUUAUAAGACAACAACACAAAAAAAUCCAAAAAAAAAAAAACCAAGAAGAAAAUGGUAGGUUUUUAGCUGCUCGGCCCGGCGAAGACCUGAAAGUUGGACGAAGGCCGCAGGAGAAAGGGCCGCGGUCGCGACCAACCGACCCGCGGCCAAGGGAGCAUCGACCGCGGCACCGUGAAUGUGACCGCGGCCGAGCACCACUUCUCCACGGUCGCACGUCUCCUGAUCGCGGCCGUUGGUCGUUGAGAUGAGAACGCGGAUUUCCGCCGCUUUUCAAAAGUUCCUGGUGAUUUCUGGAGUGUUCCCGAUAAGCCCGUUAAGAUUUUCCGUAAGUUUUAAACCUUUGUUGCGUGCAAGACGAGAAAGGUAAGUUCCUGUAAACUUAUGAAUUCCCGGAAAUUUUCCGUUUUUGCUAAAAAACGCUUUUUAAAGAAAGGAAAUGCACUUUUUGGAUCAAAACUCCUUUUUCUCUUCUCUUCCAAAAGACUUGGAGAUUUAGGAGAUAGAAUACCUUUUUCAAUUCUUAAGCUUUUUAAGAGAUUCUUGGCCCAAACCUCACUCUUUUUCAAAGCUGAUUUCAAUUAUGUUAUCAAAUCUCUCUUUCUAGCAAGGUAUGAAGCUCAAACUCGCCAAUUUAAAUUGAUUUUAGAACUUAGGGUUUUCUUAAAAGGCCCAAAUCUCGGUUUAUUGAUUGUGAAAAUAGCUUAAGAACAAUAGAUUAUCCUUCUAGGUUAUCUAAAAAUCGAUUUUAACACCUAGCUUAAGAGGAAUUGAGAUUUUUGAAAUUUGGAUUUCACAUGCUUUAUAAUAAUCGAAUAUGGAACAGCAAAAUUGAUGAAUUUGAUUAAAUCUUGUGUGAUUAGUGAUUAGUAUUAGAUAACAUAUAGAUUUGACAUGGAAAUUGCUCACUAAAACCAAUUUUUAGAAGACUUCUAUGUUGAGAACAUCAAAAAUCCGAAUCUGGUCAUGAACUAGGAUUGGUUUAACUGAUCGUUAAUGUGUUAAAAUCAGCAUCCAUAUUCACUAUUUUUCCAAGAAUCGUCUCGUCUUGUAGGAAAAUGGAACAAACUAGAUCCUGAAGAAGCCGUCGCACUGGUGACAGCUCUGAGGACAUUCUCGAUGAUGUUACUCUUGGAGAGUACAUGCUGAACUAAGCUAAGACCCUACAUGGAGCUGAACCUUCCAACUUAUCAUGAGCUAGUCCGCGAGUUCUUAGCAACUAUUACACUCCACCACAUUAAGAGGAGGAACCCCAGAGCAUCUGAUGGCAUCUUGUCAUUCUAUAUCCGUGGACAGCCUUACUCGCUCACCAUUUCUGCACUUUGUGAGGCUCUUAAACUUCCAUACACCAAUGGCAUUUACCUUGAAGAUGAACCCGAUUUUAACUUGUGAAGAGAGAUGGGUCAUGGAGUCUAUGAUAACGGGAGAUCCAAGUCAGCCAUUUUUACUCAUCCUGCAGUGAGAGUUGUGCACAAACUCUUAGCACACACGAUUUUCUCUAGAGCCAACAUGGGAUCUGUUUUGAAGACCGAGCUCAUUACGCUUCAGAUGCCAUUUAUGGACGACCCACGACUUGCCUGCUUUGCCUGAAUCAUAGCACAGAACAUGGUGAAGGUGAAGCAUGAUUUACAUGGUUGCGAGGACGCUACUCCAGUUUACGGGAGCGCUAUUACAGCGAUACUACAAGCCGUAGGAUUCAAAUUCUCAUCUGACGAUCCACUUCCCGAUGUCUGGUAUGACCUACUUUAUCUCUCUCGCGAUCACACUAUCUCUCGUGCCGCUUUCAAUCCAGACAGGUUUGGUUACAAGUAUUGCACUGGCACUGAGGAGCACCGAGUCUGCUUGCCUUCAGCAUCAGUCCUGAGAUUGUGUAACGGAGGACGUCUGCGAUGGACUCCGGAACCCGAUGAGUUUCUGCCAUCUGUACCUCGUCUAACAUUCACCAUUGGCCAAUACAUAGUGGCCAAGGGAAAGCGUGAUGCAGCUGCGGCCUGUGCUCAUUUUCAGCCAUCUGUUUUGACCGGCCACACCUCAUCAUCGACAUCAUCGCACACACAUUCUGAUCUGGAGCGCAGAGUUAAGAGACAGGGACAACGUUUUGAGCGCGUUGUCACUUUCCUACAGGAGCAGCACCAAUUCGAAGCAGACACAUCGGAGGAUGAGUGAUUGAUCAACACUUCACUGCCAUCACGGUUCUAUCAUCAUUUUCUUUUCUUUUAUUUUAUUUUAUUUCGCUUUUAUUCACCAUCUUCUCACCAACUUUUUCACACUGGGGACAGUGUGAUUUAAGUCUGGGGGAGGAUGUCUAUCCGUACUAAUCAUUUUCUUGCUUUUGCUUUCAAAUUUCAAGCAUUUCUUGAAUUUUAAUAUGUAACCUAUUCGACAUUAAGUAUUUUUUAGGAAUGUUUGACACAAAACUAUGAUGAUUUAGACCUGCACGCUUCUACACUAUGCAUGAUAGCUCAUUUGUGGUUAGCACUAGACUAGGCGGUAGAUGACUUCUAUUCAUGGAGGUUCUUUCUGACAGGAUAUACUAACUCAAUUUACUUGACCUUAAUAAUGAUAUCUAAUUUUCUCAUCAUUGAUUUUAGGCAGGCAUCGACAUACACAUCUAGGACGUCUUUUACCCUCACUUUUACCACUCUUUGACGUCCUAGAUGAUCAGUUCAUCUUUAUCUGGUACCAUACCCUAAACCCAAACUCUUGUUUUCAAUCCUCAUGCAUUCUCUCUUUAGUUUAUAUCAGCAGAUAUGUGCAAAAACGUUGGAGAGAAGAGGAGCGACGCAGUUUCAGUCACUCACAAAGGAGACUGAAUGGAAUUGGGAAGGAAGCGUAUCAUAAACCUCAUGAAGCUUUACAAGACAGAUCUUAACUGGUAAUUUCGUGCUCUCUAUGACUCUAUAUCUAAAGGUAUUCCCUCUCUUUCAAAAAAAAAAACGAACGAAUGAAAAGAGAGAGGGAAACAAAAAGCCUAAUGAGUCCUAGAUUGUCGAAAUUUGUUGAGCAAGAAGCAACUACUAAGCGUUUAUAGAGCUAUGUUUUUGAAAGAUUUACAAAAAUCUAAGUUUGGGGGAGUUAGGAGAGAACCUGAGGAAGAAGACCAGGAAUCUAUGGCAAGAAGAAAGUGACUGAAAACUGUGGAUACCAACAGCUUCACUCUCUCUUGCGGUUUUGCAUAAUAUCUUGCAUCCUCCAGAUCUUCAGGUAACUCGUAAACACUUUAAGCUUUACCCCUAGAAUAACCCUUUUUGACACCUAGCCUAGAUUACCUUGCCUAGACUUUCUUUGAUGAGAACCACCAAGAUUUUUAAUGAAUGUUAAGAGCUAGUUGACUGGAAGUUAGAUCUUAGUGCAUAGAUUUCCGCAUGACGGAUUAACGGACUAGUUAUGCCUGUAUUGCUAGUGAGAAUUUUCUAGGCUAUUCCCGAUUGAUGCAUGCUGAUUGAUAUUGGUCUAGAAGUUUGGUCUAUGAGAUUUUGUUUAGUUCCUGCGUUUUCAAACCUUUCGCCGAGAUUUAGCCUUUGUUUUGUUUGAGGACAAACAAAAGACUAAGUCUGGGGGAGUUGAUAACACCGGAUUUGAACCAUUUUUAUGGAUCACUUUAAUGCUUUUUACAGGUGUUUUUACUCCAUUUUCAAAGGUUUUCAAAGGAUUUCUAUGUUUUCGGAUUUUAAAAAACUUUUCAGGUAAUUUGGGAUAAAGAGGCACAAAUUGGAACAAAAAGACUCUUUUGGAUAAAUGCAGACCGUCAGAACUCUCAUGGAGAGACGAAGAUCUUCUCACCGUCUGAUCACCCUCAAAAUUGGACUACAUAUAGAAGAAUCAACCAGCUUUCAAAUUCACUUGGUUUGGAGAAAUUCCAACGGUUGGAUCUCAAGAUAUUCUAUUAGCCCCGGAGCCACUCGAAGACGGUCAGCAAGUCACGCGACCGCGGCCAACAGCCCAUUCCCCGCGGUCACAAGCCUCCCGACCGCGGCCAGCCACCUAUUUCCCGCGGUUACAUCAUUCCCGACCGUGGCCGACCAACUCCGAAUUAAAGCCCACAUUUCUGAAGCCCAAAGUCAUCUUAGCCUCAAUUCCGGAACCCUAGAGACCAUGGAGUGUUGAAGACUAUAAAUACUUGUCAUUUAGGUCGUUUUUAGCAACCAACCUUCAUACUUUACAGAAACUCUUUUCCUUUAGCCGUUUUUAUGCGAUUUUUGUAGAAGAUUGUUCAAGUCCGAGUUCUUCAAUAGAGAAGCUUUCUUUCAUCUCUUUUCUAUACUGUUUUUGAUUACUUUUAUUUAAACCAAUGAUAAUGUCGACCUCAGCUAUGUCUGAGUAGAUCCCGAGUUGGGCUUAAGGUUCCCGAAAUGGGCGCUCAUAAUUGAUUAAGACAUCUAGGUUUAUAGAUCUGGGAUUUUAACUUUGUUCUCUGUUUAUUCUCGUUCUUAUUGCAUGUAUGCUUGGUUGAUCACCUAGUAUCUGAUCUAGAUAGUUAGUGUUGCGAAAGUUUUCAUUAAGUAUCAGACCUAGAAUAAAACAGGCGAUUUUUCCGUAGGAGUGGAAACCUACCUGCGGCGAGAUCGUGAGUUUUGACGAGUUUUGUGCAGCUCUUGCGUUCUCUCCCUUCCAGGGCCAGAGUGGAAACCUACUGGUCAGGGUUGCAAGAAACAGUUGGUUAUGAUCACGACAGUGACGUAGUCAUACCGCCGUACUCUAGCUCUAGAACCCUAUAUAUCGAUAUCCGUCAAUCCCAAUCUAUUAAUCCUAGUGUCAAAACCGAUUAUGAUCCCUGUAGUGUUCCCGAAAGCUCAGCGUUUUUAGCCAUAGUUUACAAACCAAUCGAUUUUUACUUGCUUAUUUAUAUCUGCAUUUCAAUUGCUUUAGUUCGAUAUUUUGCUUGCUUUAUCUCCUUUCUAUUCGAUUUUUCUACUUGUUUUCUAGGAUAGAUUUAUUUGCUUUCUUUAGUUUUAGUUUAGUCCGUGACAAACAACCAACCUCUAAAACCAAUCAAGUCUAGACAUAAAGUUAGAAACCGUAAAAGAAUACCAGACACACAAAUCCCUGUGGAUUCGAUCCCUAAAUACUACAACUGAUUAGAUGUGCACUUGUGGCUUUCAUUUGUUUUUGUUAAGGGUAAAACUUGUCCCCUCACGCAGUUGACACACAUCACUGAGUAUAUCCUUUGGCCACCAACCGGGCCUUAUAUCUUGCCACAGAACCAUCAGGAUUGUAUUUGAUGGUAUAAACCCAUUUGCAACCAAUGACAUGUUUACCGGGUGGUAAUUUUUCAACAACCCAAGUACCUUUUGAUUCAAGAGCUAUCAAUUCUACAUCCAUGGCCUUUGGAAAGUGUAGAUGAGCCAUGGCCUACUUAAAGUUUUGAGGUUCGGUUUCACUUGUGCAGGAAAGUACAAAGGAUUGAUAAGAAGGAUGGAGUUUGGAAUAAGAAAGAACAGAUGAGAGAGGAUAUAAUAUCCCAGGAGGAGUAGAAAUUUGGGUGAAGUUGCAGUGGUAAUUAGAUAGGUAACUAGGAGCUUUUACCUAUCGUCGAGGUCUACCAACAGGUAGUGCUACUUCCCCUGUACCAGUAGUCACAGUCUCUUGUAUAGGUGUGGCACUAGAUGCAGGUGUAACAGAUGCAGGUGUCGGAUUAUGCAAAGGAACAUGAUUAUCUAAUGCAUGAAAAUCAACAUCAAGUGCCACAGGAAUCGGUAAUGGUAAAAUAGAUUUGCCAAAAAUAUUCGAAUCAGUUGUAGAUGGUGAAGUGUUCUUAUAUGGAAAUAAAGUUUCAUGAAAAAUGACAUUGCGAGAAAUGCUUACCGUAUUUGAUUUCAAAUCUAACACCUUAUAACCUUUAUAACCCGGAGGGUACCCUAAGAAAGCACAAGGUCUAGCAUGCGGUGUAAAUUUGUGUCUAUCUUUAACCAAAGUAGACACAUAACAUAGACAACCAAAAGACCUUAAGAACGAAUAGUCAGGUUUCUUCUUGAAAAGCAUUUCAUAAGGAGAUAAUUUGUUCAAAACAAGUGAAGGUGUUCUAUAUAUCAAGAAAACAGCUGUUUGAACACAGUCAGACCAGUAAGCAAGAGGCACAUUCGAUUGAAAUAAAAGAGCUCUAGUACAUUCAGCAAAUGCUGAUGUUUACGUUCAACCACAGAGUUCUGCUGAGGUGUAUAUGCACAUGAGAAGUGAUGGAGAAUGCCAUGUUCCUUAAGUAAUUGGGUAAAAGCAAGUUCUGGUGCAUUAUCACUACAAAUGAGUUUAAUGACAGUAUCAAAUUGUGUCUUAACAUAGGCAGUGAACGCAGGAAAAAUUGUAGCAACAUCACUUUUAUUUCUCAUCAUGUAAAGCCAAGUGACACGAGUACAGUCAUCUACAAUAGUAAGAAAGUACUUAAAACCAUCUACAUACUCGAUAGAAAAUGGACCCCAAAUAUCUAUAUGAACAAGGUCGAAUGGUGAAUCAGAAAGAUGAUUAUGAGAAACAAAUGGGAGCCGUUUCUGUUUAGCUAAAGGACAGACAUCACAAGGACCUAAACUAGACUUAGACAAAGAUGAAGCACCUGUAAUAUAUUAUAACUUGGCAGGAGAUGGAUGUCCAAGGCGUUGAUGUCAUAGAUGUCCAUCAUCAAGCAAGGAUCCACAGAAGUUGGUAGAGGUAGAAGUAACACUUGUCUCCAGAAUGUAGAGAUUGUGUAUAAGAUUACCUCUACCAAUCGUCAAGUCCCGAGUAUGGUCCUGAAUGAAACACGAAGCAGAGUAAAAAUGAGCAGAUGAGUUGUGACGUUUCAAGAGAGUGCUGACACUUAACAAGUUAAACCGAAAUGCAGACACAUAUAAGACAUCAUCCAGAACAAGAAACUCAGAAAUAUGCACUGUGCCUGUAUGACUAAUCAGUACUCUAGUGCCAUUAGGAAGAGAGACUGUAACUCCGAAAAAUUUCACUAAACAUUGUUAGAUCUGAACAAACAUGAGUAGUUGCCCCACUGUCAAUUAUCCAAUUACCAUAAAGGAGGAUAGAAUAUAGAGUGGACAAACAUUGGUGUUGAAAAGUAAAGGUGUUAUGUUCGUAACGAAGGUUAGUAGAGGGAAACACAAGUGAAAUCAUACCAGCGGAAGAUGUAGUAGCCAUGGCUCCAUUUUCAGUUAUUGUAGCCGGGGGAGCAGAAGUUGUAGGCUCAGGUAGACGAGUGUGAGCACUGAGUUGUUGAAGUAAUGACUGAACUUGAUCCUGAGAGAACAUGCUAAGAUCAAUGUUCUGAGAUAGUGGAGAUACAGCUGUAACCGCAUUGGCUGAAUUGGUGAACUGUGCCUGCGAGGGAAAUGGAGGUCAUGGACCAGUUUGGUAUUGACCACGAGGUUGAAACUGUGGCUGUGGCUGUGAGGUAGGCUGAGUAGAAGCUCGCUGAGACAUCUUAUGACCAGGAGGGUACCCAUGCAAUUUGUAACAUUUCUGUAUAGUGUGUCCAGUUCGGCCACAGUGUGUACAAACUGGCCUUGGUGGUCUAUAACUCGCAGCACAGGCUGUAUUCUCACUAGAUCCAGUAUAAUAUCCAUUAUUCUGAUUAUCAGGAUAACCAACAGGAGCAGAGGUUUGAAAGGCUACAUUCUCCACUUGAGUAGAAGGCUUAAUAGAUUUCUGACGCUCAUCUUGUUCAACCAUAUUGAACACAUCUUCUAUAGAUGGAAUCGGCUUUAGCAUCAGAAUAUGCCUUCGAGUUGGCUCAUAANNNNNNNNNNNNNNNNNNNNNNNNNNNNNNNNNNNNNNNNNNNNNNNNNNNNNNNNNNNNNNNNNNNNNNNNNNNNNNNNNNNNNNNNNNNNNNNNNNNNCCCUCCAAUGUCCCACAGGUGCAAAUCGGAAGUUCAACAUAAUUUCUAUAUCUUCCCAAAGUGUAAGCAAUUCAGUAUAGUAAGCACUAACAUCCAUCGAGCCUUGUUGAAUCGAACUAAACGUUGUUCAAUCUCAUAAACCCUAGGUGCAUCAUUCUGUUUGAAUCGAGAACAAAGAUUCUUCCAAAUAGCUUCAGAAGUAGACAUAAAGAGUAAGCUCUGGCCUAUCUUCUUAGAAACAGAACUCAUAAGCCAAGUAGCUACCAUGUCAUUACACCUAGACCAUGAUCCAACAUCACAGUGAGAAUCAGGAGGUUUCGGAAUUGUACCGUCUAUGAAGCCAAGUUUGUUCCGUACGUUUAACGCCAUGCGAACAGAUCGGCGCCAAGAGUGGAAAUCAGAUCCAGAAGAGAGACGAUCAGAAACAAGAACAAGACCGACGUGAUCAGAUGUGUGCAAGAAAUACGGAUUUUCAUACUGAUCUGUUGAAGAUCGAGAAACAUCCGUCGAAGGAUUUGGAAUCGCUGUAUUCGUCGGAAUUGAUGCCAUUUCAGAGAUUGAAAUCGAAUCGACGAAGAAAAAUCGAGUCGAUUUGAUGUAAAACAAAGAGAAUCGACAACGAAAUUAGGUCAAGAAUAGAAAGAAAAUCAGAAACAAGAUAAGAAAAGAAAGAUACGAAAGAAAGUCGAGCACAGCGAAGAAAAAUCUGACGAGGAAAUCAAAUCGCAGCUGAGGAAUCGAUAAACUCAUUGCUGGAUUGAAGCUCGUUUUACAGAUUUCAUGAGAAGAAAGAUGAAUCGAAGCUCAGAGAUGAGUAACAAUGGCGGAAACAAAAAUUCUCUAAUUAGCCGUUAGAGAGCUCUUGAGGAAAUGUUCACUUUUUCAUUAAUUGGUAAAAGAAUAUACAAGUGUUGAUAUAUAUAGUCACGCGGUUUAACUAAAGGAAACAAACCGGUGAUUUAAUCUAAUCUAUGUACAUUGAACCGGACAUAACUCGGUAUAUAUCUAAUAAUUACCACUUUAACUUUUAUCAUUUGCAUAUAUUUAAUUGAUCGAAGUCUUUCGAAACUUAACAUUUCUUCACGUCGACUGUGACCGCUAUAUUACGAUCUUAUCAGAAUAUAUAGCCUAAUAUCAAACUUUCAAUCUUAUUUUCCCUUCCUAUUUUUUGUCUAACAAUUCUAUUCUCAGAAUCCUUUGUUUGUUGUGAACUUGAUAAAAUCGUUUGAACAAAAUCCUUUGUUUUUUGUCUAACAUUGGAACAAUAUAAAGAAUGGUAAAAUCGUUUUCGAGAUGAUUACGUCAAGCCGGUGAAAAAUAACGCAUUAUUAAAACAAUUAAGAUCUGAAUUCUCGCCUUUUGCGCUAACAAAUCUCUAUAUUAUUAUUUGAGUAGACAUUUAAAAACAUAACUUUUAUUUUGUAAAAUAUCAUAUAAUAUACUAUUAUAAAUAACAUAGAAUAAUUAAAAUAAAAAAAAUAUAGUUAUCUUUCAACUAUAAUAAUAAAAAUAUGGAAAGUUUUUGUUUCUCAUUUUUAUAUUUAUUAUUUAGUUUCUGAAUUCAAAAAUAUGAUAGUUUUUUAUAUUUUUCGUUUCAAAUGAUAUUAUAAAGUAUAUUUAAUUAAAAAAUAUGAAAAUAAAUUUUCUUAUAACUAAAUCAAAUAAAAUCAAGAUUAAAAGUUAUGAUAUUAAAAAAGUGGUGAAAUAUUUAAUUUACUACAUUUAAUUGAUUAUAUACAAAAAUAAUUUUUUAAUUAUUUUUACUAAAAAUUUGAUAUGCGAAAUUUGAUUUUUUAAAUAAAAAAAGUUUGUGGUGAAGUGAGAGUUAUUGAACGUUAGAUAUUAUAAUUAGUUAUUAAAUUUAAUCCAAUAUAAACAUGUUAAGUAAACGGGUUAGUUCGAUAUAAACAGAUUAUAAUUCUAAUUUUUUUAAUAUCCACAAAAAAAACUCACAAUUCAAAAUAUUAAUUUAAUCUACUAAAUAUUAUAAUAUAUUUAAUCUACUAAAUAUUAUAAUUUUUCUUUUAAAAUUAAAUAUAAUUUAUUAUAUAUUUAGUUAUUAUAUAUCAAACUUAAGUGUAAAAAUAUUAUAUUAUUUUCAUAUAUAGUUAAAGAAGAUAAAAUUGAUUUUUUUUAUAGUUUGUGGACAGAUUAUAAAAGUCAGUUAUUAAGCGAUGCAAAUUAGAGUUGAUGAUUAUAAUAUUAUAAUAUUUAAUGUAUUAGUCUAAAUAAUAUUUUAGUUUGGUGCCAACGGGUUAAAAACAGCUUAUUUUGCUUUACACGCUUAUAAAAUAACUUCAUAUACGGAUUAAUUUAUUUUUCAUAAUUUAAACAAAAAAUAAAAAUAAUUUUAUAUACGGAUCAAUUUAUUUUUUAAAAUUCACAAAAAUAUGCAUUAUAUUAUCGUAAAUUAUAUAAUAAUAACUGUUUUUACAAAAUAACUAUUUUUAUAAAAUUGUUUAAAUUAAUUGAAAGUUAAAAUAUUUUUUCCGCGCUAUAACGCGGGUUAAUGCUUAGUAGAUCAUACAAUUCAACAUGGAAUCCAAAAAUGAAAAGAGGUUUUUAAUUUUGGUCAUUAAUUCUGUCUUUUUCGUACUUUGAUUCCUCAUUCUCUAAAUUGCAAGGCUGAAUUAAUUGUUGGUUCGUAAGUAAAAGAGAGGGUUUUAUGCUGUUCGUUAGUAGUAUAAGUUGACAAAAAGGUGGUUAGGUGAGGGAUUCAUUUUGAAACGUAGAACAUAACCUUUCAGACGGUAAAAUUGUCAUCUUAAUCAAGUUUUAGCAGUUCGUAUCAAAUGUAAUAGAAUAAUAUCUUUUUGUAUUUUGAAAAAUAAAACAACUGAGUGUAUACAGUAAUUAAAUAUUUGUCGUAUUACAUGUGCCUAUCUCAUAGCUGAUGUAUAAGAAACAUGGCACUUCAAUAAGCCAUGCAAAUUGAAAUGUGUCAACUCCCUUCAUUGAUAUGUUUGCUUGACAACGUGCAGCCAAAUUUUAUUUUCAAAUAAAGACAUAAGAAUAGCAAUUCAAGUGAACUGUAAAUUGUACAUAGUCGACUCUAUAUACUUGUUUCUUACCUCAAUCAAAUUAUUAUCAAAAAACAUUUAAAAGAAGAAAAAAAAAGAAGAAAACCCCUAUAAAUAGAUUCACUUAACGCAAGUGUAAGACCAGAACAACCACAACAAAUAAGUAAAGAGAAAAUGGCUCGAGUUUCCUCUCUUCUCUCCUUUUCCUUUACACUUUUGAUCUUUCUCCAGGGCUACGCAGCUCAGCAGUUUCCAAACGAGUGCCAGCUCGACCAGCUCAAUGCCAUCGAGCCGUCACACGUACUUAAGGCCGAGGCUGGUCGCAUAGAGGUGUGGGACCACCACGCUCCUCAGCUACGUUGCUCUGGUGUCUCCUUCGUACGUUUCGUCAUUGAGUCUAAGGGUCUUUACUUGCCCUCUUUCCUUAACACCGCGAUGCUCUCCUUCGUGGCUAAAGGUGCGUUUUUUUUUAAACCAACUAGGUUUGGAUCUUUAGUAACUGUUUCGGAUUGGGAGACCAUUUUCAUAUUAAGAUUCAAACUCGUGAUAAGGUUCAGUCUUCUUGGAAUGUGUUAUAGUACAUCUUUAGAGCUACAUACGCCGAGUUUUAUAGAACUGUUUCACAUGGUUUCGACUUGCUUCAAAUUUUGAUCAAUAAUACUAAAUUUUUAUUAGACUUAUGCAUGUAAUCUUUUUUUUUUCUUUUGGGUUGUUGACAUUAUAGGACGAGGUCUUAUGGGAAGAGUGAUCCCUGGUUGCGCUGAGACAUUUCAGGACUUACCAGAAUUCCAACCAGGCCAGCAGGGACAGGGCCAGCAGGGACAGCGCCAGCGUCAGCACAGACGGGGCCAGCAGGGACAGGGACAGGAGCAGGAACAGGAGCAGGGACCAGAACAAAGGCAAAGCUUCUCUGAUAUGCACCAGAAAGUGGAGCACAUAAGGAGCGGGGACACAAUCGCAACCCCAUCAGGUGUAGCACAAUGGUUCUACAACGAUGGAAACCAACCACUUGUCAUCGUUUCCGUCCUUGAUUUAGCAAACCACCAGAACCAGCUUGACCGCAACCCAAGGGUAUAUAUAGACCAAAACCUCAAAAAACAAAUCAUAUAAAAUUUAAUUAUAUAAUCACAAUAUAACAAAAAAUGAUGUUUUUCUAUGUGUGUUAUGUAGCCAUUUUACUUAGCUGGAAACAACCCACAAGGCCAAGCCUGGCUAAAAGGACGUGAGCAACAGCCACAAAACAACAUCUUUAAUGGCUUUCCACCAGAGGUUAUUGCUAAAGCUUUCAAAAUCAAUGUUCAGACAGCACAACAACUUCAGAACCAGGAAGACAACCGUGGAAACAUUGUCUUUGUCAAAGGCGAAUUCGGUGUCAUUAGGCCACCUUUGAGGGGGCAGAGACCACAGGAGGAAGAAGCAGUAGGUAACGGUUUAGAGGAGACCAUAUGCAGCGCGAGGAGCACCGAUAACCUCGAUGACCCGUCCAAUGCUGACGUGUACAAGCCACAGCUCGGUUACAUCAGCACUCUUAACAGUUAUGAUCUCCCUAUCCUUCGCUUCCUUCGUCUCUCAGCACUCCGUGGAUCUAUCCGUCAAGUAAGUAACAAAAAACGUUAUCUAUUUCAAAUCAAACAAUACGUCACUUUCUACAUCUAAACGUGACUUCUGAAACGUGUGUGUGGGUGUAGAACGCAAUGGUGCUUCCACAGUGGAACGCAAACGCCAAUGCGAUUCUCUACGUGACAGAUGGGGAAGCCCAAGUGCAGGUGGUUAACGACAACGGUGAAAGAGUGUUCGACGGACAAGUCUCUCAAGGACAGCUACUUGCCAUUCCACAAGGUUUCGCCGUGAUGAAACGUGCAACAAGCGACCAGUUCCGGUGGGUUGAGUUCAAGACAAACGCAAACGCACAAAUUAACACUCUUGCGGGCAGAAUCUCAAUCAUGGCAGGUCUACCACUAGAGGUCAUAAGCAAUGGGUACCAAAUCUCGCCCCAAGAAGCAAGGAAGGUUAAGUUCAACACGCUUGAGACCACUUUGACUCACGCUAGUGGCCCAGCUAGCUAUGGGAGGCCAAGGAAGGCUUGAUGCUUGAAAGUUUAAAACGGCGAUGUUUAACUAUGAGCCUCUACUGUAAAACGAAGUCAAAUAGUAGUAAUAAUAAUAAUACGAAAAUGUAACUGGUUUUGUUGAGGUUUCUUGUAAAAUGUAACUCCUUUUCUGAAUAAGACCAUCAAGUUCAUAAAAAUCUAUAAUCCAAACUUCAGAUACUAGUUUUAAUAAGCUCAGAGCAAAAAAUGGACUCGACGGAAGCCCGAUAAUCAAUAGACCAUCCAAUUAUUAUUUAUUAUGCAAUUUCAUAAUCUUACAUGAUUUUUUUUAACAUCUAAAAAACCACAAUGUACCUAAAAAUCUAAAACUGGAUAAUUAUCCAAAUCCACCGCCAUACCUAAGUCGGUUACCAAUAUUUUAUGUAUUGUUCUCUUGUAUAAAAACCUGACUUACCUUGUAAGAUGGACGAGUUAAUAAAAAGCAGAAAUUAUCUCAUUUCUCUCGUCUCUCUCCCUUCCCUUCUGCUGGUUCAUUUGUAUACUUUCUAUAUAAUAUAGAUGGAAAUAUAUAUACAUAUAAUUCAUAAUAAAUUUAAAAUACCAAAACUAAUUUUCUUUUUAUGUUAGUAAUUUCGUUAUGCAAUGUACCUAGAAUAAUGGUGUAAUGAAUUUUGUUCAGGGAGCUUUAUCAAUCAAUCUUGGGAAAAACUUUAUCUAUCUUCAACCAUCAUCGAUCUUACCACCAUUGAUUUCUAUUUUUCUAUUUUUACCAUCUAUUUGUACAUCAAAAUGAAGUACUAAAUAUUUUUAUUAGCAACUCAAAGUUAAUAAAAAUGUUGGAGUGAAAAGUUAAUUCUCUUCCGUAUAUUUAUGAAGUGGAAGAUUAAAUCUCCUUCUUACUAAUAUUAUGGAGUAGAAGGUUAUGUCUCCUCCUUGCAUAUAUUUAUAAAAUAGAAGGUUAAACCUUUUCCGUGAUUAUAAAAUUAUGGGGUUGAUAGUUUAGUCCUCCUUUUUAAAACAAAUUUUAUGGAGUGAAAAAUUAAACUUCCUCCAUGAACACAAAAUAAUGGAGUGGAAGGUUAUGCCUCCUCCUUAUUUUUAUGGUAGGCUUGGUGCCUUCAAAACAUAUGGAAACUAUACCAGCUAAAAACCCCGUACGAGCUAAAAGUUCCGGAAGAGCCAAAAGUCCUAUACGAGCUAGAAGCUCCGGAAUAGCUAAAAGCCUUGUAAGAGCUAUAAGUUCCGGAAGAGAAAAAUGUUCCACAAGAGCACACGAUGGUGACAUAUAUAAAUGUGAUAAUAAAAGAUGGCAAGGGUAUAUACCAUAGUAAACUUGAAGUUUACUAAUUGAAUAAACCGGUUAAGUCAUCUCGGUAGUUACAAUGAUAUAAGAUCAUUGAGAAUACAAGUUGAAAAACCAGAAGCUUUUUCAACUAUUGCAUGUCACAAAGAAAGAAAAAAAAAAGCCAUCAUGAAAACCAUCCAUGGAUAGAUCACCAUUUCUUUUGGUUUAAAGCUCAUUAGAUAUGUAGUUGGUCCUAAAGUGGGAUUCAAUUCGAGAUGGAUAGACCUUAAAAGUGUCAUCAUCUCGAGGGGAAGAAUUAAAGAAUCCCACAUCGAGUGUAAGCUGAACAUCCAGAAGAUUAUGUUCGCACUUGAAAUGAGCUUAAAAUAAAACAAAUCCAGGAGAUUGAAAAACCAAUUACGGUGAUCUCCAUAUGGUGACAUAAAAUAUGCAGUAUGACAUAUAGAAAACAACUGAUGGAUCCUCAUAUGAAUCGAAGUUCAUAUUGAUUGAAAAAACAAAAUCUCAUAUCCCAGCUGAGCUCCACUAAAAGUAGAUGUCCAUGAAGGGCGGUCUAUUUGCGUCUAUAACAUGUAAAAAAAAAAACGUGAUAGACUACUUUGGUUCUAAAUCCUCAAAAGAAAAAGAACAAAAGAGGAUUGAUCUCCUGAAGAGAUUAUUGACAUGGUUAAUGAUAAAAUCAUGUACCUGAAUGAAAUCGAUGAUAUAAUUAAGAGAUUUCGAUUUACCAUGUCAUUACAAAAAAAAGGUGGAACCAAAGAUUAACCUCUAGAGGAAUUAAUCCCUAAAUGAUUAUAUUGGAAUUCUGUUUCCGGAAACACUACUCGAUUGAAAUAAAGAAUGAUGAUUAUCAAAACUCUUGGAGAGUUUAUUCGAGUAGUAUAAUAAAAAGGAUUAUUCUAUAGGUGAUAUCUUGAACCGGUAAUUGGAGAUAUGUUUACGACACUUUUGCCACUUUGAUGAAAAUGAAUUCUCUACGUUGAGGGAGAGAAAAAGAAGAAUAUAUAUAUUUUUUAAUGAGAAUGUUACUGUAUUUUUUUCUAUAAUUUUUAUUAUUAAAUAUAUCGGCGGUGAUGAAUAGUUAAGAGAAAGUGUUAUAAACUAGAUAAUUAUCUAAAUCCAUCGUCAUACCUACCAACUCAAUUAAAUCGGUUACCAAUAUUUUAUGUAUUGUUCUCUUGUAUAAAAAUCUGACUUACCUUGUAAGAUGGACGAGUUAAUAAGAAGCAGAAAUUAUCUCAUUUCUCUCGUCUCUCUCCCUUCUGCUGGUUCAUUUGUAUACUUUCUAUAUAAUAUAAUAUAGAUGGAGAUGUAUAUACAUAUAAGUAUAUACAAUAAUUCAUAAUAAAUUUAAAAUACCAAAACUAAUUUUCUUUGUAUGUUAGCAAUUUCGUUAUGCAAUGUACCUAGAAUAAUGGUGUAAUGAAUUUUGUUCAGGGAGCUUUAUCAAUCAAUCUUGGGAAAAACUUUAUCUAUCUUCAACCAUCAUCCAUCUUACCACCAUUGAUUUCUAUUUUUCUAUUCUCACCAUCUAUUUGUACAUCAAAAUGAAGUACUAAAUAUUUUUAUUAGCAACUCGAAGUUAAAAAAAAAACUAACGUUUAAAAAUAGUAAGAACAAUAUUUCCAAUAUAUUAAAUUUUUGUUUUUCUUUUGUUAAUGCAAAAUAUGAAAAGACAAUACAAAGAAUCACAACACGAAAAUCUCUCUCAGCAUAAGACUCACCUUGAUGUACGAAAGUAAAUGCUCUCCUUGGUUUUUCCUUGCAAUGCAACAUUUCUAAACCGGUUGCUUUUGUGAUCCACAAAGUAAACAUACAUCUCUUCAAAUUUGACGGGUGCAUAGAUAAACUCGUCCAUAUGAUCUGUAGCCCCCACCAUUUUCAAAAGGCCAUGGAAUGUCCCAGUAGAACCAAGUAUAGAAUAACAUAGCUUUCGACCACUCUUGUUUCUUGGCGUCCUCUAAAACCCACAAAGUAAAAUUGUAGCCCUGAAUAUUAGUACGAGUGAACUCUCAUCUAUUCUAUUAAAACAGAAGCGCAUUUAGUUCUUGCAUCCAAACACUUCUAAAGUUUUUUUUAUAAUAUUUUAUUUUAUUGUUAUAUUUAAUUUCCGAAAAUUAGUUAUUAAUUUAAAUAUUCUUAGAUUCCUAAAAUCUAGGUCGUCUUUAAUUUAAAUUUAAAAUUAUUAGAAAUUUAAUUAAAUUUAGUUACAAAGAUUUGCAUUCAAUUUAGUUUAAAUUCAAAAAAUUCAAAAAAAAAUUCUAAUUAAAUUUAUUACGAAAAUUUAGAUAAAAAUUUUAAUACUUUAGAAUUUCUUAAAUACAGAAAAGAUUUAAUUUAAAAUUUUAAAUUUAAAUAGUAUUUUUAUAAAAAUUCAUAGUAAAUAAAUAUUUUAUCGUAUUUUAUCAUAAACACUCGGUCUAAAAUAUCAAAUAUUUGAGAUUAAUAAAUAGUUAUAUUAUAUAAUAAUAUGAUCCUGAUUAGAGUUAUAUAUAUAUAUAUAUAUAUAUAUUUAAGAUCCAUGAGUUAAUUUAUUAAAACAUGUAAGAUAUUAAGAUGAUUUGAGACAAUUAAACUAACAUGUUAGCCCGUUUAUAUAUAUAUAUAUAUAUAUAUAUAUAUACAUUUUUUAAUAGCACAAAUAAUAAAUAAAUAUCUUAUUAUAUUUUUUCAUAAUGAAUUGGUCCAAAUAUUCCAUAUUAGUAAAUAUUUAUAGGGUUAUACAAUUAUAAUUAUAGUCUUAUAGGGGUUAGUUUGUCAAAACAUAUAAGAUAUUAAAAAUGAUUUAAGACAACUAAACGGAUGGAUUAGCAAAUUCAUAGAUAUAUAGAUUGUUUAUGUGUAAAUCUAAAUUCAUAUAAUAACAAAGUUUAUAAUUAACAUUAGAUCAAUGUAUACUUAAUUAAUGUAUACUCUUAUUCUACUAAUAUACAAAUUUUACUGUUUAAAAUUAAAAUAUGAUAACAAUUUUUUGAUUUAAAAAAAUAAAUAACAAAAAUAAAUUAUAUUUAAAUAAAAAAGAUAAAGGCAACUUAUAUUAGAAAUAAAAAAUAAAACAUUCACCUGCGGAUGUACGGGGUUAAAAUCUAGUAUUAUAUUAAAACAGAAGCACAUUUAGUACUUGCUUCCAAACACCCCUAAUUUUUUUAAGUAUUUAAAAAUAAUUUUAAUAAUUAUUUAUAUUUAAUUUCGAAAAUUAGUUAUUAAUUUAAAUAUUUUUAGAGUUCCUUAAAUAUAGGUAAUUUAGAUUUGAUUUGAUUUGAUUAAAAAUAAUAAAUCAAAUAUUAAUUUAGAUUUGAUUUAAAGAUUCUAAUUUAAAUAAUUUUUAUACUAUUAAACAUUUUUAUCAAAAAUAUCUAUAAUUUUUUAAAAAAAAUAAUUAACAUAUGAAAAAUAAUGGUCAUAUUUGAAAUAUAAAACAUUUAUAAUGAUGUAAAUGAUAUAAUAUUUAUGUUGCUUAUAUAAUAUAUUUACGAUUAUAAUUUAUUUACAAAUUUAUAAUAAAAUAAUAGGUAAAAUUUAAAUAUAUAAUUUAAAUAUUAAAAAUAUAUUUUAUAAACUUUAUAAAACUAAAAAUAUAUAUAAAAAUCGGGUUAAAAAUAUUUUAGUAACUAAAAUCACUAAUUUUGAAUUAUACAUGUAUAUCGAAAAUAUAUUUUUCAUACAAAAUAAAAACAGAAAAAAUUAAAAAUUAUUGCAUACACUCUAUAAUGUGGUUUGAAAAACCAGUUGUACACUCCCUUCGUUGAUUAAAUUUUAGAAAACUAUAAUGCUAAAUAAUACUUUUAAUACAUCUCAAACUUUUAACAAAUAUUUAUAUUAUACGGUAAUAUGAACGGAAAAGUUAGAAUUAUGUUUUUAUAAUAGUUCAUUUUGAAUUAAUAUUAGCGGACGGUUUAAUAUUAUAUUUUUAUAAUUAUAAUUAAUUUUAAUACUAUAGAAAUAUAUCUAAACACAAAAAUCAAUAUUUUCACUUAUUAAAAAAUAUAUUUAUAAAAAUAAUUAUAUCUAAAAUCAAAAACACAAAUUAUAUUACAAAAUUCGUUAAACAAUAAAAAAUAUUCUUGUGCGGAUGCACGGGGUUAGAAUCUAGUUUGAUCAGUUAAAACAGGUUGAUAAAAAUCUGGAUUAACCCGUGGUUACAAGAACAAAAAACUUCCAAUCUAUUUUUUUUGUUUGUCUAACAAAUUAUUAUAAUUCUUUGUUUGUUGUCAACUAGACUGUAUUAACAUUGGAACGAUAUAGAGAAUGGUACAAUAGUUUUCGAGAUUAUUACGUCAAGCCGGUGAAGAAUAUCGCACCAAACAAAAAACAAUUAAAUCGAAAUCUCGCAUUUUGCGCCAACAAAUAAUAGAUCAUACAAUUGAGAGAAAAGAGAAACAACGUGAAAUUUUAUUCUUAAUGUAACAAACUCAUAGUUCUUUGGUCAUUAAUUCUGCCAUUUUCUUAGUUUGAUUCCCCAUUCUCUAAAUUCCAAGGCUGAUUUAAUUGUUGGUUCGUAUAGUAAAAUCGAGGGUUAAUUUAUGUUGUUCGUUAGUAGUAUACUAGUAUAAGCUCAAAAAAACGGUAAGAGAUUAAUUUUUAAAACGAAGAACAAAACCAUUCACACAUCAGACGGUAAAAUUGUCAUCUUAAUCAAGUUUUAGCAGUUCGUUUCAAACGUAAAGGAAAAAUCUUUUUGUAUUUUUAGAAAUAAAACCACUAUAUAUGUACAAUCAAAAAAUAUUUGUCCUAUUACAUGUGUCUAUCUCAAAGCUGAUGUGUAAGAAACAUGGCACUUUCAAUAAGCCAUGCAAAGUGAAAUGUGUCAACUCCCUUCAUUAAUUAUUACGUUUCGUUAUCAACGUGCAGGUAGAUUUUCUUUUCAAGUGAAGAGCUAAAAUAGUGAUUCUACUAAAUGUAAAUUGUACAUAGUCGACUGAUAUAUAUACCUGGUUAUUAUCUCAAUCAAUUUUUCCUCAAGUUAUUAUCUCAAUCAAUUUUUCCUCAAAACUCUUCAAAACAUUUUUUUUAAUUUAGAGACCCCCUAUAAACUGCUUCACUUAACGCAAGUGUAAGACCAGAAAAACAACAACAUGUAAUUUACGAGCUACAAAAAUGAUUCAUCCUCAAUUUCUUCUAUAUAUAGCAUCGUUUUCUCUUUGGGAACCUCAUGCUUCAAAUCUAUUUUUUUUGUUUAUUUAUCUAUCUCACACAAGUAUAUACUAGAUUGGUAUUUCAUAAUUCUGUAUACAAAGAUGGUGAGAAUGAAAUCAAGAAGAAAAAAUCAAAAACAAAAAUAUCAAUAAAGGUGGGAUCGAUGAUGAAGAAGGGAUCAAAGACCGGUGUAAAUAUGUAAGACAGUUGGAGGUGGUUGUAAGCUUUUAAUUCUUUAUAAACUAUUAUAACAUGUUGGUUUUUGAUUAAUAAGAACAUAAACGGAAACUUAACUUUUAGAUUUACAAUUUAUACUUUGAAUUUAAAAUUGGUUUUUCCUCAACAAAUCUAGAAUGAGUGUCUGAUGAGAUGAGAGAUCGUUAGAGUUGUCAUAGGGACCAUUAUCUCUCUAUUACGUAAAUAAAUAAUUUUUAAUUCAAUUCGUCAUCAAACUAAAAAUUAUUGAAUAUAUUUUCACAUUAAUUUUUCAUAAAAUUUAUGUCUCUAAUUUUUUUUUUAAUACCAAAACAACCACAUAUGUUUUGAUUAUUUUACAUAAUAAUCUAACACAUUAAUUAUACAUGUGUGACUCCAAAUAAUUUUUAUAAUAGUAUUAUCAACAAAUUCUAUUUAGAUUCUGAUCAGUUUUCUCUCUUAUUUUAGUGUUGUUAAUUUCUUCUUCUUCAUUGUAGUUGAGUUUUGUAGUUCCUAUUAUUCUCAAAAUCUUCUACGUGUCGUUUCUUUAGUUUUCUUUUGUAAUCUUUAAUUAUAUAGCUAAAUUUGUUAUUUUAUCUAUUUAUUAUAUUUUCAUAAUUUUGUAUUUCUGUUUCUUCUUUAUUUUUUUGUAUCUACUUUUGUAAUUAACAAUAUAAUUUCUUCUUUAUUGGUUCAUCUUUGAGUUUUGUUAAACAUAUCAACUGCGUGUGAUUCACUGAUUCAUCAUAAUGCAUGUUACAUUGGGAUAAAUGUAAUAUAUAAUUUGAGAUAUCAUUCUCGAGUCUCAUAAGAAGAAAAUGAUUUGGUUAUAGUUUCUUAUGGUGAACCAAAAACCUUUGACGAGAAUUUCAAAAGAAGAAAAAGCUUUCAAUUUGAGAGUUAAUGGCACCUUAAUGUUAGAAUUAUUAAUUAGUUUGCUUUCAUUUGUUACAAAUAGUAGUUUUUCUCUAAAUUAUUGUAAGUAUCACUUUCAAAAUGAUUGUAUGAGCUCCCGAUUCUUAAUUAAAAGUAAAAAAACUAUAUUAUUAUAUUUGCGAUAGAAAAUAUUACAAUCUUCUGAUGAGUUAUAAUAUUAAUGUUUUAUAUCAUCAUCAUAUGUAUUAUAAGCGAAGUAAAAAUUUUGUUUAAAACUCUCCCAUUUAAUUUUAGAGUGGCUAAUUACCCUUUACCCCUCCUUAAAUUAAUUUAAAUUAAUUUUUAUAAAAAUAUAUAUUAAAAAAAUAAAAAUAAUGGUUUAAAUUAAGUUAACAAACCAUUAUCAUACCGUAUAUUAAAAAAAAACAAAAACAAUGGUUUAGGGUUUAAAAAACAAAUACUUGGCGGCUAAUUACUCUUUACUCCUUCUUAAAUUAGUUUAAAUUAAGUUUUAUAAAAAUAUAUAUUAAAAAAAACGAAAAUAAUGGUUUAAAUUAAAUUAACAAACCAUUAUCAUACCAUAUAUUAAUAAAAAAAAAUCCAAAAACAAUGGUUUAGGGUUUAAAAACAAAUACUUUUCCCUUAAAGAGACUGCAGAGUAAAGUAUCUGUGAUUCUUCUGAAUACUAAACUUCCCUGAAGGGCAACAACGAUUGUAUCUGGAUUUCUUCUGGUAUUGUUCUUUUUUAAAUAAAGUCAUACAAGUGUUGCAAGUUGCAGCAGAAGUAAUUAAUUUUCAGACAAACUUUCUUUCGAUGCCAAGAUUCAUGUUUUUUUUAAAAAAAAGCUUGUCUUGGACCAGUUUGACUGCCGAGAAAACUGUGAAAUGAGAAAAAAAAAAGUGAUUUAGGAUUUCUUUAAAGCCAAGGCGAGAGACAAAACGUCAAUAGGUUAAAUUACACAAAUGAUCUCUAAAUCAUUUUGCAGGCCUAUAAGCUUCUAACAGAGGACAAGCUAGCGUAUAUUCUGGAGUUGAUCUCACAGUUUUUCCAGGUUUUAAGCUUCUGUAAUCAUACGAUCAAAUCAAGGGGAAUAAAGGGAAAAGCUGUUGAAUCAGAAAUUAGCUUCGGUUUCCAAAGUUGAUCAACAACCCAUCAGAGAAAAAGAGUUGAAAAAAAAUUCAAAGAGAGAAGUUAACAAAAUUGGUUGAACAAAAAUAAAACUUUCAACUGUUCAACAUUCAAAUUAAGAGAAUAUAUUUUUUGUUCCCACUUGGUGGGCGUCUUUUGACAAACAAGAGAGAGCGAGAGUGAUAUAUUAAAUUGUGUCUUAUCUAUGAUGACCGACAAAACCAUUAGUUUUCAUGGAGUAUUUUCAACUGGGAAAAUGCAAAGAAAAAGUGAGAGACACUAGAGAGGGAGAGAGAUAGAUGGUCGAAAAAUAAGUAAUAGUCGAAGUUUUAUAGCCACAAAGUCGUGGCCUUAAGCUCCACGGGAGGGAAGAAGAAUGAAGUACACAGAGGUAAUCGGUGAAUCCUUUCUCUGGCCAAUUACACAGAGGUGAUCAGUGUAUCAUACCAAGGAGACUUGGUUCCCAAGGAAAAUGAAAAUAGCCAAAGCUUCCACUUUCCUUUCUGGUUGCUAGAGAUUUUUGUAGCCGAUAUUAAAUUUAUAACAAUGUGCAACGAUUAAAAACACAUGUCCAGUUCUAAUUCUUUGGCUAAUCUAUUAUAUGAUCGAUAUAUUGUAUAAAUCUUCUAUAAAAAGUUUUUUAGUUUGCAUGAUGAUAUAUAUAACGGAAGGAAGAAGAGUGUUGUGGUGCACUUUUUCUAUUAAUAUAUAGGUUCAUCUUUUUCUAUUAAAAUACCCAAAUAAAAUGAAAUCCAAGCUAAACUAUAGGAAAGGUUCAUCUUUUUCUAUUAAUAUGUUUGGAAUUACAAAAAAUAUCUCCAAAACAUUAAAAAGAAAAUAAAGUAUAAGAAACCGAAGAAGAAAGAAAACCUAGCAAAUUUUGCCACAGAUAACAACCUUAGACGUUGGCAGCCUGAUUGGAUUCGGUUGCGACAUAUUACUUUGGUCGAGUGAAUUUCAUGGACAACAAAGAUGGUUUGGAUGUGGUAACAUGAAUCUGUUUUUAGGAUUUUAGGUUACGUUUAGUAGAAUUUCAUGUACACGUGAUAGGAAAAGUUACCUAGCUUCACAGUGGGUCUUGUGUUUAACUACAUAACUUUUGAGGAAAUUGUUUUAAAAGUUUGUGUGAGAGGGAGGAAGAGAGAGAGACGUAAAGAGAGAAGUAAAAGCCUUUAAAGACAUAUAGAUCUGGAUAGACAUAGUGAGUGAUGGAGGGAAUGAGUGAGAGAGAGGGAUAGAGGGAAUGAGUGAGAGAGAGAGAGAGAUGGAGGGAAUGAGUGAGGGAGAGGGAAAGAGGGAGCAAUGGAGAGAGGGAGCGAAAGAAAGGUGAAGCGCAAGAAGAAAAAUGCAUGAAAGACAAUGAAGACAAAGUAGAAGAAGGUAAAAAUGAGGAGAAAUACAAGAAAAAAAAGACAAAGAUGGCAAAGAAGAAAAAUCAAACAAAGAAAGAAAACGAAGAAGUCACAUUUAUCUUAAUUUAGUUGGUUAUAUGUUUCAUACACUUAUUUACUAUUAUUUUUUUGGUUUUUAGUUUUGGAUGGUGUUUACUUAGGAUUAGUUAUAUUUUUGAUCUCGUAUGUCUUAAAUGGGUUAUUCUAAUUUACAACUUUUAAAGUUUUUUUUAACGUUUUUGAAGAUUUUCGGCCUGCGCAAGACGCGGGCUAAACAACUAGUUGAAAUUACAAAAGAAAAAAUAUGUAUAAUAAUUUGGAUAAUGAUUUUUAUGAUCAAACUGAUAAAAGAAAACAUAAAAAUGUUUUCAAAACAGAAGUUUAAUUUUGGUCGGAAUUAGAAGAGAGCGAAGGCGAUGAUGAGAGUGAUUUCUAUGAUCUCUAAUCAAAAUUUAUUGAUUCUUUCACACUGCUACUUUUGAUUUGUGUAUUCUAUGGCCAUCGAUUCAAUGAUGAUGGUUCGGUUUGUAACUGUCAUCUUCCCUCUCGUGUUCCUCAUUUUCCUUCGAGGUAACAGUCUCUUCUCUCAAAGUAGCCUUCUUCCGGAGAUAAUGAUCAUGUCUCCAAUGCAAUAACGUGUUUAAUCACGAUGGAAAAGAGAAACUUGAUCACGUACGGAGAAAACGGUUUUCCAUAACCGUUUUUCUUCUUCAACAAAUUUGUUCGAUGAUUGUUGCAAACUAGAGAUUUUCAACCACUUUUCUUUGUUGGAAUUAGUCGCCAACGAGUUAUAUGUUCUCAUCCUUCUAGCUUUGCUUUGGAAACAACCACCAUGAAAACCACUAUGGAGAUGGUGUGUUAGAGUCGGAGAGGCCGAAGAUGAUGGACAAUCACAAGUUUGUCUUAAUUAUUGGCGAAUUUGGGAUUUAAAUUCAUCUUUUUCUGAUGAUUUUACUUUGUCGGAUAUAGCAUUAUUAUGGGAACAACUACCAUGAAAACCACCAUAGAAGGGACGAAGUUUUGAAGCAGAAGAUGCAAACUCUUUGUUGUAUAGUGAUAUUCGUAGAGUCGUUGAAAAUUGGCAAUCUCAAGUAUUUUUUUUGAAAUAAUCAAUAAAUUGUGUUUUUUUUAAAGAAUAAUUUUAAUUUCUAUUUGGGAAUGUGUCAAUGACAUACAACAGAGAAAAAGAUAGAUCAUAACCAACGAAAUCGCAUCAGAUCAAAUGUGAUUAUAAGGAAAGAAAGUAUGGACAUUCUCCCAGCAAGAAAAACUCAGAGAAAUGAAACACUGAAAUUCAUCUUCAUUAUUUUAUUGUUGUAUAUGUUUAUUCCUAUGUAUUGUUGCUUUUAUGUAAUUUGAUUUCAUAUAAAUAAAGAUAGAUGUUUUUUUAAAAAAAAAGAAAACAUAAGAAUCUCAUUGCAAUUGGUCUUCCUCUGCACUUCCGUCUGAUCCAUGUCAUUUGACGAGGACGACGACAAAACCUUCGAGGACACCCUUCUCGUUGUGCCCGAGGUCUCCGUCUACAAAAUCCCACCGCUAACCUCAUACGGCGGCUACAAAUGUGGCGAAUGGCUCCAAUCCGAUAAGUCUGGUCAGUUGUCUCCUUGUCGUAUCUUGCAAGGACUGCUGCAAGAUCCGCCUCGAGGAUCCAAUCUCUGGUGAUCUCUUUGUCGCUUGUUUUGUUGAUAACGGCCGGUGAGAUAACUCCGUCGAGCCAUGUUUGGAUUCGUCGAGGUACUUCGUCCUGAGGAUCGAGGACGAUCACGGGAAGCAUGCGUUCGUUGGGGUAGGGUUUGGGGAGAGGAACGAGGCGUUUUAUUUCAAUGUUGCUUUUUCGGAUCAUGAGAAGUACGCUAGGAGGGAGAAGGAGAAGGAGAUUGGGGAAGCAAGUGAGAGCGAUGAUCAUAUUGAUAUUCAUCAUGCUGUUAACCACAAGUUGAAGGUGAAAUUGAAUCUCUUCUUAAAUUAAGCCUUUGAAAAAAUUAUGAUACGAUCAAUGCAUAAUAUGGAGAAUCAAGAUUUGUUAAAAGUAGCUUUGAUCAGAAAAAUUUGUGGGGUUGCAUUGUUUGCAGUGUCUGUUUUACUAUGGAUCGUGUCAAAGACUACAUUGUUUAGAUUGAAUAAUCAGAGAAACAUGUUGUUGUUAGUGAAAUGGGAGAAUCUCAUAGGUUAAAAGAUAAUGACCUUUUGAUCUUGUUGAAUUUUUGUUGAGAAUUUAGUGAAUUAUUAGUUGUGGAAUCAAAUUACUGUUGCUGGAAUGGAAGAUAUGACUCAAGUUCAGCUAAGAGGAAUCAAGAAUUGUUCAUAGGUUAUUGUUAUAAGUAGCUAUGAUCAGAAAAGUUCUUGGCUUGCAUCGUUUGAAUUGUGGGGUUUACUUAUAUUAAAACCUGGGAUUGAGUAAAAAACUACAUAUGUGGAUUGAAUAAUCAGAGAAACAUGUUGCUCCUUGUGAAAUGGGAGAAUCUCAUAGGCUUGUUUUGAUAAUUGUUUUCUAACUGAUUCGUAGUCUUUUAGUCAAUAGAUUAAAAGACAAUGACCUUUUGAUCUUGUUGGAUUCGUGCUCAGAAUACUAUGGUUGUGGAAUCAAAUUGAUGUUACUGGGAUGGAAGAGAUGUAUCUCGGGCUGACUAUCAUGAGAUUAACAUUCAUAAUUACAUUUCCACUUUCGGGUAAAUGACAGAAAAUUAAUAGCACAUUUGCUCUUCUUAUACUAUUGUCUAGUUUGUGUGGUCAUAUCACUGUUCUGGAAUCAAACAAGAAGUUCCUCUCAGUUUGACAAGUGUUUAUAACAGAAUCUGAAUAACCUAAAUGCUGAUUAUUCUUUUCUUCUUAUGUUUUUGGUGUUAAGGAAAGUGAAACCAUUAGAAUCAAUGUGAAGCCGAAACCAACGACCAGUGGAACCGCAAUGCUCUCAACCACUCUUUCAGGUAAUGGGAAACCUAAACAGCUAGCGCUUGCACCACCACCAGGCAGCACUGGCAAAACCAUAUCGCUUUUACCACUGCCUCCAAAUGAUUCCAAAACCACGAGGAUAACAUCUGUUGGUUGUAAAGAAUUAAAUGAGAACUCAAGAUCCCAUACCGAUCCACUCUCUGAUUUUUCUCAGCUCAAGGUUCUCUUAAUUGCAUUUUUUUCAAGCAGCCUCAUUUUGUAUAUAUACUGUUUUGUAGUUCUCAAUAACUUUGUCCAUUGUUCUUUAGAGAAAUCUUCCUUCAACCAAUUCCACAGAAGCUGCAUUCGGAUGGGCUGUGUUAAGAAAAACGCUCGAUUUUAUUAGCACUCAAAGAAAAGGAAUACAAGAUCGAUUCGGGACUGAGACUCUCAGUUACCAAAGCGACCUAAAACGAAAUCAAAUCUCAAGAACAAGCUCAAGAGAUUCGCCCAUUUGCAGAGAACAAAUUCUCAUACAACCAAAUCAACAAAACAAUCCAUAAAACUCAACUAACAAACAAAAUAUCUAUUUAUACUAUCUCUUCUCUAACCACUUCAGUCAACGCCUUCUUCCACGUCACCGAACGACCCUGUUUGACCAACUGCCAGCUCAACGUCUUCUUCCACGUCACUCAACGACUUCGUUUGAUCAUUUGUUAGCUCUUGCUCCGUUUCUCUUCUUUGAGCUAUCUCUUUCUUCUUCUUCUUAGUAAUGUAGAUCCUCAUCGGUCUCUUAUCAAUACCCUCCCCUUUCACAUGAAGCUUGUCCUCAAGCUUCGAAUCAGGAAACUGCUGUAAUAACAUCGUUGCUCAUUCCCAAGAACAUUCGUGGUCCGGUAAACCUUUCCAACGAACUAAAGCCUCCAAAUAUCCUUCUUCGUCGUAUCUGGUGUCCAAUACCUCAGCCGGUUCAAUCACAAACUCAUCAUUGGCUGAUAAACCUGUUGGUAAAUCUGAGACCAUAUGAUUCUCGCCUAAGACAGGUUUUAACUGAGAAAUGUGGAAUACAUUGUGAAUCCUUGAGUUUUCUGGAAGAUAUAGACGAUAGGCAACAUUUCCCACACGCGCCACAAUCUCAAAUGGGCCGUAAUACCGCGCAGCCAGCUUCUGACAUACACGCCGAGACACAGUUUGUUGUCUAUAUGGUCUAAGCUUCAAGAAGACUCUAUCACCCACAUUAAACUCCAGUUCACGGCGUUUUUUAUCUGCAUUAUUCUUCAUCCGAGCUUGAGCUAGUAAGAGAUGUUCCUUGAUCUCACGAAGCAUUGCGUCUCGUUGUUUUAACAUCAUUUCUAACUCAAAAUUGGCCGUUGAACCAGUUUCAAACUUGAGAAUAGACGGAGGUGAACGCCCAAAUACCACUUGAAAAGGAGUUGUGCCUAAGGAAGUGUGAUGGUUGGUGUUAUACCAUAACUCAGCCCAGGCCAAAAAUUUGUACCAUACUUUGGGAUGUGCCGAUGUGAAACAUCUGAGAAAAGUUUCCAAACAGUGAUUCAGAACUUCAGUUUGACCGUCUGUUUGAGGGUGAUAAGCGGUACUGAACUUCAACUUCGUUCCCGAUAACCUAAACAUCUCACGCCAAAAUGUGCUCAGAAAUAUCUUGUCUCUGUCCGAUACUAUAGACCCUGGGAAGCCAUGUAGACAGACUAUUUCUAUGAUGAAUUUCUGAGCCACAUUUGUUGCGGUAUAAGGAUGCCUUAAACCAAUGAAGUGAGCAAAUUACUCAGGCGAUCCACAACCACUAGUAUCACAUUUGACCCUUGAGAUAGUGGUAAUCCCUCGAUGAAAUCCAUCGAUAUAUCCUCCAAAAUUUUUGUUGGUACCGGUAAGGGCUGCAGCAAGCCUGCCAGAGCAAGUGUGGAAUAUUUAUGUUUUUGACAUACCCCACAAUCAGAUACAUACUUCUGUAUGUCUUCAUUCAUCUUCUUCCAAUAAAAAUUCUGUUGGAUUCUUCUCAGUGUUUUUAAAACACCUGAAUGACCACCAAACACAUCAUCGUGAAACGUUUGAAGAAUAACCGGAAUAUAAACUGAUCUUUGCGGAAGAACGAGUCUACCCUUGUACAACAGUCUUCCCUCUACCACUUUGUAUUUGUCUUGAGUCGAAUUUUCUGCAAUCACUUUCUGUUUUAAGAUUUGUAAGUCCUCGUCGCCUUCUACUUCCUUUAGAAUAUCUUGGAGUUGGAGACUUGUUGGUACAGUCAAGGACAGUAACUGACUUGAAGAGGCCAUGAUUGUCUCAGAAUGUAUUCGAGAAAGACCAUCUGCGGCUCUGUUGUCGAUACCAGGUUUGUAAAUGAUUUCAAAGUCAUAUCCCAACAACUUGCUUAACCAACGCUGGUACUCCAUCGAAACAUCACGCUGAUCCAACAAAAACUUCAAGCUUUUUUGAUCCGUGUGAAUUAUGAAUUUUCUGCCAAUCAAAUAAUGACGCCAUUUCUGAAUGGCUAGCAUGAUCGCCAUUAGUUCACGUUCGUAUAUUGGUUUAAUCUGGUCUCUGUUGGAUAAACCAUGGCUAAAGUAAGCGAUGGGGUUCCUCCCUUGCAUCAAUACUGCUCCAAUGCCGUAUCCCGAUGCAUCCGACUCAACUAUAAAAGUUUCAUUGAAGUUUGGAAGAGCAAGUACUGGUGCGUUCAUCAUGGCUUCUUUUAGCUGUUCAAAAGCGACUUGAGUUUUGUUAUCCCACUCGAAGUUAUCUUUUUUUAACAGAUCAGUCAACGGUCUUGCAAUUGUGUCGUAGCUUCGGACAAAUCUUCUAUAAUAACCAGUGAGACCCAAAAACCCUCGGAGUUCCUUUACUGUCUUAGGCACUGGCCAUUUCUUCAUUGACUCUGUUUUUGCUGGGUCGGUAGCAACUCCUUUACUUGAAAUAACAUGUCCGAGAUAUUCCACUUUGUUUUGACCGAAUAAGCACUUCUUUUUGUUAGCCAAAAGUUGUUGUUGGACAAAUAUAUCCAAUACCUUUUGUAAAUGAGAAUCAUGUUCUUCCAUCGAUGAACUAAAGACCAGUAUAUCAUCAAAAAAUACUAGCACAAACUGGCCAAGAAAUGGACGAAAUAGGGCAUUCUUGAGUGACUGAAAUGUUGCCGGUGCAUUACUUAGUCCAAACGGCAUCACUAAGAACUCAUACUGACCAUUAGAAGAUCUGAAAGCUGUUUUCUCAAUAUCUCUUUUUUCCAUUCGAAUCUGGUGAUAUCCUGACCUUAAAUCUAGUUUCGAGAAAAUCUUUGCUCCGUGUAGUUCAUCCAGCAAUUGAUCUAUCAUAGGUAUUGGGAAUUUGUCAGGCACGGUUAUCUUGUUCAGAGCCCUGUAGUCGAUGCAAAAUCUCCAGGAGUCAUCCUUCUUCUUAACCAACAAUACAGGACUUGAGUAGGGACUUCGACUUGGACGAAUUAUCCCAUCUGAUAACAUCUUGGACACAAGCUUUUCCAUCUCUUCCUUAUAGGCUUGUGGAUACCUAUAUGGACGCACACUUAUUGGUCCAGCUCCUGCAAUCAAGUUGAUGGCAUGUUCGUGACCACGAAUCGGAGGAAGCUGUGUAGGUUCAGCAAAAACUUUCAAAUACUUUCCCAAUAAGUGUUCAAUGGGUUCCGGAAUUACUUGAGUUUCUUCUUCCUUUUCGAUUCGAAAUAAUUCCAUGUCAAAGCCCACUGAGUGAUGGAUCUGCUUCAGAGAACUUUUGCUACUAUGGAGAGAUGGGUCACCAACGAGUUUCACAAUCGCUCCCCCAUGAUUAAAAGAAAUCUUGUGGUUUUUCCAAUCCAUUUCACAUUUCCCUAAUGUCCUGAGCCAUUGUACUCCCAAGAUAAUGUCGUUAUUUCCCAAUUCUAGUACAAUAAAGUCGGCCCUGAAGUCAUUACCCUGUAGGUUGAAUGAUACAUCUCUGCAAAUGCCCGUUCCUUGGGCUGUGAUGCCAGUACCUAACAAGAUUUCCAAUCUUUUGUUACGUACCGGUUGCAUUCGCAAUUUGAUCACUGUCCCCGUAUCUAUGAAGUUAUGCGUGGCACCACUAUCGAGCAUUACAAUCACCCUUGUUUUACCAAUUGUACCCCACAGUUUUGUAGUCGUUGGUGAUGACAACCACAAAUAUGAGAAUAAUGACAAUUCCAUGAGUUCCAUCCUGUCCUCUGUAUCAUAUUCUACGAAAAUGAGUCCUUCCUCAUCUAAAAGUUCCACUUCUGUUUCGUUAAUCACUGUUAAAACCCUCAGUUCCUUGUUUGGACAUUUGUGUGUCUUUGACCAUUUUUCCUUGCACUUGUAGCACAAUCCCAAUCUCUUAUAUUCUUCAAAUUCAGCUUGUGAUAAUUUCCUCACUAACUGACCGUUUUGCUGAUUCUUCCACGGUUGUCUAUCCGUGGUACCCGAACUACUGGUCUGAGCUCUCACAACCUGAUUUUCCUGACCUUUAACCCCUUCUCUGAUGUAGUCUUGGUUUUGUUUCUCACCAUAUACCCGAUGUGAAUUAUAUAUAGACGAUGAGCGUAAUGGCGUGUAGGCUGUUCGUCUACUUUGGUUCUGGUUCGAUGCUGAUGCCAUAGAUGCACAAAAGGCACUGUCGUUCAUACGAAUCACCGCAUGAAAAUGUUCCGUUAAUGUUUUCGGUUCCUUCAGCUUGAUUACCUCUUGCAUUUCUGGUUUUAGCCCUACGUAAAAAACGUGCAUCAUAUUAUCCUCAUCCACACCCUUGACUAUUGUCGAUAAUUCUUCGAAUUCAUUCACAUAAUCCACAAUCGAUCCUGUUUGCUUCAUGCUAAACAAUCUCUUCGCCGGAUUUUCUUCUAACUUCACACAGAAUCUUGCGAUCAACCUUUCUUUGAACUGUUUCCAACUUCUGAAUUCUUGUUUCUCUACCUCUCUGUUAAACCAGUUCAGAACCGGACCUUGUAAACUGAUCGACAUCAGAUCCAACCUCUCUGCAUCAUUGUAAUUCCCCAAUCGGAAGAAUCUUUCAGCUAGAACUAACCAACCGUAUGGUCGAUAUCCCUCGAAUACCGGAAGUUCUAUCUUCUUCAACAUGCCAUUCCUGUUUUCUAAUACAUUGCUAAUUCCCCGAUAACCUAGAGAUUGAUUAUCCCGGUUGAGUUCCAAAUCUAUUGGACUAACCUGAUUCGCUGUUCCGGAGGAUGAUGCAUGUUGUUUCCCCUGAGCUUUAUCGUUGAACUGAUUCACUUCCAUACGAGCUAGAGUUUGCGAAAUCGAGUUGAUAUUUUUGUCAACUGAUUUGCUGCUCAAUUUUUGAAACUCGCGAUGUGAUUUCGUCGUUCGCCGAUGUUAGCCGCUCCCAACCUCCACGGAUAAUCUCGACUUCCUGAUUUAGCUCGGCAAAUGAUUCCUGGAGCUCUGACGCAGUUCGAUCGAGAUCCACCGAUGAUUGAUCAAAUUCCACCAUCUUCGUCGCUAUGCUCGCUGCUUCACCGCACCAAAUGUUAAGGAAAAUGCUCGAUUUUAUUAGCACUCAAAGAAAAGGAAUACAAGAUCGAUUCGGGACUGAGACUCUCAGUUACCAAAGCGACCUAAAACGAAAUCAAAUCUCAAGAACAAGCUCAAGAGAUUCGCCCAUUUGCAGAGAACAAAUUCUCAUACAACCAAAUCAACAAAACAAUCCAUAAAACUCAACUAACAUACACAAUAUCUAUUUAUACUAUCUCUUCUCUAACCACUUCAGUCAACGCCUUCUUCCACGUCACCGAACGACCCUGUUUGACCAACUGCCAGCUCAACGUCUUCUUCCACGUCACUCAACGACUUCGUUUGAUAAUUUGUUAGCUCUUGCUCCGUUUCUCUUCUUUGAGCUAUCUCUUUCUUCUUCUUCUUAGUAAUGUAGAUCCUCAUCGGUCUCUUAUCAGGCUGCUUUCUGAUCACCGGUGAAUAAUUUUUUUUGACGGUCUUUGGAGGCUUCAUAUACUUACAAUAGAGGCAUUGAGACAAAUGCCAUAGACACUAAGACAAGUUUGUUAAAUCAGAGCUAAGAAGUUAAAAAUAGUUUGUGUUUUUGGUAAAUUGAUCUCUUUAUUUCCUGAGACACGAAUAUUUCUUGUUGUAAUCUUUCCUCGCUUCUUCUUAAUAUUAUAGAAUAAAAAAGAGAAAGAAUUAAAGAGAUAAUCUUACUUUGUGGGCGGAUCAAAUAGAUUUAUUAGUUAAGAUUACUCAUCGACAUCUUUCAAAAUUAUGAUCAGUUAUCGGUUCGCUUCUUCGUGUUUUUUCAAAUUUUUUCUAAACUGACAUACAAUAUAAACAUUCACGAAAAUAUAAUUCCAAACCAAAGAAUCAAAGCAAAUCGAAUUAAUUGAACUAAUAGAAAUUAACCAAAAUUAUCGGAUUUAACUGGAUUUCAACACUAAAAAAAAACCAAAAAUUUCGGUUAGUUUCGGUGAAUUGAAAAAGAACCGAAUAAACCGAUAACUGAAUCAAACUGUAAAAUUUUCCGGUUAUUUUCGGUAAGAUUUCUUGAGAUCUGAACUAACUGAAAAAACGGACUGGUUCAGUUUGUCUUAGAAGACAUCAUCUGUUCGAGUCAGUACGCUGUCUUUUUUAUUAUUUGUCGGUAAGCAACAUUCACUGACGUGGCAGCCUUCUGCUGGUUAAACGUAUGACGAUUAACGAAAGACUAAUAAAGUAUGUAAAUCUAAUGGACAGAGAAGUGCGCGACGUGGCAAAAAUCUGAUGGCUUAUCAGGUCUACGUUGAAAACGGAACGUAUUUAAACAACGACAGAUUUAACCGGAGGAGGGAAAAUCGCCGGUCACCGAGUAACAACAACACUCACAUCUCUCUUUCUCUCUCUGAUUGUUUUGAUUUCUCAGAAAAUGGCGGAGAAAGAUGCGACGCCGAGAAGCGACGGCAACAAUGACGGUGCGAUUAGGGUUUGCGGGAUGCAGUUUUCUUACGAAGCCCAGGAUUCUGUUUUCUUCGAUUUCAACCUCGAUCUCCCCGCCGGAUCUCGUUGUCUCUUGGUUGGUGCCAAUGGAUCUGGUAAAUUUUCGUUUUUUCUUCGUUUUUGGGUAUCCCGAUUUGCAAUUUUGCAGUUUCUGCUUCCAUGAAUCUGACUAGAUCGAUUUUUGUAGUUAAAGAUUCGAUUUUUAAUGCUUUUCUUGAUAUUAUAUGACUAUGAAAUCAAACACAUUUGCGAAAUGCAAAAUUUGUAUAUCAUUCGUGUGAUUCUGUUUGUUUAUUGCUCGAAUUCAAUAAAAUCGAGGUUUUCUUCGUCGAAUUCAGCUUUUAGUUUGCUCAAUAACUCUGUAAUUGACAUAAUUUUUGUUUUGUUUUGUAAUGGCAGGGAAGACGACUUUAUUGAAGAUUUUAGCUGGGAAGCAUAUGGUUGGAGGGAAGAACGUUGUACAAGUUCUGAAUCGGUCAGCUUUUCAUGAUACACAGCUUGUUUGUAGUGGUGACUUGUCUUACCUUGGAGGCUCAUGGAGUAAAACCGCUGGUUCUGCUGUGAGUUUAAACACCUUGCAAGAGUCUUGACAUUAACACCAGAUUCUAUAUACAUGUUUUUUGUUUCUAAUUUUCUUGGAUUUUUCUUUUUUUAGGGUGAGAUUCCUCUUCAGGGAGACUUCUCAGCAGAGCAUAUGAUAUUUGGAGGUUGUCUUCUCUGUCUUAGCAUGCCAGUUUUUGGUUUCUUCUUCCUUAUGCUUAUAUAUAUAUAUACUCAGGGAGAUGUUUGUGUUUUUGUAUGAAGCAGUUGAAGGGAUUGAUCCUGUGAGAAGAGAGAAGUUGAUUGAUCUUCUUGAUAUCAAUCUUCAAUGGCGUAUGCACAAGGUUUCUGAUGGGCAGAGACGCCGAGUUCAGAUAUGUAUGGGUCUUUUACAUCCAUUCAAGGUAAGUAGAUUUUGAUUCUGUGAUAUCUGAAAACUCACCAUCACCAUGGUCUCUUUCUGAUCUUUAGAUUGUAAUGAGAUUUGUGAUUUUCAGGUAUUAUUACUGGAUGAGGUUACUGUGGAUCUCGACGUUGUUGCUAGGAUGGAUUUGUUGGAAUUCUUCAAAGAAGAAUGUGAACAAGUAAGCCAUUUACUGAUUCAGUCUUAAAGCACAUUUUCACAUAGCAUAUGUAUACAUGGAUUAUGCAUAAACAUACAGGGGCACAAGCUUUUUCAUUUUGGUACUUGUUGCGUCUUUGUGGUCCGGUUUUAAGCUCCUGAUGUGGAAUGAUUACAAGUAAUACACCUUAUGUCUUGAUAUGAACUUAACCUUAGAACGGUGACACAUCAAGAUUAUUACUUCUCAUACGUUUAGAGGUCUCUAUGAGCUUAUGGUUAGAAACAUGGAAAUGCUGAUUUUGUUUUUUGAUAAAUGACCAGAGAGGAGCAACAAUUGUGUAUGCAACUCAUAUUUUCGACGGACUAGAGACGUGGGCUAGUCAUCUAGCGUACAUUCAUGGCGGGGAGCUGAAACUCUCGGCCAAGCUAAACGAGAUCAAGGAUUUGAAAACCUCACCAAACUUACUCUCUGUGGUUGAGUCGUGGCUUCGCUCUGAAACCAAUGUCGAGAAGAAGACCAAGAAGAAACCUGUUGUUACCUCUCCAUUUAUGUCGUCUAGACAAAUGGCUUAUUACCGAUGAAUCAUCGUAACAUCAAUCUUUGAGACAAUCAGUAAAAGAAUAAGAGCAGUUCCCAUUUGUCAUUGUUAACUUUGUUGCCCUUUAAUACUCUCAUUCUAAUCUAUGAUUUAAAUUAAGAUGUCACAAAUUUUGGUUGUGAUUUUGUUCAAUCUUUUAAUCUUCACACCUACUCAAGAAAAAGGCAAUCUUGCGUAAUCAACAAAGAUGAUUUAAAUCUCAACACGAGUAAAAACAAUAUCUAAAACACUCUAAACCCGGUUUUGGUUUUGCUCGUAAGAAAAUAAAAUAAAAAAUGUAUAACAAAAAAAUUAAAAACAUUAUUGCCAAAACAUGAUUUAAAAGUCUGUUAAAAUAAGCCUUGUUGUAUUCUACCAUAACGCACUAGUGCAUUCUUUUACUGCGGUAUGCAGAUUCUGUUCCGUUUUCGCCUUGUUGGGGUUGCUUUGAUAUUGUUUUCUUCUUUGUGGCAGAUUGCUAAGAAAACUGUUGUUUGUUGCAUCUCUUUAGUGAAUCUGGUCCGAUUGGACUUUCAUAGUCUUAAUUUCUCCAUUUUGGAGUCUUUUCUCCUCCCAAAUAUUUCACUUGUUUUGAGUGUUACAGAGAGCAUUAUCUUGAAGGUUGUUCUGCUUAGAACAGGCACGAAGAUGUUAAUUGUCUUUCGUUUAGCACUUGAUGUUGUUGACGAUUUAGCAUUAACGCCACCGGAAGCUUGGAUCCCUCCUUUUUGUGGUUUCAUCGAUCAAGACGGUCAAGCAAAAGAAGUUUUCUUUUUGCGCUGCCUUUGUUUAGAAGCUACUUGGGUUGAGCUUAUGAACUCCCCUUUAUCUGUAUGUCUCUCUUUGAAUUGUUAUUGUUGUUUAAAUUUUACUAUUACCUCGACCAAUCUGUGGGUCGUUGGUUUGGUUUGUUUGGCUCCAUGUAGCCUUGUGUAUCCUCUACUAAGUAGAGGCAAAACUCAUUUGAUUUGAAUGCAAACUUAGUUCGACCAAAAAAAAAGUCUGUUAGAGUAUGUUGCGCUUAACCUCCCAAAAUUCAGAACAAAAUUUUGUUUUGUUGCUCUCUUCUGUUCUUAAUCCUCUGAUUAAAUUCUUUUUGUUUCGUACACUAACCUUAAUCAGGAUAUUAUUGUUAAUUUUAUCCGACUGUACAAUUAUUAAAACCAAACCAAAAAACAAAUUUUUCUUUUCUAGAGGAAAAAACACAAAGGCGACAGACAAAAAUGUCCCAAAUCUCCAUUUCCUCUCGUCCCUCUUUCUUAGUUUCGUCGUAUUAAAUUACCCAAAUUCCUUUUCUCUGUUCUACGAAACCUCGAUUUUCUUGCCCAGUUUCCGAGUCAUGUCCAUCUAAAAUUUUGCGCUUUUCGUUUUUAAUUGCUCUCGAAUUAGCUCGAUUCCUAAAUCUGAGGUUUUUUUUUUUUUCAUUGGCUUAAUCAAUUCGGCGUUCAAUUUGCAAGCAAUUCGGUCUCCUUUCGAUGAACUGUUUGGGAUUCCGAUUUUAUGAUUUUGAUGGUGGGUUUGAUUUUUGAAGCAAUGAAGAUGAGUUUAUGGCGAAUUGGUUUGCUGGAAUCUGGUUUUUGAUGUUCCAUUACAAUAAUGGAUCUCUGAAGACUUUUUUUUCGAUGUUAAACUCGUGAAUCUGAGGAUUGUCGUCGAGGGUAAAUCUCUUUGGAAAACAGAUCCAGGAGCAAAUUGAGGAAGCGUCUGAUAUUUGAUUUUGGAAUUUGAGGGUCUUUUUUUUUUUGGUUGGUAAAGAGAUUGGAGAAGAUGGAUCUUGUGAUCGCUGGGAAAUUCAAGCUUGGAAGGAAAAUUGGUAGUGGAUCAUUUGGAGAGCUUUAUCUAGGUAGGUGAAAUGAGGACGAAUCCGUUUUUUUUUUUGGAAAUUUAUUUCUAUAUAAGUUUUAGGGUUUACGUAUUGUUUGAGCAUUUUUGCAGGUGUGAAUGUCCAAACAGGAGAAGAAGUUGCUGUCAAGCUGGUAAAGAUUUACCACUUUUAACAACACUUGAAUCUUUAAAUGCAUUUGUUUCUUUUUUUGGAUAAUGCAAAUGCAAAUGCAGAAAAGAAAAAAUUCUUUUUUAGUUCAAUUGCGAUUUUCAUGUGAUGCUGUCUGUAAAAAUUCUUUUUUUUCACAUGAAGACGAUGAGGAAUCACUUUCUUGUUUCAUUCGCCAUUUAUGUGACCUUGUUGUGUCCUUUGAUUCUGCUUCUCUACUUUUUUUUUAUAACUAUCAUUUUGCCUUUUUUUUCUCAGGAAUCUGUGAAGACCAAGCAUCCCCAACUUCAUUAUGAGUCAAAGUUGUAUAUGCUGCUUCAAGGAGGAAGUAAGUGUCACUUUACACUAGAAUUAUAGGCUUCUGUCUAUUGUGUAUGCUUCUUCUGCUUUGUGGGUGAUCAAGUAUAUUCUGUGUAGACAGGCUUUUAUUAAUUUUACAUUUCGUUCUGGUUGCAUUAUUAUUUUGCAAAUAACUAAGACAGUUUCUUUUUUGUUUUUCUUUCUCCCUGAAGCUGGUAUUCCGAAUCUCAAGUGGUUUGGAGUGGAAGGUGAAUACAGCGUAAUGGUUAUUGACCUUCUAGGUCCUAGUCUUGAAGAUUUGUUUAACUACUGCAAUAGGAAGUUCACCUUGAAAACUGUUCUCAUGCUUGCCGACCAGUUAGUGAGUAUAUUUAUCUUGCUAGUUGUUCUGUUCGCUGAGUUUAAUGACUUUGUUCGUAACGGAAGAGUAUCUGUGUUCUCUGUUUACGUUUCAGCUUAACAGGGUUGAAUUUAUGCAUACUCGAGGUUUCCUUCACCGUGAUAUAAAGCCUGAUAAUUUUUUAAUGGGACUUGGACGCAAAGCAAACCAGGUGCUAAAAUAUAUCUUUAUGGUGCUUAGCCAUAAUUUUUAAUUGUGAUGGUGGUUUCGGCUUCAACCUACUGAGAUAACUGUUUUUUUUUUCCUCAUGAUUUCAGGUGUAUAUCAUUGAUUUCGGAUUAGGAAAGAAAUACAGAGACCUUCAGACUCACAAGCACAUUCCUUACAGGUAAGAAUAUGCCAUGUUUAUUUGUUUCCUUUAUCCUUACUCAGGGAUCUGCAUUUUUGCAUCCUAAUAUCCGUGAACUCAAAAGGAAAGAUUAAAUUUUGACAGAGAAAACAAAAAUCUCACUGGGACGGCUCGUUACGCUAGUGUCAACACUCACCUUGGAGUCGGUAAGAGAGUUGUUCUGUGGUGUUAUAUAUAUAUUUGAAUUGUGUGUCUGAAACUUAACUAGUUGCUGGUGUUUGUACAGAACAAAGUCGAAGGGAUGAUUUGGAAUCACUUGGUUAUGUGCUUAUGUAUUUUCUCAAAGGAAGGUAAGAAUCUACAGUUUUUUUCCUUCUUCUUCUUUCAACUACUGUAUAUUUUGUUGGACAAAAAUUCAAACUCUUGUUUUGUUGCAAUCAGCUUACCAUGGCAGGGAUUAAAAGCUGGGACAAAGAAGCAGAAAUAUGACAGAAUCAGUGAGAAGAAAGUAUCAACACCUAUAGAGGUAAAACAACUCGACAAUCUGAUUGCAUCAUAUUAAGAGAUUAAAAUGUUAAAGCUAUCUCGGUAUCUUAGUAUGUUAAUGGAAUGUUUUCGAUGUAGGUGUUGUGUAAAAACCACCCUUCUGAAUUUGUUUCAUACUUCCAUUACUGCCGAUCUUUACGGUUUGAUGACAAACCUGAUUACUCUUACCUUAAGAGGCUUUUCCGCGACUUGUUCAUCCGAGAAGGUUCUUUUUCUUAUCUUAUCAUCAUUAUUUUCACAAAGUUUGCAUACUGUUUAAGCGGUUGUUGUCUCAUUUUUCAAAUUGUUGAUUCUCUUGCAGGUUACCAAUUCGAUUAUGUAUUUGACUGGACAGUCCUAAAGUACCCUCAAAUCGGUUCCAGCUCUGGUUCUAGCUCACGGACAAGGGUGACUUUUCUUUCUUUUUCUUCUACUCUUGUGGUUUUUGAGUUUCUCUAUGCUUACGUAAAUGUUAAUCUCCGGGUCUUGCAGCAUCAUACAACCACGAAACCAGGAUUCAACGCAGGUCCUUCCAUGGAAAGACAAGAGAGGUUCGCAGGUAAAAAUCUACUCCUGCUUCUAUUGGAAAUCUCAGAAUCACACACACAUUCAUUCCUCAUGAUUCUGUGCGUGUAGGUAGGGAAACAACCCGUGAUAGAAUCUCAGGUGCAGUGGAAGCCUUCUCCAGAAGACACCCGACAACAACUUGUACGCCACGUGAUCGUUCCAGAUCAAGAAACUCUGAUGAUGGACCUUUCACUAAGCACACGGUAACAAAUCUCACUUCACCAAAAACACAUAUUGAUACAAAAGCGUGCAUAGAGACUCAAAUUGUAUUUGUUUUUGGCAGCAUAGAGACUCUGAGAGACCAAACAGUUCCUCAAGAUACAGAACAUCUUCUUCUAGGAAAGCUGUUGCUGCUUCAAGCUCUCGGCCAAGUUCUGCAGGCGGACCAAGCGAAAGCCGAGCUUCAAGCCGUCUGGUUUCAUCGAGCGGUGGUGGUGGCAGCGGAAGUGGCAAUGGCCGUCCCUCGACCAGCCAGAGAAUCCAAGCUGGAUAUGAAUCCAAGACUCUGUCUUUCUCUCGUGCAACGGCUUCAAGAAACAAUCGGGAAGAUCCAUUGAGAAGCUUUGAGCUUCUGGAAAUAAAGGAAAAUGAGAGAGACAGAGAGACAGCAAAACUCAAUGAGAACUCAUCAGAAAAACUUCCUCGGAGAAAGCGGUGAAUCUUUUGGUUAAGAAAGAUUUCAUAUACUUGAACGAUCUUUUACAGGUGAUUUCUGCUACAGCUUUGCUGAGAGAUCUUUCCCAGCACUCUUCGUUUGUAUAUUUAAAUCGUGAUGUGUUUAGACAAAAUAACAAUCAAAAAUGUAGAGGGUUUCCAUGUAAAAACGGUGAACAUUGUAUUCCUAUAUUUUCUCUGUAAUAAUAAACCAAAAAAGAAAACAAACAAAAAUUGUUCUUUGGUUCUCUUCUAGUUGACUUUUCGGUCAACGCUGAGGGCUAAAAGUGGAAAAUAAAUACCACCGCUGGGCCGAGUAUUAAUACCAGUUUUUAAUUCAUUCACAUCAUUUACCUUUCCGGGAAAAUUCUCCGAUUUUCUCUCUUUCUCGAACUCUGAAAUUUCCUCUAUUGAUCGGAGAGUGAUCAGUGUUCACUGAUCUGCCACGUUCUUCCUCCUCGGUGCAUAAAUAUUAGUGUUCGAAUCGGCGAAGACGUUGUAUGAUAUUGUAGUCUAUUUUGCUUGUUGAUAGAAUUUGAAAUCUAGGGUUUAUCGAAUCGUUUUUCCUUUUCCUUUUCCGUUUCGGUUUCUUGGAGUUUCCCAGAUAAAGUUAGCAAAUCUUCUCGAUUGGUCAGAGCCGCUUGUGUUGAAUUCUGAAAUUUCUGUGGGUUUCGUGGUGGUUUCGCUCCAUUCAAGUUGGUUGUAGAUCGUUCGAAAAUCUGAAGAUUUCGUCGUAGAGUUAGUGCUUCAAGGUGUUGGAAGAAAUUGAAGAAAUUAGGGUUUCAGUGGUUACGAUCCAGUUUUCGAAAUUGACUUGGAGUUUUGUGGCACUUCUGUUCUCUUAAUUCGAUAAUAUAAGGAGAUCAUGGAGAUUGAUGGUGUAAACGAUGUUCAUAUCUUGGAUCCUGAGCUCUUGCAGCUUCCGGGUUUGUCUCCUUUAUCGGUGAAAACAAACCCUCAUAUUGCUGAGGAACUCUUCUCACAGUGGCUUUCACUCCCUGAGACUGGCCGAUUGGUAAUUUGAUUCCCAAGCCUCUGAUUUCUUGUCUUUUUAUUUCAAUCCCAUAGUGUUUAUCAACGCCACCAUCUAUCUAGUUGAUAGAUCAUUUUGAUUGUCUUUUGGAAAGUUUCGUUUAUCCAUUUGUGAUUUCAAUUGGAUGCUUAAACCUCUGUCUCCUUAUGUGCAUACCGGGUUUGUAAAUUUUAAUCAGUAGUAUAGGUUGGUACUGUGUCUGUUCUUCAGUUUCUUGUUCAUUUGAUUUAUGCGCUUGUUUAUGUAUGCUGAUUCCUGUUCCUGAGCCCAUUGUUAAUAAAGUUGUCGUUGCGACAUCAUUUGAUUUCCCAUAACUUUUCCGUUCAUGGUCGUACAUGGUCCUGAGCUCAUUGUUAUAUAUCUAAGAAUUUUGUUUAUUAAUUAGUGUUAGAUAUAUAGAGAAUGUGUGAAUCUUCUUAUAGAGCUUAGAAUGACUUGGGUGAAAAAAGUACUGGGAUAUAUCAAGUCUCUGCUAGAAAAGCAUUUGUAUUUGUGUAGUACCAACAUUAACUUAAGCUUCCUGAGAAUCUCCUCAGCGUUCCUUUAAUUUGAUAUGGCUGGGAAUCAAUCAUACGGGGAAGAAACUUUAGGUGGCAGUUUUUUUUAAAUGUUUUUUUUGUGACCUUAUUUUGGCUGUUCAUCUUUGUGAUGUUUGUGCAGGUCAAGUCUUUGAUUGAUGAUACUAAAUCUAGUACCCCAGUCAGUGUAUCCAAGAAUUGUGCCAAUCUCAACAUUUCUUGCGGAAGUGCAUUGCCAUCUGUGUUUCUGAACAGUGGCACUCCCCCACUAUCCCCUCGAAGUUCAUCUGGGUCUCCCCGUUUCUCGAGGCAAAAGACAAGUCCUUCUUCUCUACAGUCUCCUUUGAGAUCAGUCAGAGAACCAAAGCGCCAGCUCAUCCCACAGGUUUGAUAUUUAUCCUGCUGCUCCUCGUAAGGAUGUUUUUUUUUUUAAUUACAAUUGGCUUUCUUUCAAAUAACAGGAGAAGACUCUGCCUUGCUUGACAUCUUGAUUUUGGUUUUUUAUGUACGCUCACAUGAUUGUUAUAACUAGAUUGAAAUAGCUAAGUAGAUGUAUAUCCAUGAGCAAAAAAAUUAGUAGAAACUAUUUCUACGGUUAAGUUGAAUUGAUACAUUUUUUUUUUUCACAAAACGUUGACAAAUUGCACGUUUAUUAUGGUAAUUCGUUUAAUAGCGAAUAAUGUUCAACAUCUUGUUUAUAACUUCUAUGCUAUGAUAUGUAUGCAGUUUUACUUCCAACAUGGGCGUCCACCUGCGAAAGAACUAAAGGAGCAAUGUAUAUCCAUGGUCGAUCAUUAUUUUAGUAACUAUAUUGACGGACUUCGUAUGGAUGGUGAUAUUUCACUUCAAACUUUUCUACAUCAGUCUCGUGCUGUAAGGAAUAGGCAAACAGUUGAUCUUACAAACAUAUUCCUGUUAUUGUCCAAUUGCAGAAUUCAAAUCUAUUACGAAAGAAGUCUGCAAGCUGCCUUCUUUUCUUUCUUCGGUACUUUUUAGAAAGAUAGAUACGAAAUGCACCGGUAUCGUUACAAGGUAACUCUUUGUGUGCUUUCUUUUCAUAUGCGUAAUUGUAGUAGUUAAGUGUAUAUACAUACUUGUGUGUUUGUGUAUAUGUAAUAAUAAUAAUAGAACACGCUGGUGUGGAUCUCUGGAUUCACGCUCAACAAUUUGUCUCGUCAAUUGCACACAUUUAAAAAUAAUUGUACAGUUGCAUAAUAAUUUGAUAUUUGAUUGUUAUCCUUUUUACGUAAGCCACUUUUACAUAAUAUACAAGAUAUUUGUAAUUAAGUAAUUUUGAAGUAUCGGCACUGUAGAUUUUUUUGGAAAUUGAUAUACUUCUCAAUUAGCCAAAGCUUGGUUAAGAAUCAUAGAAAUAUACAACAGCUAUGCAAUUUUUUCUGUUUAAAUUCUGACAAAAAAAAAAAGUAUACACCAUAUAUUGUUCCUGAAUAUACUGUUUACCCGCAGGGAUGCAUUUAUCAAGUAUUGGGUUGAUGGACAUAUGUUGGCAAUGGACGUAACCACACAAAUAUAUAAUAUUUUGAGGCAGACAGGCUGCAAGUACCUCAGACAGGUCUAUUUGUGAUUCUUUUCCCAGUUCUUCACUGCUGUUUGAAUUGUUUACCGAAGAUUAUCGUCUUUCUUGUUUUCUUUAAUCCAUUUUCCUGAAGACGUCUCACUUCUAUCAUUUCUUGGAUUUGGGGAUAGGCUGACUUCAAACCAGUUCUUGAUGAGCUGCUGGCAUCUCAUCCUGGCUUGGAAUUCUUGAGGAAUACACCUGAAUUUCAAGAAAGAUAUGGUAAGAACAUAUUUGGUUUAUGAUACAUUGAUUUUAUGGUGAUAUAUAUCUAGAGUACUACGGGAAAGCCUGUUUAUUAUGUAGAAAAUAAGAUGUUCAUGCAAUUUCUUUCCAUCUAUUUGAUUUUUGAGAACACAUUGGCGAACUUGAAAGUGACUUCUUUAGCUGUUCUGGUAGGCCAAGGCAAAUAAUUUUUCCUUUGUUAAUUUUAUUGGCGCUUUCCAUUAUAAUUAUUUCUUGAAAGUUGUGAAAUGACACUUAAUAUACAGUAUAUCAGGUGCAUACUGUUUUAUACAUCUAUUGACUAAAUCAUAUUUUUUUUCUGUGCUUGUUUCAUUCAUCAUUGUGUUCUUUCCCGUCUACCCAGCUGAGACUGUCAUCUACAGAAUAUUUUACUACAUAAACAGAUCAGGAACUGGUUGCAUUACUCUUAGAGAGCUGAAGCGUGGGAAUCUUAUUGCUGCCAUGCAACAAGUUGAUGAAGAAGACGACAUCAAUAAAGUUAUUAGGUGAUCAUGUUUUCCUUUUCAUCGUUUCUUAAAAAGUAGUGAAACAUAUUUUUAGUUAGUUUUGUUUAUUAUAAUAAAAACCAGUUAAGUUGUCUAAGAAUUCAAGCUCAGAAAGGAAAGCUGUGUAGCAUUGUAAGCGAUAUGGGGGUAGUGCUUAGGUCUUCGUAUCGUUUCUUAGACAUAGGCACUACCCGUUAAACUCAUAAAGGAAAAAGAAGUGUAUGGGAAGUUCAGAUUAAUACUCAGAGAGGACAUUAUGCAUGAUUUGUCCAUUCAAUUUGACAUUUUCUUUGCUUUUCAGGUACUUCUCGUAUGAGCAUUUCUACGUUAUAUACUGCAGAUUUUGGGAACUCGAUGGCGACCAUGAUUUCUUUAUUGAUAAGGAAAAUCUCAUCAAGUAUGGUAAUCAUGCCCUUACUUACAGGAUUGUCGACAGGAUAUUUACACAGGUUGGCUCCAGAUGUCAAAAUGUUUUUGUCUGAACACACUGUUAUGAAGCUUAAUUAUAGUCUUACGGGAUUCAUUCCUUUAUGAUUCAUGUUAUGGCUACGUCUCUCACAUAGGUCCCUAGGAAAUUCACGAGCAAAGUUGAGGGGAAGAUGGGUUAUGAAGAUUUUGCAUACUUUAUUCUCGCCGAGGAGGAUAAGUCCUCUGAGUCCAGUCUUGAGUAUUGGUACACUUCUCUCCCCUUCUUUCAUUUUUCUUUACAGACUAUUCUUCAGCCAUUGUGUCCUUAGCUGCUUGACUCACAAUAUGUCAAAAUGAAUGUAUAACCGCUAAGCCAAAACUCGUGGCAUAUCUACCAGAAAUUGUGAUACAGUAAACAUCAAGUAGUACCAUUAUUUCAUGAACAUAGAAUACCCAUAUUGAAUCUAAAACAUUUGUCUGGGUAGUGAUUUAUAGGUCUUUUCUCAUUCAUUAUAUCAUGAAACUAGAACGCUUUCUAUUGACCCGCUGAUAUAGGGCAUGCGUCACUGGUAUGUCAUCCAUCUGCCAUGGAUGUAACACACUGGACUCGUGGUGGCUUUUUGGCUUUUUGGCUUUUUCCCCUGAAAUUGAUUGAAAGGUUUCUUUGCAGGUUCAAGUGCGUAGACCUGGAUGGAGAUGGGGUGAUCACUCCCAACGAAAUGCAGUUUUUCUACGAAGAGCAGCUGCAUCGCAUGGAAUGCAUAACCCAGGAACCUGUACUCUUUGAGGAUAUCCUAUGUCAAAUAUUCGACAUGAUUAAACCGGAGGCAAGAGUUCUUUCAAACCCUAACAUGGUCUUUUGCUAUUUCCCGGGUGUUUUACUUAUUUUGAAUAUCAGUUUGCUUAUUGACUCUUUCAGAAGGAGAACUGCAUCACACUCCAGGAUCUGAAAGCAUCUAAACUUUCUGGAAAUAUUUUCAAUAUACUCUUCAACCUGAAUAAAUUCAUGGCGUUUGAAACCCGUGACCCUUUUCUCAUUCGCCAGGUAACCAGAGCUUUUCUGUAGAGUUUCUUCCACUUUGGUUUUAACAGCUGUUGAAACUAUUACUACUGAAUGGGUUAUUAAUGAUAUAUCAAUUCGUGAAAGGCUCUAAAAGACCUAGAUAGUCUAUAUCAUAACUUGGGAGAAAACUAUGAACGAUGUAACAGGGUUUAGUUAACUUGACCGCUACUAUAUUUUUUUUCUUUCCAUGUCAUAGGAACGUGAAAAUCCAACAUUGACAGAAUGGGACCGAUUUGCUCAGAGAGAGUAUGUGAGGUUAUCGAUGGAAGAAGAUGUGGAGGAAGUCUCGAAUGGGAGUGCAGAUGUUUGGGAUGAACCACUCGAAUCUCCAUUUUAGUUACUUCAUAAGAGGUAAUAAUUUCCCCAGUGCUCAUCGUCAAGAGUUGUUUGUGUAUGAAUUAUGAAAUUUAUUUAUGCUCCCAAGAAACGAAAGCUUGUUCCUUUGCUUAUGACACUUAAUUUGCUCGUUUAUUACUAGUUUCUUGGGAAGAAGAGGAGGAGGUUGAGUUUGGAUCUUCUUGGCCGAGUAACAGCCUCGGAAAGGGAAAGGGUUCUCAGACAACCACGAAAGCCAAUCCCUUUCCAACCUAGGGAUUGGCGAGCAAAUGAGAGUUUGUCUGAGAAAGUGUCAUUUCAUGAAAUAUUUAUCUUGCUUAGGGUUUUUCAGGUCGGACACUCUUUUCAAUCUACUAUGUAUAUUAGUAUACGUCGGUUUAUAGUGUUUUGUGGAACCAAACAACAACGGUUUUAUAUUCAAAAUCGAAAGAACUUGUUUUGUACAAAGACUUUUUUUGUAGGCGAAAAGGGUUCUAAACUUUCAAUUUGUUUUACAUGUUCACGUCCUUUUUUUUGCUUAAACGUACAGCUAUUUUGUGCAUAUGAUAUGAAUAUGACUUUAUGCUAACUAUCUUCGUUAAUUGACCUCUAACCCUAAUGUUUCCUAAUAAAAUAUAUUUAACGUUUUCGAGUGACAUAAGCCAAUAUUGAUUUUACUAUUUUUUGUAUUGGAAAAUAACCAUUUAGCAAAAUAGAGCAAAAAACUACUUUUGUUUAAUUGGAUCAUAUUGUCCAACCUUUUCUUUGUCAAUAGAUGAUACAGUAAUGAUUUGUAUUUUGUGAGGUCAAAACGUGUGUUUCUUCUUUCGUUUAUAACUCACAAGCAUGAACUACAAAGUUGUAGCCUAAUUUUUUUCGAUAACUUUAGUAAAAUAGUCUAUUAAAUUUGUUUUAAUAUAAACUCUUUUAAGACGACAAAAAAAAAAUAUAAACUCUUUUAUAUAUAAGGUAAAAUUUAUAUGUAUUUAUAUAUAUGUAUAUAUAUUAUAUAUUAGAGAGGAAGAGACGUGAGAAAGAGAAAGAGAAGAGAGGAAGAAGCGAUUUCUUCUUAUCACACCUUCUCAUUAUUAUCAUCCAAGAUGUAUUUAUACAGGGAACGGGGAAGAGUGGUAAGUAAAUUAUAUGGACAAUAAAUAUUGUUACCUAUCCCUACAUAUGUGGAUAAUUAUUAUCCAACACUCCCACUUAAUUAUCUAUUACUAAUAAUUUAUUAUGUACUGUCUCGUUAAAAACUUUAUCAUGGAAAAAUUUAUUAGAAUAAAAACUAUGACAAAGGAAAAGAGUACAGCUACGUAAUCUCCCUCUAGAAAUGAUAGAUAUACAUUUCUUUUAUAGAUCUCGCAGUCCACGCAUUCCAAUAUUAUGGACAUGUGUUUCUGAAUGAUAUAGUGGGAAGCGCCUUUGUAAAGAGGUCUGCUGCAUUGUCACUUAAGUGAACAUAUUGGAUAUCCACUUCCUGAUUUUUCUCGAGUUCUUGAGUGUAAGAGAAAAACCAUGGAGGAAUAUGUUUUGUUCGAUCGCUCUUGAUAAAACCUUCUUUGAGUUGAGCGACACAUGCAGCAUUAUCUUCGAACAUUUUUGUUAGUUCCCUAUCAAUGACUAUUCCACUUGCACCUUGAAUAUGUUGAGUCACAGAUCGAAGCCAUAUGCAUUCUCUACAUGCCUCAUGGAGAGCAAUGAUUUCCGCAUAAUUUGAAGAAGUGGCGACCAAAAUCUGUUUUUGAAAACACCACGAGAUCGUUGUUCCACCAAUUGUGAAAACAUAUCCUGUUUGCGAUCUAGCUUUAUGCGGAUCUAAUAAAUAUCCUACAUCUGCAAAACCAACUAGACCAACUUCGAGGUUUCUAGGAUAAAAUAAACCCAGAUCAAUCGUACAUUGGAGAUAACGAAAAAUAUGUUUUAUUUCAUUCCAAUGUUUGCGUGUAAGAGAUGAGCUGUAUCUUGCAAGUAGAUUAGUAGCAAAAGCUAUAUCUGGUCGAGUACAAUUUGCAAGAUACAUAAGUCCACCGAUAGCGCUCAUAUAUAUAAGGUACUUCAGGACCUAAUACGUUUUCGCUAUCUUCACAAGGUCGAAAUGGAUCCUUGUUAAUAUCAAGUGAUAUAUUGACCAUUGGGGUAAUCAAAGGAGUUGCUUUAUCCAUUUUAAAGUAUUUUAACACCUUUUUGGUGUAAUUUGAUUGAUGCACAAAUAUUCCGUCUUGGAAAUGCUCAAUCUGGAGCCCUAGACAAAAUUUUGUAUUUUCAAGAUCUUUCAUUUCGAACUCUUCUUUCAUGUGAGUUCUUGCAUCAUCAAUCUCCUUUUGAGUUCCGAUUAUCUUCAGGUCAUCGACAUAUACAGCAAUGAUCACAAAUCGUGAUGAGGAUUUCUUAAUAAACACGCAAGGGCAUAUCGCAUUGUUGAUGUAUCCUUUACUCAACAAGUAUUCACUCAAGCGAUUAUACCACAUGCGUCCGGAUUGUUUUAAUCCGUAAAGUGAUCGCUGUAAUUUGACUAAAUAUAUAUCUUUAGAUGCUUCAGGCAUCUUUGAUCCUUCUGGGAUCUUUACUUCCUCUAGGAUUUUCAUAUAUAUGUCACUAUCAAGUGAUCCAUAUAGAUAUGCAGUCACAACAUCCAUAAGAUACAUAUCUAGAUUUUUAGAUGCCGUUAGGCUCAUUAAGUACCUGAAUGUGAUUGCAUCCAUCACCGGGGAAUAUGUAUCUUCAUAAUCAAUUCCCGGUCUUUGAGAAAAACCUUGUGCCACAAGUCGGGCUUUAUAUCUUGUGAUCUCGUUUUUCUCAUUUUUUUCUCACAAAGACCCAUUUGCACCCGACUGACAUUACAUCUUCUGGUGUAAUGACUAUAGGUCCAAAGACAUUUCUUUUAUUCAGGGAGAUUAAUUUAUUUCUUAUGGUCAUCUGCCAUUUCUUCCAGUCAGGCCUUUUCUGGCAUUCUGACACUGACCUUGGGUCUGGAUCAUCAUUUUUAUUUUUAAUUUCUUUGGAUACCGAAAAAGAAAAUAUUCCAUUUGUAUCAUUUAUUUCACUUCUAGCCCAUAAUGUCUCACUUUGGGCGAAGUUAAUGGAAAUCUCAUACUUUUCAGUAUCAUGUUCGUCUUCUGGACGAACUUUUUUAACGGGUUUUUCUGGAACCUCUUCAUAUAUGUCUUCAUGACAUAUAUCUUUAUAUGGUUCUUCUAUAACCGUUUCACCAAUGUCUUCAAGAUAUUUUUUUUUAUUCGGUUCUUCUGGAACCUUAUCUCCCAAUUUCUUUUUCUUUCGAGGAUUUUUAUCCUUCGAGCCCAUCGGCCUCUCGCGCUUUAAUUGAACCCGCGGUUCAUUUGCUUUAUUCCCAUCAAUAACUUGUUCCGGAACAUUUAUUUUUGAUGGAGCAUUAGCAACAGGGAUAUAUGAUUUUGUCACCCUUCUCGUAUCUCUGAACGCAUCAGGUAACUGAUUUACCAAACUUUGCAAAUAUAUAAUUUUCUGAACUUCUGCCUCGCGUUGACGGGUAGGGGGAUCAAGAUAAGCCAAGGUUUGUGUACACCAUGUGAUAUCCUUUGGUGAUUAUUUUGAUCCUCCUCCCCCCCCCCCAAUGUUGGGAAUUCAUUUUCAUCAAAGUGGCAAUCGGCAAAACGUGCCGUAAACAUAUCUCCAGUUACCGGUUGAAGAUAUCUUAUUAUACUUGGUGACGUAUAGCCGAUAUAUAUUUCCAAUCUCCUUUGUGGCCCUAUUUUUGUUCUUUGCGGUGGGGCUAUUGGGACAUAGACCGCACAUCCAAAAAUACGGAGAUGAGAUACAUUUGGCUCCUUGCCAGAUGUUAACUGUAUUGGGGAAUAUUCAUUAUAUGCACUUGUCAUCAUCUGGACCAAUGCCCCAGCAUGCAAUAUAGCAUGUCUCCAUACAAUAAUUGAGAGUUUUGUUCUCAAUAUUAAUGGUCUUGCAAUCAACUGCAACUGUUUUAUCAAAGACUUAGCCAUGCCAUUUUGUGUAUGAACAUGUGGAACUGGAUGCUCAACAUCGAUUCCCAAUGACAUACAAUAGUCAUUAAAGACCGCUGAAGUGAAUUUACCAGCGUUAUCAAGCCUGACUUUUUUAUGGCAUAAUCAGGGAAUUGCGCUCUCAACCUGGUUAUUUGGGUAGUUAAUCUUGCGAAAGUCAUAUUUCUUGUGGUCAACAGACACACAUGUGACCAUCUACUAGAUGCGUCAAUUAAUACCAUAAAAUAUCUAAAUGACCCGCACGGUGGGUGAAUCGGCCUACAUAUAUCACCAUGUCUUCUCUCUAAGAAUACAAGGGAUUCAUUCCCAACUUUGGCUGGCGAUGACCUAGUUAUGAGUUUUCCUUGAGAACAUGUCUGACAUGAAAACUCUCCCGAUUGAAAAAUUUUCUGGUUUUUCAAUAGGUGGCCACUCGAAUUUUGCACAAUUCUUCUCAUCAUGACUGAUCUAGGAUGGCCAAAUCUUUUAUGUCAUACUCUAAAUGUACUAGUAAACCCUGGGUUUACAGUAACAUAGGAUUCAAUCAUAUUUAUUUUUGUGCAAUAUAACCCAGAGGACAUCAUUGGUAAUUCUUCCAAUACAUGUUUCCUCUCAGAUGUAAUGCAAAGAUAUUCAAUGCCAUUCUUAUUUAUACUUGUUAUAUGAUAUCCAUUUCCUCGGAUAUUUUUAGAACUUAACAAGUUUCUGCUAGAUUUGGGGGAAUAUAAUGCAUCAGUUAUUUCAAACUUUGUCCCCCUUGGCAUUGAAAAGUUAGCUCUUCUAGAGCCUAUUAUAAUAGUUGCAUUACCAGAUAUGGUACUCACGCUUUCGGCGGAGUCCUUUAUUUUGAGACCGGAGAAAUAUUUUUUAUCUUUAAGUAUAGUAUGUGUCGUAGCACUGUCUGCUAGACAUGUAUUUUCAUCCUGAAUCUCAAACGAUGACAUGUUCUGAAUCACAAUAUGCAAGAAAAUACAUUAAAAACCAAAAUAUGAUUUUAGAAAUUAUUUUAUAUUAAGAAAAACUUUUUCUUGUUAACAAAAAUAUAUUACAUUCUUAUUUAAAAUUACAUUGGUUUUUCUUGUUUUCUUCAAGAAGACUUUAUAUUACAUCGAUCUUAAUCGCUUUGUUUCCAUUGAUUCUUCAGGAUCAACAAGGAAAUCAGCGAUAUCAAGAUGAGUAUAAUCACUUAUGCCAUCAAAGGAAGGUCCAGCUUCAUCAGAGAUGAAAUUGGUUUCAAAAUUCUUUCCUUUAUCCUUUUCUUUGGCAUAUUGUGAUGCUCGGUACAGAUCGGCUAAAUGUCUUGGUGUGCGCCAUGUUUUUGCCCAAUGAUUUUUCAUGCCGCAUAUGUAACAACAUCAUUUUGUCUUUCUCGUCCUCGAUCUCGUCCGCGACCGCGGUUAUGGCCUCGACCGCGUCUGCGUCCGCAUUCGGUUCUAUUAUUUUGACUGGAUGAUGCAACAUUCGCUUCUGAGAAUGGCGAUGAUCCAGUUGGACGAGUUUGAUGGUUUAACAUCACGAGCUGAUUAUUUUGUUCAGCUGCAAGGAGGACUUGCAUCAACUCCGAGUAUGUGGUGUAACCUUUUGCCCGAUAUUGUUGUUGCAGGGUUACUUUUCCAGGAUGAAAUUUUUGGAGAGUUUUUUCGAUCAUGUCGAAAUCACUUACCUCCUGUCCACAUAACAUUAUUCUGGAAGUAAUUCCGAACAUAGCGGAAUUAUAUUCACCAACACUUUUGUAAUCCUAGAACCGAAGGUUCAACCACUCAUAUUUGGAUUUCAGUAAGAUCACAUAUUUCUGGUGAUCAAACCUAUCUUUGAGAGAUUGCCAAAGAUCUGCAGGAUCUUCUUUCGUGAUGUAUUCCUCUUUUAAACUAUUAUCGAUGUGGUGGAGCAAAAAUAUCAAGGCUUUUGCCUUUUUUUCAUCUGAUGUCGUUUCCGACUUAUCGAUGGUAUCGAGAAGUCCGUUUUCUCUUAGAUGAAUUUUUGCACCUACUGCCCAUGACAUGUAAUUUUUACCAGACACAUCAAGGACGCGAAUUUUGAGCUUUGCCAAAUUUGACAUGAUAAUUGUAUGUAUAUCAUAAAUUUAGCAGAAAUUCAAUUUAAAUAUUGUUUUUAAAGAAAAACAUGAUAAAAACUUUUGAAUAUGCAUAUAUAACAAAAAUAUAGAGGCAAAACUUUCUAUAUAAUUGAGGAGGCAGAGCCUACCAUAAUUUUAAAGAGGAGGUAUGACCUUCUACUCUACAAAUAUAAAAUUAAGGAGGAGGUUUAGCCUUCCACUCCAUUAAUAUAAUCCGAGGAGACAUAGUCUACCAUAUGAUCAUAUGAUCGUGAAGGCAUAGUAUAUCAUAACGAUUGGUUUGGGGAAGGCAGAGCCUAUCAUCCCGUAAACUUUAAAAUAAAUUGAACAUAAAUUUAAAUUAAUGGUUCGGGGAAGACAGAGUUUAUCAUCCCCAAAUAAUAUAUAAAUUUAGAAUAAAUUAAACAUAAAUUUAAAUCUUACCUCUUUGGUAUAAGAUCGAGAAGCGCUCGUGCUGAUAACGUAAUAUAAACUCUUCUAUAUAUAAGGUAAGAUUUAUAUGUAUUUGUAUAUGUGUAUAUAUUUUAUAUUAGAGAGAAAGAGACGUGAGAAAGAGAAGAGAGGAAGAAGUGAUUUCUUCUUAUCACACCUUCUCAUUAUUAUCAUCCAAGAUGUAUUUAUACAGGAAAGGGGAAGAGUGGUAAGACCAGGUCCAGUAGUGGUUUGUUGGACGGAUUUGGCUCGAGUUCUAAGGCGAAAUGGACUUAAAAAAAAAAGAAAAUAGAUCCAAAUUCGACGGAUCGGUUCAUCCGGAAGAGCUUGAUGAACACGCAUCUCAGACACGUGGCGAAGCGUGAGUGGAGGCAUUUUCGUGUAAUUUUCGGGGAAGGAAAAUUUUUUUUCCUAGACAAUCAUUUCUCCUUCCCGAUUUUUUUUUCUUCACUCUCUUCCUCUCCUACGGCGAUUCUCGUCGCCUCCGUGAAAUCCGUCGAAACCGUCAACUUUUGCUGGUGUAGUGGACAACCGAGGGUCGGGCUUCCGUGAUUAUUGUCGAGGUAAGCGUUUCUUCUCUUCCUUUGCUGGAUUUUAUUCGAUUUAGGGAAAUUAGGGUUUUGGUUUUCAUGAGCAAAAAUUGUCAGUCUUUAAUCGGUGGUUUAGAUUGGGUAAUUAGUGUCGAUUUCGAGUCAUCUCACCUCAUUGAAACCCGAAGACGAUUAGAAGUAAAUUUUUUGGGAGAUUUGAAAGAAAUUUGAAAUCGGUGAAAUUAGGAUUCAUAUGAAAUGGGGAAAAAUUUUGGGGCUUUCAUUUGGGGUUGCAAUUGGGGUGUAAUACAAUGUAAUUCAACCGCUUUUCACUUGCUUUCGAUACGAAUUCAUGUUAUAUUGUUUAUUUGGUGAAUUUUUGUUCGAUGAAAUUAGGGUUUUUUCAAUUUGGGGAAAUAAAUUGGGGCUUUUCUUUGGUGUUCAAAUUGGAGUUUAGUUCUUCCAUAUGUAUUACUCAUGUGUAUGUUACAAUGCAUUAACAAGCUGAUUAUGUGUUGACGAUUAAUGUGAGUCCAUAUGGCCUUGUCGAAGCAGAAUUUCUUUUAUUGGGUUCAUAUGAAUGUUUGUUUAAACGUUUUCUGUUUGAUAUAAAUGCUAUUACAAUCAUGGCUUUGCCUUUAUCGAUGAUUAACUGAAUUGUUGUUGUUGUUUACAUGAUCGGUUUAGUAUAGUAACUUGUUUAGAUUAUUGAUGAUGAACUGAAUUGUUCUUGGUGUUUACAUGAUCGGUUUACUUGACUUUGCCUUUCUUAUUUAGUUAUUUCAUAAUAUCGAUUGUUAUUUGUGUUUACGUUUUCAUACUUUUACUAAAUUGGUUAUAAUUUUUUUUUUUGUGACAGAUAAUGGUAAGCUAUAGCAGCGAAUCAUCUGAGGAGAUCCCGUACUGGACUUAUGCGGAUGGCACAUACGACAUACCAGAGAAGUGCUUCUGCGGGCGGGUUGUGAAGGUGAAAGCAAAUGCAGCCGGUCGCAAGUACUAUGCCUGCCCGGAAUGGAUCAACGAGGUAUGCAUUCUGUCUUCAUGAAGUCUGUAUUGCUUUGUUAAAAGUUCUUUUGGUUUGUGAUGUGUCGUUUAUGUUAUUGCUAAUGGUUUGUCAUGAAUGUAGGCUACAUUGAUCACAUCCACCAAUGCUGGGAUGACGGGGUCACCGAACAGUUGGAGAUCCUCGCGAGCAGGAUAGAGCAGCAGAAGAACCUGAUCCUCAGCUUUGAUCGGAGUAGAAGCAACGUUCUCGAUCCAGCCAUAAGAGAAAUCCGUGAAGAGCUAUCAACGCUUCAGGGAGAAGUCCGUGAAGAGCUAUCAACGCUCAAGGGAGAAGUCAUUCGUUUGAAGGAGCAGCUUAGUACUCAAGGUGAUAGUUUCCUGAUACUGUUUUUCUUUUCUGUUAUCGCAGCUAUUGCCUAUACGUUUAGGGUUUAGAAAUGUCUCAAGUAAUGUAGUUGGUUAGUGUUUAAGUGUAGUUUAGGUCGGCUCAAGUAAUGUAGUUGUCUAAUGGGUCUUUUAUAUUUUGUUUGAGGGUAAUCUUUAAUGGACUCCACAGAAACAUGGUUUAGUUGAAGGCAUAUGGCUCACCGACUAAAGGUUAGUUCUCUUACAACUUGCCUGGUCGUCUUUAAUAUAGUUGGUAAAUGGCUUUAUGAUGUUAGCUUUAGGACUGGUUAUCAAUGCUUGAUAUGACAUUUUAGGGUUAGGUUGUGUGUUAAAUGAUAUCUAAACUUGCUCGAAAAUGUUGACAACUUGUUAGAAAACUUUAAAACCCUGUUUAAAAGACUCUCAACUACUAUCCCUUUAAACGUAAAAGACACUCAGACAUUAAGACACAAUGAUAAGACAGUCAACCAUAAAAUAAAAGACACUCAACCAUAUUUAAAAACUUAAAUAACUAUCUUCUAAUUCAUUCUACUCACUCUCUUCUUUCUACUUCAUUCUUUCUCUUUUUCGUGUAACUUCUUCACUUGUUCGAAUCUUCUCACUAGCUUGUUCAUUCACUCUCUUUUUUCAAACUCCUUCACUAUCUUCUUGCCUGUUCGUCUCUUUUUAAAACUCUUUGACUAUCUUCUUCAUUCCCUAUCUCAACUCCCAACCAUCAACUCUUUCACUCGUUCUAUGGAUUCCCAGAACUCUGUUACACCAUCUGAAGGGUUUGUAAAUCUGUUAUCCAGUCAGUACAACACUGACACAUACUCACCGUGCAUAGACUUAGGAUCAUCAGAAAUGCCUUCGUUUAGUACGCAAGGCACUGAAGAGCCAACUGAGAAUGCAUUGAAGAGGAAAAUAUGGUCGCCGAAAGAAGACUUGGUCCUCAUAAGUGCGUGGCUCAGCACCAGCAAGGACCCGAUAGUCAGGAAUGAACAGCGUUUAGGUUCGUUCUGGAAGCGGAUUCAGUUGUAUUACAACGCAAGCCAAGAUCUUGAGGGACUCCCAAGGAGAGAGUGGACUCAAUGCAAGCAACGGUGGGGAAGGUUAAAUGAUCAGGUUUGCAAAUUUGUGGGCUCAUACGCAGCUGCGCUAAAGGAGAAAUCAUCGGGUCAGAAUGACAACGACGUGAUGAAGCUCGCACAUGAGAUCUUCUUCAAUGACUACGGCAUCAAGUUUGGCCUGGAACAUGCAUGGAGAGAGUUGAGGCACGACCAAAAAUGGUGCACGAGUGGCAAAGCUCCGGAUGGUGCGUCAUCAAAAAGAAGUAAGGUGGAAGACUCGGCUCAGUCUUCAACCUCCAUGCCGGCAAGCGACAAUGACCAUGGGGUCGAGGCUCGUCCGCCUGGAGUCAAGGCUUCUAAGGCCAGUGCGAAAAACUCAGCAAGUGUUAAAGCCGACAACAAGGACAUGAAGGAGUUUUCUUCAAUGUGGGAAAUGAAACAAAGGGAUCGAGAGCUGAAAGAUAAGAUUAGGGACAAGAGGAUACUUGAGAGCCUUUUAGCUAAAACUGAACCAAUUAAUGAGAUUGAAAUGACACUUAAAACCAAGUUAAUUAGGGCUAUGUAUGAUCUUUAGGUUUGACAUAAAGUUAUUUUUUGUAUGCACUUUGUCAUUGUUUUUUGGUUUUGUCAUUGUGUUUUGGUUUUGUCAUUGUGUUUUGGACGUGUCAUUGUGUUUUGGUUUUGUUUGCACUUUGUUUGCUUUAGGUAUGACUAUGUUUGGUUAUCGGUUGUGAACUAUGUUAUGCUUUGGCUAUAUUUCAAUUGCCGACCUUGUUAUUUUGUUUGAAUGUGUGUUGUUUUGAUGUUCCAUUUACUUGUCCGAUUUACAUCCUCAUAUAAUUGUUCUGACCUUCACGUUUUUUUUUGGCAGGUUAUGGCUGACACUUCCGUGACCAUAUGCACCAAAAUUUGAGGGGCCAUAUGCUUUUGUUGUAUUCUCUACUAUCCACAUAUUUUCUGUUGUAAUAUAGACCAUAUGUUUCCCACUAUCUUAUUAUUGCCACUCGUUUUAGCAUCUCCCCUGUAUUUAUAUGCUCUCAAACAUUUGUAUGUUCUCAAACUUGUAGUUGCAAACAUCGCCCUUCCAAUAUUGCUCUAAAAAAACUUCAUUCCUCUUUCCCAUCAAAAUCUUUCAUUAUCAAAACACAUUCCUCUUUACUAAGCACAAAAAAAUUCUACACAUCUCUCUCUCUCUUUUAUUACAAACACUUAAACACCUAAACAUUAUGGCAUCUUCAAGCAAUCGAUUAGAUGAUCCGUAUGAAGAUUCAGUCGAUGAUGCACUAGAUGAUGCAUUUGAUGACAUGUUCGAUCAGAAAUUUGAUGACAUGUUUGAUUCUAUGUUAAAUCAACUUGCACAAAAAAAGCAAAAAAAAAAAAAAGUACAUUGAAAGAGAGCGGGAACAAGGCCACAUCCGAUUAUGGAACGAUUACUUCAGUGAUGAUGCAACCUAUCCUCCACAUACAUUCCGACACCGUUUUCGUAUGAACAAGGAUUUGUUCCUGCGUAUUGUUUACCGCCUAUCCAGUGAAGUUCCAUAUUUUCAACAAAGAAGAAAUCCUACCGGCAGAUUAGGUCUCUCCGCUCUACAAAAAUGUACGGCAGCCAUCCGUAUGAUGGCAUAUGGCACACCAGCUGAUGCAGUUGACGAAUAUCUCCAACUCGGUGCUAGUACGGCCUUGUUAUGUUUGGAAAAUUUCACUGAGGGAAUAAUAUCCUUGUUCGGAGAUGAGUAUCUAAGAAGACCCACACCUGAUG
RNAcentral lists this long non-coding RNA (163412 nucleotides) under Eutrema salsugineum. Its description in RNAcentral is "long non-coding RNA (ESAL_LNC001324)". The record is from RNAcentral. Lineage: Eukaryota; Viridiplantae; Streptophyta; Magnoliopsida; Brassicales; Brassicaceae.